Molecule: long non-coding RNA, 125695 nt
Filed under: Citrus x clementina
Lineage: Eukaryota; Viridiplantae; Streptophyta; Magnoliopsida; Sapindales; Rutaceae
Description: Citrus clementina (C. clementina) long non-coding RNA (CCLE_LNC001436)
Source: RNAcentral
AUGUGGAGACUUUAAUCGCCGAGGGAGUUUUUGAGUCGGUGGCUGAGAGAGCUCCGGAACCUGUGGCAGAUAAAAGACCCACUGAGCCAACAAUAGUAGGCUUGCAAUCACAGCUUGAACAAGUUUGGAGAUGUCUUCUUGUAGAAGAAUCAGCGGGAAUCAUUGGCCUAUAUGGUAUGGGCGGUGUUGGUAAAACCACACUGUUGACCCAUAUCAACAAUAAAUUUCUUGAGAGUCCCACCAACUUUGAUUGUGUGAUUUGGGUCGUAGUUUCAAAAGACCUGCGACUUGAAAAAAUUCAAGAAGAUAUUGGGAAGAAGAUAGGUCUGUUUGAUGGUUCGUGGAAGAAUAAAAGUGUUGAGGAGAAAGCCGUAGACAUCUUGCGGAGAUUAGGAGAGAAGAGGUUUGUAUUGUUGUUAGAUGAUUUAUGGGAGCGGGUUGAUUUAACAGAAGUGGGCGUUCCACUUCCCAGCCCACAAAAAUACUACAUCAAAGUCGUAUUCACGACCCGUUUCAUUGAUGUGUGUGGUAGCAUGGAAAGUCACAGGAAGUUUAAAGUGGCAUGCUUAUCAGAAGAGGAUGCUUGGGAGCUGUUUCGAGGAAAAGUAAGGCAAGAAACUCUUGAGAGUCAUCAUGAUAUCGUUGAGCUAGCCCAAACUGUGGCCAGAGAGUGUGGCGGUUUGCCACUCGCGCUUAAAACUAUAGGUCGAUCUAUGGCCUACAGAAAGACAGCUAAGGAGUGGAGACAUGCAAUUGAAAUGUUAAGGAGAUCAGCUUCAGAGUUUGCAGGUUUGGGAGAAAAGGUGUAUCGUCUUUUAAAGUUUAGCUAUGAUAGUUUGCAGAAUGAUACGAUUAGAUCUUGUUUCUUAUAUUGUUGUUUGUAUCCUGAAGAUUAUGGCAUUCUUAAAUGGGAUUUGAUUGAUUGUUGGAUUGGUGAGGGAUUCUUAGAGGAAUCUGACAGGUUUAGUGCAGAAAACCAAGGAUACUACAUUGUGGGCACUCUUGUUCAUGCAUGUUUAUUAGAAGAGGUGGAAGAUGAUAAAGUAAAAAUGCAUGACGUUGUUCGUGAUAUGGCUAUAUGGAUAACCGGUGAAAUUGAGAAGGAGAAGCGAAACUUUUUGGUUUGUGCAGGUGCUGGAUUAAAAGAGGCACCGGAUGUUGAAGUAUGGGAAAAUGUGAGAAGAUUGUCAUUGAUGCAAAACCAAAUUGAAACUCUGUCAGAGGUUCCCACAUGCCCUCAUCUUCUCACUUUAUUUCUUGACUUUAAUAGGGAGUUGAAGACUAUUGCGGAUGGCUUCUUCCGAUGUAUGCCUUCUCUCAAAGUUUUGAAGAUGUCAAACUCUGGAAAGCCUUGGAAAGGUUUGGAAUUAAAUUUGGGGAUGCCAAAGUUGGGUUCACUACAGCUUCUUGAUAUUUCACACACCUGCAUACAAGAUUUACCGCAAGAAUUAAAGUUGUUGGUAAAUCUGAAAUGUUUGAAUUUGAGGCGGACAAUUUGGUUAAAUAAAAUUUCAUGGCAACUAAUAUCAAAUUUUUCAAGGUUACGUGUGUUGAGAAUGUUCGCUACUGGCUGGUUCAAUUUUCAUGAAGCACCAGAAGACAGCGUUUUAUUUGGUGGGGGUGAAGUUUUGAUACAGGAAUUGCUCGGUUUGAAAUAUUUAGAGGUAUUGGAGUUGACCUUGGGAAGUUAUCAUGCUCUCCAAAUUCUUUUCAGCUCAAAUAAGCUAAAAAGUUGUAUUCGAUCUCUUUACCUCCAGUUGACCGGAGAUACAGCGUUAAUUAUUGAUGCUACGGCUUUCGCAGAUCUAAAACACCUCAAUGAAUUACGCAUUGAGUCGGCUACAAAGCUGAAAGAAUUGACGGCUGAUUAUACAGAGAUAGUUCGAAAAAGGCGGGAACCUUUUGUUUUCCGCAGCCUUCACCAUGUUACUAUACAAAGCUGCCAGAAGUUGAAAGAUUCGACAUUCCUCGUUUUUGCUCCAAACCUCAAGUCUCUUUCGAUAGUCAAAUGCAAUGCUAUGGAAGAAAUAAUCAGCGUCGGAAAAUUUGCUGAGACUCCUGAGAUGAUGGGACAUAUAAGUCCUUUUGAAAAUCUCCAAAUGAUUGAUUUACUAGGUUUGCCACAUUUGAAGAGCAUCUUCUGGAAGCCAUUGCCUUUCACUCAUCUGAAAGAAAUAUCUGUGCGUUAUUGCCCUAAUCUUAAAAAGCUUCCACUCGAUUCCAACAGUGCAAAGGAGCGUAAAUUUGUUAUUCGUGGAGAAGAAGACUGGUGGAACCCACUUCAAUGGGAGGAUGAAGCCACUCAAAUUGCUUUUCGUUCCUGUUUCCAACCCUUGUUCCUGAACAGUGGUCGCAAAAUUUGAUUUCUGGUGAGUGCGUUUGUCUUUUAAAAAGAAUAAUUUAAAAGAAAUUUAUUCUUGUCGGUUUCUUCACUGUUUUUAUUUCAGUUUCUCUCUCUCUCUCUCUCUCUCUCUCUUUUUGUCUUCUGCAAAUCACAAUUACAUUUUUAUUCUUGUCGUUUUCUUCACUGUUUUUAUUUCAGUUUCUCUCUCUCUCUCUCUCUCUCUUUUUGUCUUCUGCAAAUCACAAUCAAAUGUUGAAUUAAUGGAAUUAAUGCUUCAUAAAUUUGCCGGCACUGCCAUUACUUUUUUUUGGGGGAUCGAAUUGAUACUUUAUUUAUAUCUUCUUAGCGAUUUAAUUUCCUGUCAAAAGACGAACGAGAAGAACAUAUGACUUAAACCAAUGCUCGCAUAAACUUGCUGUAAAAAGAUAUAAUCUCACUGAAAUGCACACGCCUAGAAUGAAUAGAAUUAAAACAGGGAAAAUAUUAAGUAUAUUAGCCCUCUUUACUGAAAAUCAAAUGACAGUAAAUUUUUUGAAGUUUUGAUUUUCUAUGGUCAAUUCCACCUUUUGCAAUUUCUUCUGUUCUAACAAAAACCAAUUUCUUUGUUCAAGUAUUUUCGUUUGGAUAUUAAUAAUUCUCCACCGAAAGAGUGAACUCUUGCUCAAAGGGAUCUCUAAUAAUACAUAACAUGAUUAUUUUCGUUUGAAUAAUUGAUUUCUUGAUUGAAUUGUCGUGUAAUUGAUUUAUGGGGGAUGACACAUCAACAUACUUGAAAAUACACUAAUCUCAGCAUCAUCGGUUAAUAACUUUUAGAUUUAUGGGUAAUCAAUAGUUAAGAUUAGUUGUCAUUAAUACUAAAUAAUUUUUACUUUUUUUGUCUCUUCUAGAGGAUCUUCUAGAAAAAUGCAUCCACAAUUAAAUUUAAUACUUUACAUAAUAAACAAAGCCUAAAUGUUAAAUUUAAGAAACUGCAUUGUAUUUCAGUUGAAGUUGACUUUAAUAUUUAGGGUAGAAAAACAAUUAAUUUUAUUUUUUGAAAUGUCCAUAUUCAGAGCACAUUUCAAAAAGACUCAAUAAUUUCUCAUAAAUUUCAAUUAAAAAUAUUCAAUUUGUUGUUUCAGUUCUUUUAUUUUUUAUUUUUUCCGACAUGAAAGCGACUUAAUGUUACUAAAUUGGGUGGUCUUUGGAUUUUCAUGACCCAAUAAUUGGAACAAAACAAUUUUCUCAAGCGCUCUCCCGCAACAUUUUAUAAUUGAAGCCGCUGCCCCGCCCGUGGUUUCAAACUUUUUUCUUUCUCCUUGUUUAAAUUAAUGGGAGCAGCCUCCGUCCUUGACUAGUUGACUGCUUGUCUUCUUUUUUUUAUUAAUUAAUUAAUUCAGCCGCCCCCCUUUCUUGUCCCAAUAUCUUCUACUUUCGGUUUCCUUUUAUUAUCUCUUUAUUUUUAAAAAAUGCUUAUAAUAAUAAUAAAAUAUAAAAUAUAAAAAUAAAAAUAUAAUUUAUCAGAAAAUUAAGAUAAAGAAAUAUUAUAAGCACAUCAAUCAACAAGUGAAAAAAAAACAAUUUUAAUUUACAUUAAAUAUAAACUUUCAGUGUUAAUCAACUUUUCUAAAUAACUAAAUUAAAAAAUUAAUUGAUUUAAUUGUGGUGUAAUUGAUUUGUAGGGGAUGAAUCAGCAGCAUCAUCGGUUAACGCUUUCAGAUUUAUAGUUAAUCAAUAGUUGAGAGUUGUUAUCACUAACGCCGUGUAUUUUUUAAUGUUUUUUCUCUCUCCUACAGCAUCUUCUAGGAAAGUGCAUCCGUUGCUAAAAUUUAGUAUCGUAAAUAAUAAACCAAGAAUAAAUAUUAAAUCUAAGAAACUGUAUUGCAUUUAAUAUUUAAGGGAGAAAAAUAAUUAUAGUGUCUUUAUUAAUCAGUAAAAAAAAAAAUUAGAAUCAUAAUAAAUUGUAUUGUUAUUGAUGUAUUUAUUUUAUUUUAUACUCAAAAUAAAUUAUUUUAAAUUAUUAAAAUAAUUUAAAAUUAGUAUUUUAUUUUAUACUCAAAAUAAAUAAUUUAAAAUUUUCAUUUCUUGUUUAUUUCGCAAGUUGUUAUUGCCUAAUGCUAUGUCAACUCGAACAUUAGCAUUUUUUUUUUUGGUCCUCUUUUAACGCAAAAUUAGUGUAGGUUAAGUAACAUAAUCAAUAUUAGGACAAUUUGAAAUCCCUAUGGGUGCGUUUGGUACACUGUAUUGUAUUAUACUGUAUUGCAUUAUUUUAAUGCUGAUGUAUUGUAUUAUGUUGUAUUGCAUUAGCACUGUAUUAUAACAAUGCUAUACAAUAUUUGGUGUUACAUUGUACUGUAUUAGAUUUUAAUUAUAUUAUAUUUAGUGUUACAAUUGUUGUAACAUAAACACGACCAAAAUAAAUUGUACUAAAUAAUCUAAGUAAGAGUUCUGUAGUAUAUGUAAUAAUACUAUUUAUAUUAUUAUUAUUAAUAAUUCUAAAUUAAUAUUAUUUAAUUUUAUUCAUAUUUAAAUAUGUAUUAUUAGUUUAUUAAAUUAUUUAAAAUAAUUAAUUUAUAUAUAUUAAUUAUUGUAACUUAAUUAAAUAAUGUAAUGCUAUAUUAUAUUUUUAUAUACUAUUUAAGUAUUUAUUAUUAAUUAUAUUUAAUUAUAAAUUUAUUAAUAAAUUAUAAUAUAAAAAUAAAAAAUAAAAAUUAAUAUUGUAUAAUAUUAUAUUAAAUUAAAGUUUUAUUUUUAUUACUAUUAUUAUAAAGUAAAAAAAAAAAAAAGGGAAGCUACUGACUUUUGAAACACAAAAGUCAGUAAUACAACCUAAUCACGAGGGGGGGCGCGGGUUUUGAUAAUGCGGCAAAAGCUGCAUUGUAAUGCUGCUCAAUGCAAUCCAUUUGAUCACCAAACACAGGUAUAUUUUAACUAAUGCUGGGCCCACAAAAUAAUACAAUGCAAUUCCGCAUGCCAAACAUACCCUAUGGGUGCGUUUGGUACACUGUAUUGUAUUAUACUGUAUUGUAUUAUUUUAAUGCUGGUGUAUUGUAUUAUGCUGUAUUGCGUUAGCAUUGUAUUAUAAUAAUGUUGUACAAUGUUUGGUGUUACACUGUACUGUAUUAAUUUUUAAUUAAACUAUAUUUGGUGUUAUAUUGUAUUGUAUUAAUUUUUAUAAUUAAUUAAAUUAAAUAAUUAAAAAAUAAUAUUUAUUAAUACUUAGAAAAAUAAUAAAUAUAGAAAUCUUAAUUGUAGAAAUUUAACAAAUUUUUUAGUAAAUAUUAAAAAUUAAUGAUUAAAUUUCUAAAAUUUGUAUUAUAAUUAUGAUAAAAUAAAUUUAUAAAAUUUAAUAUUAUAUGUAAAUAAUAAAUUUAGAUUAUAAUUAAUAUUAUAAUUGUUAAUAUAAAUUAAUAAAUUAUUAUUCAAUAAUAUUCAAUUAUAUUUUAAUUUACAAUAUAUUAUUAUUUUUACAUUUUAAUAUAUUAAUAAAUUUAUAAUUUAACAUAAAUAAUUAUAAAUUUAAAUAAUAUUAAUUUUAAAAUUAAUAUUAAUGUAAAUAAUAUUAUAAUAUUAAUAUAUUAUUUUUAUAUGAAUCAUUAAUAAAUAAAAUAAUAUUAUCAUAUAAUUUAUUUUUAUAUUUUAUUCAUUAUAUUAAUAUUUAAUAAUAAAAUAAUUUAUUUUUAUAAUAUUUUAAUAAAAUAAAUUUGCCUCAAUUGAGGCAUUAACUGUUGCCUCAAUUGAGGCAAAAAGCUUCCGCAUCCCUCGGGUUUGCGUAAUGCGGCCCCAUGCCUCAUUAUGCUGCAUUAUAAUGCAGCAUAAUGAGGUGUCAAAUUUUGCCAAACAUGUUCUUGGUAAUAAACUAAUGUGAAUAGUAGUAUAAUACCACAUAAUCUCAUGCACCAAACACGCCCUAUGUGUAUUAUUCACGGUAUCUAUGAGGGCUUAUCCUUUUGCUAGAACAAACUCUAGCAAAUUGUCAAAUGUGCUUAUCCUUUCCCUUGACGACUCAUUUUAAAAUUGUCACUCAUUUUAAAAUUGUCUUUCAAUGCACAAACACAGACAUAACCGCCGACAUCGAGCACCAAGUUUGGAAUUUAAUUGAUAAGCAUACAUUUGAUAAAUUAAUGAAAAGUUUGGAGAGUAGUUUUGAUCACCCUUGAUUAGGACGGUAUUACAAAAAAGAUCAAAAAGAAAACAUCGUCUCUCUUCACAAAAAUAAAUAUUUUCCGUUAGAAUUUAAUACAAUAAUAUUUUUUUUGAUUAAAAUUUAAUUAAAUACACAAAUAAAUUAUAUAUUUUUUAAAAAAAUUUACACCCAGUCACAAGGCUGGCUAUUAAACUUAAAGGGUGGAAGCUUCGGAGACUAAAGUUGGUAACUUCUCCAAGUGGUCUUAAGUUGACCGGAACUACCCAGACUUUAUGUUUGGUAGCCUAGACCUGAUCGGACCUAGGCCCAAGUUUGGUCUUAAAGUCCACAAUUAAAUUAAAAAAAAAUUAUUUGAUUUGUAAUUGAUUUAUGGGGAAUGAAUCCGCAGCCCUAAAAUUACACCAAUCUUGACAUAAUGACAUCAUCGGUUAAAAACGUUCAGAUUUAUGGUUAAUCAAUGGUUUGAGAUUUGUUAUCAUUAAUGCUAGAUAUUUUUUAACAUUUUUUUCUAUCUCUCUUCUCCUGAAGGAUUUUCUAGGAAAAUGCAUCCACAACAAAAAUUUUAAAUUGUAAACAAUAAACAGAGUAUAAACGUUAAAUCUAAGGAACAUCGCUGCAUUUCAGCUGAAGCGAACUUUAAUAUUUUACGGAGAAAAAUAAUUAAGUCUUUAAUGUGAUUUAUUGAUUAAUAUAUAUGACUAAUUUUUUAAAAGAAGAUGAAGGAUGAAGCUUAAAAAUAUAAAUUAUAGAAUUAAUUUAUCUCUUCAAUAAAUCUAAAGUUUAUUUUUUUUAUUACAUGCUUCUAUUUUAUUUUUAUUCCAUGUUAAUGAAUGGAGAUUUAAAUCCAUUUUGGAUUUAUAAAGAUGUUUAGAUAUUUAAAUCCACGUGUGAUUCCAAACUUGAACCUUUUUUUUUUUUUUUUCUAAUUAAUGCAAACAGCCGCCUCUUUGACUGCUUUUCUUCUUUGUUUAUUAAUUAAUUAAUUCAGCUGCCCACCUUUCUUUUCCUAAUGUUUUCUACUCCCAAAUUUUUUUAAGGACAAGGCUACGUUGCAGACGCUGUACCUAACAGCUGCACCUUCGCCAGCUUAAAAAAGGGUGCAUUUGGUAAGCAACUUUUCUUUCGUGUGCAUAUGUGUCCUGCCACCAUUGGGUGUGUACGUAACAGAUAAUGUACCGUAACAAGCUCCUAUUUUUAAAUUUGUUUAUAAUGAUAAAAUAUAAAAAUUAAGAUUAAAAUGUAAUGUAAUGUAAAAUUAAAGGUGGAAGAGUAUUAAAAUAAGGCUAAACCUAUGUUACGUUUAACGUAACAUACAUUUAAAUAUAUAAAAUAUCAAUGGAAACCCUCAAAUUUUAUGGAAACUAUAUUAAUAAAAUUAAAAGAAAUAUUUUUAAAUCUGAAAGAAGAAAUAAAAGAUAUAAAGCAAGAGAUAGGAAAACUAAAAAUAGAAAUAUCUGUAAAAGAAAAAGGAAAAGAAAAAUUAGAAAUAAAAGAAACAACUCCAACUGAAUCGAAUUCAGACUAAUGGAAGAUGUAUUAGAAACUUUAACUGAAAAAUUCAGUGACAUAAAUCUUAGUGAUUUAGAAGACUUUGAAAAAGAAUAUUAGAUAAAAAUGAAUACUGCUGGAGGACCAGAAAUGAAACCUAAUGUAGCAUAACCAAGUCAUAGAUAUGGUAUAAAUAAAAUGAAAAAUAAACCUUUUUACGAGUAUAUACCUCCUAUUAAAAAUACUCCUUGGAAAAAAGAAUACAAACCAAAUCAAGAUACAUUAACCCCAAUAAAUAAUGCUGGAACAUUUUUAAAUCUAGAUUGUAAGAUAGACAUUCGAAAGGCGUUAGCAGAAUGGGUGUUACAAAUGAAAUUAUUUUUUAUAUUUAACGGGUCAAAGGAUGACUAGAAUGUAGAGACUGAAGAAGAAAAAAUAGAUAUAUUUGUUGAAAUCUUAAUAGCCAGUUUUUCAGGAAAUGUGUUUAAUUGGUGGAGAGGAUUAAGCGAUGAUACACAAAACUUAAUAAAAGAUUCAACCAAAUAGCAUUUAGAAAAAAUAAAGCCUUAGGAAUGGAAAGGAUAACUGAAUACAUAGCUAGUGAAUUUUUAGGAGAAGAUUGGCUAGAAAAAUCGGGCAUAUAUGAAAAUUUAAAAAUUUAUGAUAAAAAGAUCUUAGUGUUUUUAUUAAAAAAUUAAAAUUUACAUGACUAUUUCUUUAAAUAUUUAGGGCAUAUAUGAACCACGGAGGAGAAAAGCUUUAUUUAAUAUUUUAGAAUAGUUUUUGAUCAGUACAAUUGGGUCCUUAUUCAGAAUUAUUGUUCUCUUCCGCAACAGUUUUUGUUUAUCAAAGUCGUCAAUUAAAAUUUUAGAAUUCUUAUCAGAAGAAGUAGUCGUUUUAGAAGUUGGGUCUUGGAUCAAAUUUCUACGAGUGCAUGAAUUAACAAUAAAAAAAUUUCAUUACACACGGUUUAAGCUACAAACUACUAUUUGCACAGUUGACUAUAAAACUUACCUCCAAUUACACUAAACCUCUCUAUUUGGUAACGUUGAGACUAAAUUAAUUUUAUUAGCAUGAAAAGAUGAUAGAAAUAUAAUUAUAAAUAUUAUUGUUGUUAAUCAAUUAGUACAUGUGAUAUAAAGGUUAAAUGUGCACUAUAUUUAAUAAUUAAUUAGUGGAGCAUGUUAAACAAAAUGUUAAUGUAUAUUUAUAUAGUGUUAGGAAUAUGCAAAGUCAAGUCCUCAAUUUGCAUUAUCCUGUAUAGAAUAUUACUCUAAAAAUGUUUUACUAUAAUUGGCUUAGAACAUUUGUAAAGAAAAAUAAUAAUAAAAUAAUAAAUAACAUACACCGUCACAUAGCACCUAGACAAUGAUAGAAAAUUAUUAAAGAGAGUGCAAACAAUUAAUUAGAGAUUUUUAUGAUGACUUUUAAUAUUCAUGAUAAUAACAAAUAAAUACAUGUAUCACUUUUUUAAAAUAUUAAAUUUGACUGCUCCAUUAAUAAAUUAUUAUUGUAAUUCAGACUCUAUCUAUAUAUCCUUGCACUAAGAAUAAUUAAGGUAACGUUUGUUUUUUAACUUAAUGACUUAAAGUGACUUAACUUAAUUAAUUAAGUUAAUUAGAGGUGUUUGUUUUAUAACUUAAUGAGACUUUUUAGAUAAUUUUGACUUAAUAAAAUAAGCUAAUUUUUUUUGGCUUUUUACUUAAUGGAGAAAUCUGAAUUAAGUCAAUUACUUGCUAAUGUCAAAAAUAUCCUUGUUUUAUAAUUUAUUUUUCAUGUCUAUCCCAAAACUCGCCCGUAGAUAUUUACCCCACAUAAAAAUAUCCCUGUUUUUUUCUUUCUUAUAUUAUAUACGAUAAAAUUUGAAAUUUAUAGUAUUUUAUAUAUUAAAAUUCUAAAAUAAUUAUGUAUUCACUUGAAUAUAGUUUUACUUAUAAAUGUUAAAAUAUGAUGGUAUUUAAUAUAUUAUUUAUUUGACAUUCAAAUUUAAUAAGGAUACAAAUGUAAAAGUACAUAUUUUCAGCUUUUUAAAUUGAAAAAAAAUAACUUAAUAUUUAUUUUCUGAGAUUCAGACGAAAAAAUAAACAUAUUAUUCAGAUUCAUACAUUCAGAUCUAUUCAGAAUUCAAACUAAUUCAAGUCUAUUCAAAUUUUAGACAAAAAAAUAAACGCCACCUAAGUCAUAAUAAAAAUUUUCGUAACUACAUCUCGUUUCUUCCUCAUAAUAAUAAUUAGAUUGGUUCGAAUAUUAUAACUAUAUAGAUUUAGUGUAUAGCCACAUCCAAUUUAAAUAUUGACCCAAUUGGGAUGGUCCCCAAAAAAAAAGAUUCGUUAAAGGAUAAUUCUAAUUAUUUUUACUUCUCAAACGUUAGUGGGACGUUUCUAUUAGCGCACUCGUAAGCCAAGUUGUCAAAUAUUUAUACUAAACUACAAUUGCUAACAAGAAAAAUCAAGAUCGUGUUAAGCAAGUGGGUCCCGAAUAGGACGUGCAAAUCUCUCGUAAGUCAAGUUGUCAAAUGUUUAUAUAAAACUAACAAUUACUGACAAGAAAAAUCAAGAUCGUAUUAAAAAUGGGUCCCGAAUAGGAUUAUCUUUUUAAGAAUAUUAUUAUUUUAUUAUUAAAAUUUUAUUAAUAUAACAGUAUUAAAAUUUAUUAAAAAAUAUAUUUUAUUAUUAAAAUUUUAUACCGUUAUCAAUUUAUUAUUAUUUUAUUAAAAAAAUUAAUAUUUAACAAAAAUUGAGAUAAAAAUUAAUUUUUGUUCUCUGUCUUUAUUUAUUUAUUUAUUUUUUUGGGUCUUCUGCAAAUCACAAUCAAAUGUUGAAUUAUAAAUUUGCCGGCAUUGCUUUUUUUUUUUUUUUUGGGCCGGGGGGUGGUGUUGAAUUGAUGCUCUGGGUUUUUGACUUUUGUUGUCAAAUUUUACUCUGUUUUUCCCAAAUUGAUGCUANNNNNNNNNNNNNNNNNNNNNNNNNNNNNNNNNNNNNNNNNNNNNNNNNNNNNNNNNNNNNNNNNNNNNNNNNNNNNNNNNNNNNNNNNNNNNNNNNNNNNNNNNNNNNNNNNNNNNNNNNNNNNNNNNNNNNNNNNNNNNNNNNNNNNNNNNNNNNNNNNNNNNNNNNNNNNNNNNNNNNNNNNNNNNNNNNNNNNNNNNNNNNNNNNNNNNNNNNNNNNNNNNNNNNNNNNNNNNNNNNNNNNNNNNNNNNNNNNNNNNNNNNNNNNNNNNNNNNNNNNNNNNNNNNNNNNNNNNNNNNNNNNNNNNNNNNNNNNNNNNNNNNNNNNNNNNNNNNNNNNNNNNNNNNNNNNNNNNNNNNNNNNNNNNNNNNNNNNNNNNNNNNNNNNNNNNNNNNNNNNNNNNNNNNNNNNNNNNNNNNNNNNNNNNNNNNNNNNNNNNNNNNNNNNNNNNNNNNNNNNNNNNNNNNNNNNNNNNNNNNNNNNNNNNNNNNNNNNNNNNNNNNNNNNNNNNNNNNNNNNNNNNNNNNNNNNNNNNNNNNNNNNNNNNNNNNNNNNNNNNNNNNNNNNNNNNNNNNNNNNNNNNNNNNNNNNNNNNNNNNNNNNNNNNNNNNNNNNNNNNNNNNNNNNNNNNNNNNNNNNNNNNNNNNNNNNNNNNNNNNNNNNNNNNNNNNNNNNNNNNNNNNNNNNNNNNNNNNNNNNNNNNNNNNNNNNNNNNNNNNNNNNNNNNNNNNNNNNNNNNNNNNNNNNNNNNNNNNNNNNNNNNNNNNNNNNNNNNNNNNNNNNNNNNNNNNNNNNNNNNNNNNNNNNNNNNNNNNNNNNNNNNNNNNNNNNNNNNNNNNNNNNNNNNNNNNNNNNNNNNNNNNNNNNNNNNNNNNNNNNNNNNNNNNNNNNNNNNNNNNNNNNNNNNNNNNNNNNNNNNNNNNNNNNNNNNNNNNNNNNNNNNNNNNNNNNNNNNNNNNNNNNNNNNNNNNNNNNNNNNNNNNNNNNNNNNNNNNNNNNNNNNNNNNNNNNNNNNNNNNNNNNNNNNNNNNNNNNNNNNNNNNNNNNNNNNNNNNNNNNNNNNNNNNNNNNNNNNNNNNNNNNNNNNNNNNNNNNNNNNNNNNNNNNNNNNNNNNNNNNNNNNNNNNNNNNNNNNNNNNNNNNNNNNNNNNNNNNNNNNNNNNNNNNNNNNNNNNNNNNNNNNNNNNNNNNNNNNNNNNNNNNNNNNNNNNNNNNNNNNNNNNNNNNNNNNNNNNNNNNNNNNNNNNNNNNNNNNNNNNNNNNNNNNNNNNNNNNNNNNNNNNNNNNNGAAGGGUCUCUAAUCAAUAGCUGGAAGCAAUUGAGAAGGCGGUUGCUACAGUGAAUUCAAAUGUAAAAUGUUUGCUAUUCUUCGAUUUGGUUAAUGAUUUCGUAUGAAUAUUGUUGUUCCGUUGAGUUGCAUGCGAAUUCAAAUGCAAAAUAUUCUUCGAUUUUCAAUUUUGAAAUCAAAUUUUUUUUUCCUUCUCAAGCAUGUUAUGCAGAAACGAUUGUCAUGUUAUGCAGAAACGAUUUUUACUAAAUCAUUUUUAACAAACUAUUGAAAUUAAACCACUGGAAUAAGAAUUGUAAGGAUUUAUCGUAAGCUUACUAAUACGAUAAUUCUGAAACUAUCACCUUUUUUUUUUUAUUUGUUGCAGGGAAACCCAAAUUUUGUAUUUUGUCAAUUUCAUCUGAUAUGGAAUUUAUUUCCUCCCUAAAGAUUUAUCAAACUGCUUCUCUUCCCUGCUUCAAUAUCUUUAUGCAAUUACGAUCUCAUAGGAAAAGAGAGUUUGGGUUGUAUAUCUUAUAGUAUUUAUUUAUUUUUUGUUAAAAGAAAUUUAUUUUAAAAUAGUUUAUAGCAACAGUUUUUAUUUAACAAUAAUGAGGAAGGAUUAUUAUAGGUUCAAAUAGUUGUUAGAACAUUAUAAAAAAGUCCAUUUACUAUCAAAUGUUUUAAAUUGGUGCAACGUGAUAAUUGUCUCAUAUAAUUUUUUAAGGGUAAAAACUCGUUUCAUUCCCAUAUUUUAAGAUUAUUACUCAUUUAGUCUUUAUAUUUUUAAAAAUGUUUCAAAACAUUCAUACCCUUAAAUUAUUAACAUCUCUGCUGUUACUUUUUAUUUUUUUUUGACUUGUUUUUACAAUAUUGCCCUCUUACAAUAAUGUUUCUUUUUAUAAAAUUAAUAAAAAGAAAAAAAAUUAAAUUAUCAAUUUAACCCCAAAAAUAAAAUAAAAAUAAAAAGAAUAAAUAUUAAUUUUUGUGAAAGUUUACAUGUGUCCAAAAUAAAUUUUAUUGUAAAAAUAAUUAAAUUGCCUUUUUUUUGGACAUUAGUAAUAAAAAAAUUAAUAUAUUAAUUCCUCAGCAGUGUGUUACAAAAAAGUAAAAUAUAUUAAUUUUGUUUUUAUUUUAGACAAUGAGAUAGAGAAAAGUACAAGAUAAAGGAAAGGACUUCAAAACUCACUGUUCAUCAUAAUGCCCUUUGCCUUUAAAAAAAAAUCAUUCUAAUAUUUUAUAACACAUAAAAUAUAAUCCUAAGAUAAAUAUAAUAAUACAUAUUUUAAACUAAUCUCGAUAUUUAAAAUAUGUUUUAAUAUUUUAUAAUCUAUCAGACAUAUUUUAUUAUAUUAAUGUAAAAUUUAUAAUAAAUACAAACAUAUUAUUAAAAUAAAUAUAUAAAAAAUAUUUAUUUUUUAUAUGUUUACACUGAGGACUCUCUUUAAUUCAUUUAUUUUCUCUCUCUCCAAACAGGUACUGUCUUCAGUUAGCAAUGCUAUGAUAGUAAUCCAAUUCUCUUCUCCCCCACCUGAGCGAGAUUUGAAUUUGAAUCCCUUGUUUUUCACCCACUCUGUUUUUUUUCACGCAAGAUUUGACAAUUUGAGUUAAAAAAUAUGGUCCAAAACUUGAACACGUAUCUUUUAAUUGUAAUAAAAGUUCUUUAAGCUUUGGAGAUGGCAUAUAUAUGGCUGGAAGUGUCCUUUUCUUUGACCUAGAGGCAGCACCAAGCUAUCCAGCAUCAUCAUUUUUCAAGUGGGUCUUAAAUGCCUAGAAACGUUGGUGUUUCUUGAUUUAAAGAUGACACAUGCUAUAAGUGUGAAUGGUUUGGCUAAGCCUAAAUUUAAAGUCUACUCAAGUCGCAUUCAGGAUCAUGGAAAUUGGAAAGGGAGAGAUGAUAGCAAGAUUUAUAAUAAACAAUUAACUUGGGUCCUCAGUGUACAAAGCAAAUGCCACGCAAGCGAUAGCCGGCCCAGCCCAGAAAACCCAGUGGCGAUCCCAGAGAUGGCCUCCUCUAACGAGUGCUGGGCCCAAAAAUCUUUGCGGGUUGAGCCCAGCUCCGGCAUAGCCCUUUUGAGCAGUAACAGUUGUCGAGACAAAAACCAGAAGACCCAACACUGUUCCAAUGACAAUGCAUACGGUAAACUCUGCCAAGAGCCUUGGCUUGUCUGGAGUCAAAAGCCAUCCACACAGAAGCAAAAAGGAACACAAACGAGCAAAUUAUCUCAAGCCAAAGGGCCUGCCUAGUCCCCAAGCCGAUCUCAACAGGCCCAUCUGGCCCAGGUACGACAACAUUCAGGGUGCAGCCUCCAAGUUGUCAAAUAUUUAUAUUAAACUACAAUUGCUGACUAGAAAAAUCAAGAUCGUAUUACAAGUGGGUCCCGAAUUGGACGUGCCUAAAUCUUUUUAUAAUUUUCCCAGUGUAGCGGACAGAGGUCAUUACUAAAUUUCUCUUCCACACGCCACAGCAGCUUCGGUUAAUCAAACUCAAUCAAUUUUCUUGGCUUCUCCGCUUAUCAAUAUUACAAGGUAUGGGUAGCAUUUUUCAAAUCACAUGCGAUGGUACUAUUUUCAAUCGUUGCUUAGAUUGCUUUCUUGGAAAAGCAGCAUACAUAAGUAACCUCCAAGAUAAUCUUGUUGCCUUGGAGACUGAACUAAGGAAACUAAUCGCAGCAAAGAACGAUGUGAUGACGGCGGUUGUCAAUGCUGAACGGCAACAAAUGAGAAGGCUGGACCAAGUGCAAGUGUGGGUUUCGAGGGCGGAUGCUGUUAAAAAUGAAGCUGAUGAACUUAUCAGAGGCGGCUCUCAAGAAAUUGAAAAAUUAUGUCUUAGAGGGUUCUGUUCCAGGAACUGCACGUCAAGCUACAAGUUCGGAAAACAAGUGGCUAAAAAGCUACGAGCUGUGGAGACUUUAAUCGCCGAAGGAGUUUUUGAGGCGGUGGCUGCCGAGGUGGUGCCUGAGAGAGCUCCAGAGCCUGUAGCAGAUGAAAGACCUACCGAGCGAACAGUAGUAGGCUUGCAAUCACAACUUGAACAAGUCUGGAGAUGUCUUGCAGAAGAAUCAGCGGGAAUCAUUGGCCUAUAUGGUAUGGGCGGUGUUGGUAAAACUACACUAUUGACCUAUAUCAACAAUAAAUUUCUCGAGAGUCCAACCAACUUUGAUUGUGUGAUUUGGGUAGUAGUUUCAAAAGACCUGCGACUUGAAAAACUUCAAGAAAAUAUUGGGAAAAAGAUAGGUUUGGUUGAUGAUUCAUGGAAGAGUAAAAGUGUAGAGGAGAAAGCUCUCGACAUCUUCCGGAGUUUAAGAGAGAAGAGAAUUGUAUUGCUGUUAGAUGAUAUAUGGGAGCGGGUUGAUUUAACAAAAGUGGGCGUUCCACUUCCAGGACCACAAAAUACUACCUCAAAAGUCGUAUUCACAACCCGUUUGAUCGAUGUUUGUGGUAGCAUGGAAGCUGACAGGAAGUUCAAAGUAGCAUGCUUAUCAGAAAAGGAUGCUUGGGAACUGUUUCGAAAAAAAGUUGGGGAAGAAACUCUUGGAAGUCAUCAUGAUAUCGUUGAGCUAGCCCAAACUGUGGCCAAAGAGUGUGGUGGUUUGCCACUCGCACUUAUUACUAUCGGUCGAGCUAUGGCCUACAAAAAGACAGCCGAAGAGUGGAGACACGCAGUUGAAGUUCUAAGAAGAUCAGCUUCGGAAUUUGCAGGUUUGGGAAAAGAGGUGUAUCCUCUUUUAAAGUUUAGCUAUGAUAGUUUGCAGAAUAAGACGAUUAGAUCUUGUUUCUUAUAUUGUUGUUUAUAUCCUGAAGAUUAUGGCAUUCUUAAAUGGGACUUGAUUGACUGUUGGAUUGGUGAGGGAUUCUUAGAGGAAUCUGACAGGUUUGGUGCAGAAAACCAAGGAUACUACAUUGUGGGCACUCUUGUUCAUGCGUGUUUACUAGAAGAGAUAGAAGAUGAUAAAGUAAAAAUGCAUGACGUUGUUCGUGAUAUGGCUCUAUGGAUAGCUUGUGAAAUUGAGAAGGAGAAGAGAAACUUUUUGGUUUGUGCAGGUGCGGGACUAAAGGAGGCACCUGAUGUUAAAAGAUGGGAAAAUGUGAGAAGAUUGUCAUUGAUGCAAAACCAAAUUGAAACUUUGUCAGAGGUUCCUGCAUGCCCUCAUCUCCAUACUCUAUUUCUUGCCUCUAAUAAUAGUUUGCAGAGGAUCACCGAUGGCUUCUUCCAAUUUAUGCCUUCUCUCAAAGUUUUCAAGAUGUCAAACUGCGGGAAUUUAAUUUUGGAAUUACCUUUUGGGAUGUCAAAGUUGGGUUCAUUGGAACUUCUCGAUAUUUCACAUACCUACAUACAAGAGUUACCACAAGAGUUAAAGUUGUUGGUAAAUCUGAAAUGUUUGAAUUUGAGGUGGACAAGCGAGUUAAAUAAAAUUCCACGGCAGCUAAUAUCAAAUUCUUCAAGGUUACGUGUGUUGAGAAUGUUGGGUACUGGCUGGUUCAAUUUUCAUGAAGCAUCAGAAGACAGCGUUUUAUUUGGCGGGGGUGAAGUUUUAGUACGGGAAUUGCUCGGUUUGAAAUAUUUAGAGGUAUUGGAGUUGACCUUGCGAAGUUAUCAUGCUCUCCAAAUUGUUUUGAGCUCAAAUAAGUUAAAAAGUUGUAUUCGAUCUCUUUACCUCCAGUUGACCGGAGAUAGAAAGUCGAUUAUUGAUGCUACGGCUUUCGCAGAUCUAAACCACCUCAAUGAAUGAUUGAUUUUUAAAGGUUUUGAGUUGGAAGAAUUGAAGAUUGAUUAUACAGAGAUAGUACGAAAAAGGCGGGAACCUUUUGUUUUCCGCAGCCUUCACCGUGUUACCAUAGAUUCGUGCCUUAAAUUGAAAGAUUUGACAUUCCUCGUUUUUGCUCCAAACCUCAAGUCUCUUUCGCUAUUCAAUUGCCGUGCUAUGGAAGAAAUAAUCAGCGUUGGAAAAUUUGCUGAGGUUCCUGAGAUGAUGGGACAUAUAAGCCCUUUUGAAAAUCUCCGAAGUCUUCGUUUGUCACAUUUGCCAAAUUUGAAGAGCAUCUACUGGAAGCCAUUGCCUUUCACUCAUCUGAAAGAAAUGGUGGUACAUGGGUGUGAUCAGCUUAAAAAGCUUCCACUCGAUUCCAACAGUGCAAAAGAGCGUAAAUUUGUUAUUCGUGGACAAGCAGACUGGUGGGACCGACUUCAAUGGGAGGAUGAAGCCACUCAAAUUGCUUUUAGUUCCUGUUUCCAACCUUAACUUGAUUUCUGGUUAGUGCUGUUUCCUUAACUUUUACAUAUAUUCUCGUCGUUUGCUUCGUGCAAAAUACUAGGUCUUUUGUUCUCUGUUUUUAUUUCGCCCAUUUUUUUUUUUUUUUUUUGUCUUCUGCAAAUGACAGACAAAUGUUGAACUAAAAGGAAUUAAUGCUUUAUAACUUUGCCGGCAUUGCUUUUUUCUUUUUCUUUUUUGAUUUUUUGGGGCGAGGGGGGAUCGAAUAGAUGCUCUGGUUUUUGACUUUUUGUUGUCAAAUUUUACUCUGUUUUUUUCAAAUUGAUGCUUGAAUAUUUGAAUCAAAUUAAUGCUCACGUAAAUUUGUUCAGUUGCCGUAAAAGGAUAUAAUUACACUGAAAUACACAAACUCUAGAAUGAAUAGAAUUAAACAGAGAAAAUCUUGAGUAUAUUAGCCGUCUUCACAUAAAAUCAUAUGAAAAUUAAAUUUUGAAGUUUUUAUUUUCUAUUUUUAAUCAUACCCUUUAUAAUUUCUUCUGUUCUAACUACAAUAAAAUUUUUGGUUCAAGGAUUUUUAUGAGGGGUAUUAAUAAUAGUCCACCAAAAGAGUGAACAGUUGGAUGCUGCCCUAAGGGUCUCUAAUCAAUAGCUGGAAGCAAUUGAGAAGGCGGUCGUUACUGUGUACAAAGCCAUGCAGUAUUUGCUAUUCAUCUUAGUAAUUAUGAAGCUUUGGUAAAAUUUUCAAACAAAGUUGACAUGUUAUUUUGAGAUUUGGUUCAUGAUUUUGUAUGAAUAUCGUUGUUCCAUUGAGUUGUAUAUGAAUUCAAAUGUAAAAUAUUCUUUGGUUUUCAAUUUUGAAUUCAAUUUCUUUUCUUAAGCAUGUUGUGCAGAAAUGAUUUCUACUAAAUCAUUUUUGAUAAACUACUUAAAUUAAACAACUGCAAUAAGAACUGUUAAGGAUUUAUCGUAAGCAGACUAAUAUGAUAAUUCUGAAACUAUCAUUUUUUUUUUCAAUUUGUUGCAGGGAAAGCCAAAUUUUGUAUUUUUCAGUUUUAUCUGAUAUGGAAUUUAUUUCCUCUACACUAGCUACCUAAAGAUUUAUCAAAUUGCUUCUCUUCCCUGCUUCAAAUUAAUAUCUUUAUGCAACUACAAUCUCAUAGGAAAAGACAGUUUGGGUUGUAUUUAUUAUAGUUUUUUUUUUCGUUAAGAGCAAUUUAUUUUAAAAUCGUUUAGUAGUAACAGUUUUUAUUGAAUAAUAAUGGGGUAGGAUUAUUAUAGGUUCAACUAGUUGUUAGAACAUUAUAAAAAGUCCAUUUACUAUCAAAUGCUUUAAAUUGGUGCAACAUGAUAAUUGUCCCACAUAAUUUUUAAUAAUAUAUAUGGCCCAUAAAUUUAAUAUGAAUAAAUGAGUUUCGAUAGUUAAAUUUGAUACGAUUAUUAAAUAAGUUAUAUCCAUGUCAAUUCGACUUAAAAUCUGGUAAAUUUAGAUUUAGAGUUUAUAACAUGAUAACUUGUUUUAUGACAUGAUUUACUAAUCAAUUAAUAUUAAAUUAUAUUUUAGCCAAUCAGAUAUGUGGUACAUUUGUCAAAUUUUAAAAAUUAUUUAUUUAUAUAUGAAAUAAAUUUGACUAGACUGUGUGUAGGUAAUAGUGCAUAAUUUCUAAAAAAAUGUAAUAAUAACACGUUAAAAUGUUAUUUUUAUGAAGAAAAAUUGAAAUUUUAUUAAAUAGGCGACACAAUAAUAAAUGGGUUGAGAUUAUUUACAUUUUAAGAAUUACUCUGAACAUUAUUUUAUUUUAUAAAUUUUAUAUUACAAAAACACCCAUAGUUUAAUUUACCAUUAAGAACAAUUUUGUGCGAUUAAAUAAAAUACAUUACUCUUUACCCUUUCACUACAUCGACAUAAAUCCUAAUUGUUAUGUUUCUAAUUUCUUUGAUAUGCUUAUUGAAGUCCACAUUAUAAUCAAUUUUAAACUAUUAUACCACUUAAAUACAUUUUAGAAUGAGAAGUUUGGUUUUCUUCAUGGGCUGCCUUGCUGAUGCUGUUAUUGAAACUAUCGAACUUAAUAAUUUUAUGGCCAAAAUGAUAUAUGUUGAACCAGCUUUUACAUCGAAUUCUACCACCAUAAAAAAUCGUACUUGUAACAUCUCAAGGUUCCAAUUUAUCAAAAGUUAAUCAUUCAUAUUUGUUAGUUCCUAACAGUCACAAGAGCGUACAAGCCAAUUUUUGUAGCUCCUUUUUCUGCAGUAGAUUCAAGUAUAUUAUUAUCAAGCAUUUUUGUUACACCCUUAAUUCCUUAUCAUCAUCCCUUCAUUCAGAGCAACUAAACAGAGGUCAAUGUCAUUAUGUUAGAGUUACGAGGAAGAGUACUGCCAAAAAAGUUCUUUGUAUGGGAUUUAAUUUUCUGGGUUUGUAGUGAUGAACAAAUUGAGGGUUGUUUUGGUAUUUUCAAGAGUGUAUUGAGUGAAAAUUAUUUUUAAAAAAUUUAACAAAUGAGUGUAAUGAGUAAAAAAGUGUUUAAAGUAUUUUUUAGAGUACAAAUAGCUCCACCUUAAUAAAUGAGUUCUUGUAAAAAUUGAGAUUAUUGAUAUAAUUAUUAAAUAGGUUGGAUUGAAGUUAGUUUAAUUUUGACAAGAUAAUAAGACGACGCGACACAAAUACAACCAACCAGUCAACCCAAAUUGCAACCUUUUACUAAUAAAAGAUACCUGUUUGAAAAGUAAUUAUAAGCUAUCUUCUUUGUGUUAUUUCUCUAAAAAUUUGCGGCACAAAUAUUAUUUCCAUGGAGAAAAGUACGAAAUACCCGCUUUCACUUCAGCAGAAGCAAAGCAAAGCUAUGAGCCAUCUCUGUAUAAUUGAAACGCCAUUGCUAAACGGUUCUUGAUGAUGGGUGCCACCGUGCCAGCGUUGUCGCUGAUUUGCAUGAUUUAUUAGUUGUUCAGAUGGCGGAUUUUGUACUGUCACUUUCAUUUCAUUCUUGAGAGCCACGUACAAUACUAGGUGGCAUUGAAGUUGCCCCAGUGGUUAGUUUUCUGAUUUUUUUUAAUUCAAAUUUUUAUGUUUUAGAAAAAUGUAAGAAAUAUGUAGAAAUGUUGACAGCUACAAUUUUGAAACUUUGCCUAAAAUUAUUAUCGUUGCUUAUUGUUUCUUAGCUAAAGAGAAAUCCUAGAAACAUGAAAUUAUUAUUCUAUGCUUGUUUUAAUAUUAUACAUUAGCAGGUUAAUUAAAAAUUAGACGUGAAUACAACAAGAGAUAAGUGGAGAGAAUUUGGUAGUCGACCGCAUUUAGAAUUUAAUUUUUCUUUUAGCUGCCGAUCAUUAAAUUUUAUAUUUCAGAAAAUUAUACCUAGAAUAUUUCAAGGAUAUACUACGAAGAUUAUGAAGGUUUGAUUACAUGUCACUAUCAAUUGCCUCAAUCAUUUGUAGUAAAUUAAUUAAUCAUUUUGCUGCAAAUGAUUUCCUAUUAAAAAAUUCAAGUCAGAGCUGAAUUGCACAGUAGUUAGUCGUGCUUGCAAUUCAAAUCAAGUAUUGUAUUUUCUGCCUGAUUUGGUUGAUUCAACUAUGUGCAUUUGCAUAAUGGAGAUGCUUAUGAACGUUGUAGUAUAGAAAUCGAAACGUCUUGUCUUUUGCUAAGCCCAGAAGCAAAGUUCUUUGUAUUAUACUCAUCAGUUUUCUUCGUUCUCUUCGUUGAAAUUUUAUCCAAACAGCGGUUUCUUCGAAUUUUUGCCCUCUCUUACAUUUUUAAAUCUAUCAAAGAACGGUUACCUGAGAAGAUUGCCAUCAGGUAUUUCGAAAUUGAUUUCACUACAAUACCUUAAUCUAUCAGAUUUUAAUCUAUCAGAUGCUCCCGUCACUCAGUUGCCAAAAGUGACAAAAGCCUUAGUAAAUUUUUAGAGUAAAAACUCAUUUAUUCCUUAUAUUUUAAGAUUAGUAUCUAUUUAGUCCUUAUAUUUUGAAAAAUACCUUGAAACAUCACUGCCAUUAAAGUAUUGAUACCCUUACCGUUACUUUUUAUUUAUUUUGGCUUAUUUUUACAAUAUUACCCUUUAAUAAUAAUUUUUUUGUUUAGACAUUAAUAAAAAUAAAAUAAUUAAAUUACCAAUUUAAUCCUAAAAAAUAAAAAUAAAAAUUUAUAUUAAUUUUUAAUUGUAAAAAAUUGUAUGCAAACUACCAAAUGUGCAAACGGUGCUUGCAAAAAAAUUAAUAUAAAUUUUUUAUUUUUAGGGUUAAAUUAGUAAUUUAAUUAUUUUAUUUUUAUUAAUGUCCAAAAAAUUAGUAAUUUAAUUAUUUUCUUUUUAUUAAUGUCCAAAAAUUAUUAUAAAAGGGUAAUAUUAUAAAAGUAAGCUAAAAGAAAUGAAAAGUAACGGUAGGGGUAUCAAUACUUUAACGGUAGGGAUGUUUCGAGGUAUUUUUAAAAAUAUAAAGAGUAAAUGGACACUAAUAUUAAAAUACAGGGACUAAAUAAGUUUUUAUCCUAAAUCUUUAAGUGUUUGAAUUGGAGUACAUAAAUUAUCUCUCUACAAUUCAAAAACAACAGAUUUGUUACUUUUCAACGCUACAGGUUCCGCGAAUAUUCAGUUGUGGUUAUCUUGUUGAAACACCAGAAAAUAGCGUUCUAUUUGGUGGUAAUGAAUUCUUGGUUGGGGAGUUACUUAGUUUAAAACAUUUAAAUGUAUUAAGCAUCGCCUUAAAAGGUUUUUCUACCGUCCAAAAAUUUAUGAGCUCCCAAAAGUUUCAAAGUUGUACAAAAUGUUUGGAGCUUAUAGACAGUGAUGAUUCAAAGUCGUUUGCCAUGGCAGAGUUGAAGCAUCUUGAAAAACUAGGUAUUUCAAAUUGUGGAAAUUUGGAAGAGUUUAAGUUCUGCUGUGUCGAAGUUGGAAAAACUUGAGAAGAUUUUUGUUUGAACAGCCUUCACCAAGUUAAGAGAAAGGCUUGUCAUAAAUUGAGGGAAGUGACAUGGCUUGUGUUUGUACCAAAUCUUAAGGUUAUUCAGAUAGAAAAAUGUAUGGAGAUGGAGGUUGUUGGGAAAGAGACUACCACAAGCAGCUAAAAAUUAAGCGAAUACAAAAUUCUUUCUCUCUUUGUGUGAUUAAAAUAGGAUGUGCACCACAAACAAAUAAGCAGAAAAAUAAACCAAUAAAUGCAAAGCAAAAACCAACCACAAGAGACACCGAUUUUUAAGUAGAAAAUUUAAAUUGGGAAAAAUCACAGGAUAGUAGUCUGAUAUAAACUUCUACUAUAUUAAUGAGAUUACAACACAAAUUCUUCUCCAGAUAAUACUAGAUGCUAACAAUAUUAAAAUUCUCAACAAUCUUAGUUUAUAAUAAUAGAUCUAAAAUCUAUUUCUUCAAUAAGUGAGUAUCUCAAAUAAUAGCUACUGAGAGAAUAAAAUACAGAUCAACACCAGUAGAAAUAUAGAGGGCAAUGUCAGGAACUUACCCUCCAAAUUUAGGACUAAUCAGAGCUAAAAUAACCUUUUGAUUGUUGAAUCAAAGAUUGAAAACCAAAAAAAAAAAAAAUAUCUCUUUCUCUCGCAGUGUCUUCUCACUUUCGCAAAAUGUCUACAGCUCUCGCGAUUCUUUACUUAUUUCCUUAGUUAAUUUCAUCCAAGUCCAAAAUUUUACAAUAAUUACACAUCAAGCAAAUUAUUUUGGACUUUGAACUUUUUGGUCCACUGAAGUGAAAUGGACCUUACAAAUCUCCCCCUCCAUCUCAUCUAAGGGGCACCACCAAGCCCGCUCUCUACUUACAGCUUUCCAGCUUCUCCUUGGGUAAUGACUUUAUCAUCAUAUCUGAUGCAUUCUUCGUUGUGUGAAUUUCUCCAAGCUGCAACUGUUUCUACUCAAGCACGUCUUGUAUCCAAUGAUACUUCAUAUCAAUAUGCUUCGAUUUCAAAUGAUAUGUUGAAUUCUUUGCCAAGUGGAUGACACUUUAACUGUCACAGUACACAACAUAACUAUCUUGAUUAACACCUAGUUCUUGUAGAAAAUUCUUCAUCCACAAGGUUUCUUUGUAACUUUCAGUGAUUGUAAUAUACUCUACUUCUGUAGUAGACAAAGCAACACACUACUAAAGUCUAGACUGCCAUGAAACUGCUCCUCCUACAUAGGUGAGCAAAUAUCUUGAUAGAGACUUUCUAGAAUCAACAUCUCCUGCCAUAUAUGCAUCCGUAUCUACUUGUAAUAUAGGUUUGUCACCACCAAAACAUAAACAUGCCUUGGAAGUGCCUCUGAGAUAUAUGACAAUCUACUUUACUGCUGUCCAGUGUUUUUUACCCAGAUUAGAGGAAAACCAGUUGACUACCAACUGUUGAAGCGUACCUCAAACUACCAACUGUUGAAGCAUAAAAAACUCUUUUUAUCUCUUGCUUCUCUUUCUCACUUAUGGGACAAUGCUUGAAACUAAGCUUGAAAUGACCUGCAAGUGGAAAAUAAACAUAUUUUGCUUUGUCCAUAUUAUAUCUUUUAAGAACUUUUUCAACAUAUGCUUCCUGAGAUAACCAUAAAUUCCCAGUUUUUCUGUCACGAGAAAUCUUCAUGCCAAGAAUUUGUUUCGCCGAUCCCAAGUCCUUCAUUACAAAAGACUUGCUAAGCUCUCUCUUCAAAUUGUCAAUCUUACUAGUAUCCUUGCCAACAAUCAACAUGUCAUCCACAAAAAGUAAAAGAAUAAUAAAAUCAUUAUCACUAAACUUUUUCACAAACAUACAAUGAUCACACAUUGUCUUGCAAAAGCCAUGAUUCUCCAUAAAAGAAUCAAACUUCUUAUACCACUGUCUUGGUGCAUGUUUCAGCCCAUAUAAAGUUUUUUUCAAUUUGUACACAAGUUCUUCUUUACCUUUGACACUGAACUCUUCAGGUUGUUAUAUGUAUAUUUCCUCCUUUAAGUCAUCGUGUAAGAAAGCAGUCUUUACAUUGAAUUGUUCAAUUUCCAAAUCCAAGCUAGCUACUAAUCCCAGAGGUGCUUGCUCAAUUGGUUCUGCUGGACCAUUAUUAUUAUCCUCUCCAGCUCCCCUAUGAUCAUCAUGAACAACAUGUGGAGAAACCGAAGUUGGAAUAAUAAGAAUCUCUGGAGAUGGCUGAGACUUAUCAUUUUUUUUUCAUCACCAACUAUCUAAUUUUUAAGAAACACAACAUCUCUAAUUCUGAUUACUUUUCUUGUCACUGGAUCCCAUAAUCUGUACCCAAAUUCUUCAUGUCCAUAGCUUAAGAAAAUACAUUUCUUGGCUUUAUCAUCAAGUUUUGAUCUCUCAUCUUUAGGGAUAUGAACAUACACUCUGCACUUAAACACCCUCAAGUGUUUAUAAGAAACAUCUUUCCCAAUCCAAACUCUUUUAGGUACAUCGUCAUCUAAUGGAGCUUAAGGAGAAAGAUUAAUCAAAUCAACUACAGUACGCAUAGCCUCCGCUCAGAAGGAUUUAUAAAGCUUGGCAUCAGAAAACAUACAUCUGACUAUCUUUUCAAUUGUUCUGUUCAUUAUUUCUGCAACACCACUCUGCUGAGGGGAUUUUGGUACAGUUUUCUUAAGUUUGAUUCCAUGAGAUCUGCAAUACUGCUCAAAUGGUCCUCUGUACCCACCAUCAUUUUCUGCCCUGACACAUUUCAAUUUUUUUCUUGUCCCUCUCUCAACAUAAGCACGAAAGAAUUUAAACAUAGUAAGCACGAAAGAAUUUAAACAUAUCAAGCACUUAAUCUUUAGAUUUUAAAGCAAAAGUCCAUACUUUUCUAGAACAAUCAUUAAUAAAAGUCAUAAAAUAAAGUGCACCUCCUAUUGAUCUAUUUUGCAUCAUGCAAAUAUCAAUGUGAAUCAAAUCAAGGAUUUGUGACUUUCUAGAUGGAGAAAAGCUUUUAAAAGUUACUUUAUGUGCCUUUCCAGCUAAACACUAAACACAAGUCUUGAGGGACGUACCUACAAAGCUUGGUAGAAAUCCUUUUUUGGCAAGAGUUCCUAACCCUUUCUCACCAAUGUGACCAAGCCUUUUAUGCCAUGUCUCAAUGUCAGAAUUGUUUACAGCCAUAUUCAUAUAUUCUUUCUUGAUUUUGGCUUCUAUUACGUAGAGGGUGUUCAUUUUCUUUCCUUUAGCCAACACUAGAGAGCCUUUGGUGAGCUUUCAUUUUCCUUCACCAAAUUAGUUAGUAUAACUAUCAUCAUCAAUUUUUCUUGUGGAGAUCAAAUUAAGACGAAUAUCUAGUACAUGCAAGCUUUUUUGUGGAGAUCAAAUUAAGGCGAAUAUCUAGUACAUGUCUGACAUCUUUAAGGAGUAGCUUAUAGCCAACACUGGUUUGAAGCAAAUAUCUCCUAUGCCCACAAUCUUGGAUGCCCCCUCAUUUCCCAUCCGAACAUGGUCAUAAUUACCAUUAACAUAGGAUGUGAAGUAAUCAUGAUGUGCAGUUGUUGUGCAAAUUUUAAUGUACUCGCAAGCGCACGAAUCUAUUGUAGUAUAGAUCAAUGGUGACGAGUGUCGAUCCCACGAGGAGGUGGAUUUUAAUUGUGUAUAGAAUUAAUUUUGCAAAUGGUUGAUUGGAUUUGUGGUGGAAAUGAUUUGGAAUAUGCUAAAACUUAAAUUAAAAUGGCGAGAAUAAAUUCUAAAAUUGGAAUUGAAAUUGCGAGAAUAAAGUUGAAGAGAAUUCUAUUGAAAUGACGUACUUGGGUAUCUGGAUCCGUAUCAACAUGCAUCAUGGGCUAAAUAAUGCGUAUUAAUGCCAAUUAAAUCAUGAGGGGGGAAUCCACACCUCAUGAACCACGCUCUAAUCAAUAUGGUGCUAAGGGCUUAUCGUGCCAAAUAAUAAUAACCUUGUACUAGAGAGCCGGUGUAACCAAGGCGGUACUAGACAAGAUUAGUAUUAUUUGUCGACGAGAAGUCAAAACAUCCACAAAAACUAGAGGGGAAGAGAAAAUAAAUUUACCAAAUAAAGCCCAUGACACAUGUUGAGACUUCACCUUCAACCCAAGCUUAAAAGAAAAUUAGCUACUCAUAAUUGAACUAAGGGCAAAAUGGGAAUUUAUUAAAAUACGAAGAAAAUACAAGAUAGAGAGGGAAUUACAGAAAAUGGAUCCCAAAAAUGGAUUCAGAGAUAUCAAAUUAGGGGGGGAGGCCCCCUUUUUAUAGAUACAUGGAGUAAAUCAUGGCAAUCGGAUUAAAAACAGUUUGGACGCUCAGGAUUGCGCCACGUCAUCAGUCAACAGUCCACGGUUUGACCACGCGGAUGAACAGUAAUACGGUUUGACCCAUAUGAACAGUACGCGGUUUGACCCGGAUGAACAGUAACGCGGUUUGGUUGAAAAUAAUCCUGUGUGAUGCAUGCACCGUACGCGAGAUUUUUUGUCCACUGAUAUGCUGCCACGUCACCAUCAACAGUACAUAAGAAUUUUAGUCCAACAGGAUCGUGACACCUCAUCAGUCAAUGCCACAUCAUCGAUCCGUCUAUGUGAGCAGUGCCGUGAACAGUAACAUAUACAGUACCGUAUACGUGAAUAGUACCGUACAUGUGAAUAGUGCUAUUUUUCCUUUUAUGCUCCUCCUAAGGUUUUCGACCGUCCUGAGUUCAAAAGUGAUGUCCGUUUUACCGUCUGAUCUCUCCUUUAUUGUGAAAUCACUAUAAUACCACUAAAAUACAUAAAAUACUUAAUUAAAAUAAAACACAUGUAAUUAAAUCACAAGAAGGUUAAAUACAUAAAAGUAAGGGUUGUUAGUAAGACUUGAAAUGUAAAAUGAUGGUUUUCUCCUUUAUAAAUAUGCAUUUUCUAACACUCAACAGCAGUAACCACGAUGUGCAGUAACAUCAAACGAAGCACCCGAAUCAAUCACCCAAUUACUGGUAUGGCAAGUAAGAUUUAUAGAGCUAUCAUUAUAAGCAAUGCCCAUAUCACCAUUAAUUACGGCUGUAACAUUCUCUUUGUCAUUUUUCUGACCAUCGCCUUUUUCUUUCGCAUGUUCUCUUUUCCACAAUUUACACUACCUUUUUACAUGGCCCAUUUUCUGACAAUGAAAGCACUUAGCUUCUCCUAUGGGACUUAGAUCUUCCUCCAGGGUUAUCAUUAUUCUGAUGACGGAAAUUUCUGCUUCGACUUCUCCCCCGUCUUUUUUGGUUUUCUGAAACAAGUGUAGCUGACUCAGAGGGAACUACUUCAGCAUUCUUUCUUCGAGAUUCUUCAUUCCGCAGUCUAUCUGUAACCAUAUCCAAGUUUAAUUUACCAUUCGGUGCCGAAUUAUUCACUGACACCACUAAUGUCUCCCAACUAUCAGGUAAAGAACUAAGCAACAACAAUGCUUGUAACUCGUCAUCUAGAAUAAUCUUCAUAGUAGUCAACUGAUCAACCAAACCCUGAAACUCACUAGUGUGUUCAGUAAUACUGUGGCCUUUUUUAUAUUUCAAGUUAACAAGCCUUUUCAUUAGAUUGACUUUAUUUUGUGCUGUUGGCUGCUCAUAAAUUAUUUCUAAUUUUCUCCAAAGAACAUCAGCCUUGGAUUCCUUCGCGACAUGAUGGUACACACUCUGAUCAAUCCAUGACCUAAUAGUGCCCACGGCUUUCUGGUUCAAUUGAGCCCAUUUCUUAUCAUCUAUAUCAACAAGUUUAACUUCAUCACCUUCAAUAGGUUCAUGUAAGUCUUUCAUGUAGAGCAAAUCUUUCAUUCUAGACUUCCAAAUAUCAUAAUUCCACGACUCAAUUUAAUCAUGAACGCCAAAGACUCCUCUAUUUCAACCACAUAAGUAAUAAAAACACACAACCUGGCUCUGAUACCACUCUAUUGGGAAAACGACUACCACAAACAGCUACAAAUUAAGCGAAAAUAAAAUUCUUUUCCUCUUUGUGUGAUUAAAAUAGGAUGUGCACCAUAAACAAAUAAGCAGAAAAAUUAAUCAAUAAAUUCAAAGCAAAAAUCAACCACAAGAGACACCGAUUUUAACGUGGAAAAUUCAAAUCGGGAAAAACCAUGGGACAAUAGUCCGAUAUAAAUUUCCACUAUAUUAAUGGGAUUACAGUACAAAUUCUUCUCCAGAUAACACUAGAGGUUAACAACAUCAAGAUUUUCAACAAUCUUGGCUUACAAUAAUAGAUCUAAAAUCUAUUUCUUCAAUAAGUGAGUAUCUCCAAUAACAGCUAAUGAGAGAAUAAAAUAUAGAUCAACACGAGUAGAAAUGUAAAGGGCGAUGUCAGGAACUUAUCCUCCAAAUUUGGGAGAAAUCAAAGCUAAAAUUAUUUUUCGAUCGUUGAAUCAAAGAUUGAAAACCCAAAGAAAAAAAAUAUCUUUUUCUCUCGCAACGUCUUCUCACUUGCGCGAAAUGGCUACAUCUCUCGCGAUUAUUCACUUAUUUCCUUUAUAUUUUUUUUGGUUAAUUUCAUCCAAGUCUAAAAUUUUACAAUAAUUACACAUCAAGCAAAUUAUUUUGGACUUUGGGCUUUUGGUCCACUGAAGUGAGAUGGACCCUACAGAAGCAAUAAUCAGUGCAAGAAAAUUAAGUGAAGUUCCAGAGAUGAUGGCAGAUCUAAACCCUUUUGUAAAACUCCAAUAUCUUGGCCUCCGAAUUCUACCAAAAUUAAAAAAGCGUCUAUUGGAAUGUGUUGCCCUCUCCACAUGUCAGGGAAAUUUUUGUAUCUGAAUGCCCAAUUCUCAUUAGAGGAGAGGAACACUGGUGGAAUAAGUUGCAAUGGGAGGAUGAAGCAACCUAUAAUGCUUUUCUUCCUUGUUUUGGAUCCAUUUGAUGGGCAUCAACAUGGAUUAAUAUUUUGCAGCGAACCAAUUUGAAUAAAACUUACGGUAAGUGCUUUUCCAUUUAUUGCAUAUUUAUAUCUAAUUUUUGUUUUCCUUUAUGGUUAAAUUUUGCCCUGUAUAUGUUGUUGUACGGUGACAUUCUUGAAUCAAUUAUUAAUUUUUUUAAUUCUCGUCUCACAACCACCCUUUUGAUCAUGAGGAUAUGCCGAUAUCAAAGAGUCAUAAUUUGGGAUACAAAUGUAAGAAUUAGGCAGAUGACAUGUUGUUUCAAAGCUUUCGAAGAAGGACUAAAUAUGUCAUUGAAAGCCUCCAAUUUUGCGACUGAUUUUUUUUUAAUUUGUUAUUUUUAUAGGUGGCAAAAAUACCCGUCUGAUUUGGACUCGGCUGAUUUGGGCCGGGUACGGAGUAUGAAGCCGGGUUGGUCCUGGGCAUCACUUGAAACUCGGAACCUGGAUUUUAUUAAAAAAUAUUAUAAAUAUAUAUUAUUUUAAAUAUCUAUAUUUAUUAGACUCAUCUAUUACAUAUAUCUAAUUUCAUUGAAAUAAAUUUAAAAAUUAUAAAAUUACCAAUAUAUAUAUAUAUAUAUAAUAUUAAAAAAGUAUAAAAUCUGAGUCCUCAGAUUAAAACCCAGUUCAAGUGUCUAAAAAAUACAUGUGGACCGAGUUUGAACAUUGCGAUACCCAGACCCAAACUUGGGUUUUGCCAACCCUAGUCUUUUAAAUUGCUUGAUUGUAAUGUUUUAGUAUAGAAAAAUGAUAGCCAAGACAACAAUAAGAGGGCACAUUGUGCAUGCACAAUAGUGGAUAAUUUCGGCAUUCCAAAUCCAAUUAGGGUGGAUAACCUUUUAUUAGUAUUAACCUUCUCUCGUAUUCAAGUAAUGUAAAAUAUGCUUAGAAGCUGUGGAUCCCCCUUUAUAAGUGUUGGGCUUAUGCCAAACUCGAUUGAUGUGGGAUGCCUUUAUAGGCAUCAAGUUUUCUCCCAUACACUUUAUGUUAAAAAUAAUAAUGAUAAAAUAAAUCCAUUUUAAAAUAGACUUCUUUUUCUUUUCUAUAUAAACAAACUCAUUCUUCAAAUCAGUUGUGGGUGGAAGGAGUGAGUAGAGAAGAACUGGGCCCCUUUCGUUCCUCUAAAAACCUCACCAAACCUCUCUUGUAAGCUUCUCAGUGUCCCUCUCAAUAUUUCUUAUGAUCUCGUUUUUUAUUGAAUCACUUCUUUUGUGUGCUGCAUUUUUGUGUGUCGUAUUUGGGUUUAUCUUAUCUGGAAUCCUGUUAUGAUUGAUGGAACAAGUAAUCGAUUUUUGGUUUAUUUGGAAUGGAAUUAUGGUUUAUUUGGAAUGGAAUUAUCUGGGUGUAACGGAUUAAAUUAUGACAUUGGGGAGAAGGCACUAAGGGGUUUGCUUGACACAUUUGGUUCUGUGUUUACUCUGAAAGAAAUAGCUUUUGCUUAUCGUAAUGCAAGGCGAAAUCCCGAUUUGGGUGGUGAAUUUCUCUAUCCCAAUUGGGCUGGUGAAUUUCUCUGUGACAAAUAGGCAAACAGCUCAACCUCUUUUAUCUAUCUUCUACUAGUGAGGCAAGGGAUAAAAAGUCUUCAAAAUCAUCAAAUAGUAACAUCUUCGAGAAUUCAUUUUAUGCAAAUGGAAAAUCUAGACCUUCUAAGACAAAAUGGCGUCCAGUAUCAAGAGGUACCGUUUCAAGUUUUCUUGGUAAAAAUUAUGUAAACUUGCACAGCCAGCUAAUGGCACUUUUCUAGUUUUCUGGCAUCAAAGCCAUUGAAGUCGUAUCCAAAGGAGUUUCCCAUGUCUGCACUUUGUGGAGAAGGAACUAAACAAAAACAAUCAAAGGAUGACCAUUUGCAGAAGGAUGUGGAAGAUUUUCUGUUUAAAUUGCUAGGAGAAGUGUUCCAGCUGAAUAGGGAUGUGAUUCGGGAAGUUCCAGUAAUGUCUUAAAUAUGUUGAUGCCAAUUUAAUAUAUAUUGUCAUUUUCAAUGUUCUUUCUUUCUUUCUUUAUCUUCUUUUCUUCUACUUCUUCUUCUUUUUCUUUUCGUGUGCAUGUGAUCACUAAUUUGUUAUUAUACUUAACUUGCAGGUAGUUGUGGAUAUGAUAUGCAAAAGGUAAGGACUAUAUCUUCCUGAUAGAGGCCUCUGCUUUUUCCCUUUUAUGUAAUUUAGUAAAUCUCAUCUCCCUUUGUGAUUGUUAUAUCAUAUCAAAGUCAAGUCUUAAAUACUGCUGUCAUAUGUUAAGGUUCAACUUGCAUUUUGACUAACAUCCAUUUGUUGUCGCUUCCAAAAGUGAGAAUGAGAUACUUCGGUUAAUUUCAGUAGUUGAACCCAAUCGAGUACUUUAUCUAGAUCUUCAUGGUUCAAAGGCCUGAAACUUGCCCGUGAUUGUAAAAUGAUAUUAUGUGCUUUUAAUGCAAUAGGGGGAACAAGGUGUCAAAGGAAUUAGCAGAUUCUAUGGCAGAUUCUAUGCCUGUACAACUGUAACAAUUAUCCUUAUGAUUGUAAAUCUUAUAUGUUUUCCUUAUUUAGGAUAUACUAGCUGUAGGCUAUUUUAGAUAGUUAUGUAUAUGAUAGUUUAGCUAUGUUUAGGGCUAAACAUAAGCUUGUAUUCAUAGUAUAUAAAGGGAAUUCUCUUCUAAGAGAAAGCAUAACUUUUGCUCAAAAUUCUCUGAGUUUAUCAUGGUAUCAGAGCCUCAGUUCUGAAUUCUCUUCUUCCUAGUUCAUUCCCUUGUUCUUAGUUAUUCUUUUUUUUAUCAAGUUAUCUCAGCCUCAUGUCUUCAGACAAGUAUGAUGCUUUUUUGAUCCGUUUUAAUGGCACAAACUACUCAGCCUGGGCAUUUCAUUUCGAGAUAUUUGUCAAAGGCAAAGAUCUAUGGGGACAAGUUGAUGGCAGGAAACCUGCCCCUGAUAAAGAGAUAGACCAGGAUGGGUACGCCAAGUGGGAAGUCAAGGAUGCUCAAAUCAUGGCAUGGAUUCUAGGAUCUGUGGAAUCCAACUUCAUCUUGAAUCUUCGACCCUUCAAGACUGCAGCAGGAAUGUGGAAUCAUCUAAAGAAACUCUACAGUCACACCAACACUGCUCGUUGAUUUCAGCUUGAACAUGAGCUAGCCAAUCUCCAACAAGGCAGUCUCUCUAUUUCUGAUUUUUAUUCUAUCUUUAUGAUUAUUUGGGCUGAAUAUACUGAUAUAAUCUAUGCUACCUUACCUCCGAAGGUCUUAGUUUUGUUCAAUCUGUACAUGAAACUACUAAGAGAGAUCAAUUUAUGAUAAAACUGAUAUAUGAAUUUGAAAGCACUAGGUCCAAUCUUAUGAAUUGAGAAUCUGUCCCUUCCUUGGAUACAUGCCUCAAUGACUUAUUUCAUGAGGAGCAACGACUUCUUACUCAAAAUACCAUGAAACAAAAAAAAUCUACUUCUGUUCCUAUGGCUUAUGCAGCUCAAGGCAAGCCAAAAGGUAAGGACAUCAGUAUAGUUCAAUGUUUUUGUUGCAAAGGAUUUGGACAUUACGCUUCAAAUUGUUCAAAAAAAUUAUGCAACUAUUGCAAAAAAGAUGGACAUAUCAUUAAGGAAUGCCUUACUCGACCCCCCAAGAAAUCUGAAACAACAUAUGCUACCUCAGUUGGUUCUUCUAGUGAUGGUAGUUCUGUGGAUACAGCACAUUUGACCCAAAGUGCUCCUGUUCCUGUUCAAUCUGUGACCCCAUAAAUGAUUCAACAAAUGAUCAUUAUUGUAUUCUCCUCAUUAGGACUCUCAGGUAAAUCACCCACUAGAUCUCCUUGGUACUUUGAUUCUGGGGCUUCCCAUCACAUGACAAACAAUGCUAAAUUCUUCACCAAUGUAAGUAAAUACCUUAGAAAUCUAAAAAUUCAUACAGCUGAUGGCAACUCUUUACCUAUCACAGCCACUAGUGAUGUUUCUUUUUCUAUAACCAAUGUCUUUGUCUCUCCUGGUCUUCCUACUAAUCUUGUUUCAAUCGGUCAGUUAGUUGACAAUAAUUGUAAAGUAGAAUUCUCUAAAUCUAGUUGUGUUGUGCAGGAUCAGCAGUCAGGGAAGAUGAUUGCCAGGGGGCCUAAAAUAUGACGUCUUUUCCCUCUCCAAUUUGCUAAGUCUCCAUGUUUCUCUUUGCCUAUCAUCACUUGCAAUUUUACUAAGGUUAAUUAUCGAGCAUGGCAUAAACGUCUAGGACACCUAAACUCUAAUGUAUUUUAUGCUUUGCUAAAUUCUGGUUUACUUGGGAAUAAAAGAUCACCAUCCCUUAGUGUUGUUCAAUUUGAUUGCAAUUCUUGCAAGCUUGGAAAAAGUAAAAUUCUGCCAUUUCCCACUCACACACCGAAUGUUGUCCAGCCUUUUGAUUUGAUACAUAGUGAUGUGUGGGGUAUGGCGCCUGUUACAUCUCAUGCUAAUUACAAGUACUUUGUCACUUUUAUUGAUGACUAUAGUCGCUUCACAUGGAUUUAUUUUCUACAUUCUAAAGAUGAAGUGUUCUCUGUUUUCAAGCUUUUUCAUGCAUAUAUUCAGACCCAAUUUUCUACUAAUAUCAAAAUUCUUUGCUUUGAUAAUGGGGGUGAGUAUAUGUCUCAUUUAUUUUAAGAAUUUUUGCACACCAAUGGUAUAAUUUCUCAAAGAUCUUGUCCUUCAACCCCUCAACAAAAUGGGGUGGCUGAAAGAAAGAACUAUCACCUUCUCGAUGUUGUCUUCAUUUGUACCCUCUCGUUUUUGGUGUGAAGCUUUCUCCACUGUUGUCUAUCUCAUCAACAGAUUGUCCUCUCAUUCCUUGAACCAUGUCUCCCAUUUCUUUCAGUUAUUUGGCCAUACACUAAGUUACUCUCAUCUCCAUACCUUCAGUUGUGUGUGCUAUGUUCAUCUUCCUCCAUAUGAGCGUACAAAACUCACAGCCCAAGCUGUGAAAUGUGCUUUUCUAGGAUAUUUUAUGCACUAAAAAUGUUUUCUUUGUUAUGAUCCAAAUUUGCAUCAUAUAAGGGUUUCUCGAAAUGUGAUUUUCUUUGAAAAUCAGUAUUUCUUUUCCGCAUACCACGACGAUUCUUCGCCUUCAUUUUCUGUUUUGCCAAAGUUUACUAACCCUUCUGCAGAUUCUGCACCUUCUAAACCUAUCAUAGUCUAUCAGCGACGCAAGAAUUUAGUACCUCUCGGGCCCCCUCCAGCAACUUCCCUGAAUGUUGAUCCAGUUCCAGCAACUGCACCUGAACCUUUCAGACAUAGUACUCGGGUUCGUAGACCACCAGAUAGGUAUGGUUUCACCUCUCCAUUAUUUUUGACAGCCACUUUGUCUUCUAUUCUUAUUCCUUCAUCAUAUAAACAGGCAAUAGAGCAUGAAUUUUGGUGAAAAUCUAUUGAAUCAGAACUUCUUGCACUUGAAGAAAACCAAACUUGGGAUAUUGUUUCAUGUCCUCCAUCCGUGAAACCCCUUAGUAGUAAGCUAGUGUUUUCUAUCAAGCUGCGUUUUAAUGAAUCCAUAGAUCGUUACAAGGCUCGGUUGGUGGUUCUUGGCAACAAGCAAGAAUAUGGCCUAGACUACGAUGAGACCUUCGCGCCGGUAGCCAAAAUGACCACUGUUCGAACAAUAUUAGCCCUUGCUGCAUCACAAUCAUGUUCUUUACAUUAAAUGGAUGUAAAGAACGCUUUCCUACAUAGUGAUCUCAAGGAGGAAAUUUACAUGAAACUUCCCCACGGUAUGACUACUUCCUCUCCUAAUGAUGUUUGCAAACUAAAAUGUUCGUUGUAUGGGUUGAAGCAAGCACCGCGAGUAUGGUUUGAGAAGUUUCGAUCAACUCUUUUCAGUUUUUCAUUCACUCAAAGUCAGUAUGACUCCUCCUUUUUUUUUUCCAACAGACAUCUAAGGGCAUCAUUGUUCUCCUUAUUUAUGUGGAUGACAUCGUUAUCACUGGUUCUGAUAUGGAGGCAAUUUCUAAACUUCAGAAUUUGUUGCACUCUAUUUUUCACAUGAAAGACCUCGGUCAACUCACCUAUUUUUUGGGGUUAGAGGUGCAUUAUCUGCCUCAAGGUAUCUUCUUGAAUCAACACAAGUAUAUUCAGGAUUUAAUUUAAUUAGCUGGACUUAUGGACAAAAAUUCUGUUGACACCCCAGUGGAACUUAAUGUGAAAUAUCGACAAGACGAAAGGGAACUACUUCAAGAUCCUACUUAUCUAUCUAACUAUCACCCGCCCAGACAUCUCUUAUGCUGUCCACACCGUUAGCAAGUUCAUGCAAGCCCUUCGACAUCUCCACGUAUCCACAGUCCGCCGCAUCAUUAGAUAUAUUCUUGGCACUCUUAACUGCAGUUUAUUCUUCCCUACUGGUUCUUCACUCCAACUACAAGCCUACAAUGACGCAGAUUGGGCUAGCUGCCCGGACACGAGAAAAUCUACUUUGGGAUGGUGCAUGUUUCUUGGUGAUGCCCUUAGCUCUUGGAAAUGCAAAAAGCAAGACUCAGUCUCCAAAUAAUCCACUGAGGCAGAAUACCGCGCCAUGUCUGUAGCCUGCUCCAAGAUCAUUUGGUCGCGUGGUCUCUUAACAGAGCUUGGUUUCUCACAACAUCAACCUACUCCCCUACAUGCUGACAACACAAGUGCCAUCCAAAUUGUAGCCAACCCUGUCUACCAUGAGCGCAUGAAACACAUAGAGGUUGACUGCCACUCUAUUCGAGAGGCCUAUGACCACCAAGUUAUCACCCUCCUGCAUAUCUCCACUACUCUACUGAUUACGAAUAUCUUCACCAAAUCCAUGACAUGUCAGCGACAUAACGUUCUUGUUAGCAAAUUGAUGCUUGUAGAUUUACCAGCAUCAAUUUGAGGGGGGAUGUCAAAGGAAUUAGUAGAUCUUAUGGCAAAUUCUAUGCCUGUACAGCUGUAACAAUUAUCUUUAUGGUUGUAAAUCUUAUAUUUUUUCCUUAUUUAAGAUAUACUAGCUGUAGGCUAUUUUAGAUAGUUAUGUAUAUGGUAGUUUAGCCAUGUUUAUGGCUAAACAUAAGCUCGUAUUCAUAGUAUAUAAAGGGAAUUCUCCUCCAAGAGAAAGCAUAUGAAAGAAACUUAGUUCUAUAUUGUUUGGUAGGCUAGAAAAUGAAAGAAAAUAAAAGAAAAGCUUUGCAAAGAAAACUGUUAGAUCCUUUUAUUAUACCAAACUUACAGUUUAAUGACUAAAAAUUGAUAUUUAUAUUGAGCUACAAACUCUUCACACACACACACGAGAUUGUUGCAACACAUAACCAAUUGCUGUAUAACUAACUUGACACAUCAGCUCAACCAGCUAACUAACUUUGACAGGUCAGCUUAAUGAUUUGAUCUGAUACAACCAGCUACACAGCAACAUCAUGCUCUGCUCCAGCUUCAUCUAAUUCACUAACAACUUUUGCUCAAAAUUCUCUUAGUUUAUCACAGGGAAGUAUAGCUUUGGAAAAGGCCGGAUCAAUAACUAUGGAGAGAUUUAUAAGUGAUAAAAAUUCCCGUAACCCGCUGUCAAGAAAAUUUCACAUAGUUAAAGACGCCAUUUUGUUUCAGCCAAAAAUGUUUGUUUAAUCUGCCAAAAAUGUUUGUUUCGAUUAAAGACUUGAACCGUUUUCAUUUAACCUGAUUGUGAUGCUUUAUGUUAUGUAUGUUCCUCUCAAUCAAGAAAAGUUGAGGUUCAUGAUUUUAUAUUUCUAUCUUGUAACUUGCAAUAAUAACUGGUCUUCUUGUUUUUGUAGCUUGAUAACAUGAAUUUUCCUUCUCAAGUUAAUUUGAUCAAUAAAGUAAUUCUUCAAAGAAAAUAUGCCCAUUCUAUAAUCAUUUUCUUAGCUAAUAUGUUUUUUUUUUGUUUACUCUUCAGAGUGUGUCGAAACUAAUUGAUUGCUCGGCAGAGACUUUGGGUGACAAGUCAAAAUUUCAUGGUAAAUCCUCUGAAAAGGUAUGCAUAAUUCCUGAAUAUUAAAUAACCAAUGGUCAUAGUUUUUGUACACGACUCUUUUUGUGGAGAUCGUUAAAAGUGGUUGAUGAUCCAUUUGUAAUUUCAUAGAGGGAUCAUCAAUUCCUUUUCUUUUCUGUGGCUAGGCAUCACUUUCGUGCCAAAGUAAGGAAAUCUAUUUUAGGUAAUGUAAAAAACAAUGGUAGGAUGUAAUAGCUUAUUAUGCACUGACAAUAACUUUUUGUAUAAUUGUCAGUUUAAGGAAUACAAGAGGAACUCUGUUGACAAAUUCAUCCAAGAUAGAUGCUAAAAUUAUUUAUGCAUGCCAGUUGCCUUAACUAAUUUUUCUUAACACUUGUAUUGAACAGGAAAUGAGUAUGCAAUUUGUGUACGUGCCAUUGUGGAGAAUUUGGAUAUUCUUAUUUAAGUAAGAAGAAGAGUAUUUGCCUCAUCUUUAAACAAUGAAUCUUUGAGAAAUGAGGAGUGGGUGAUUGGAAGUGUCUUCAUGUAAAUGUUCAUUUACUUGUAUUUUGAACUAUUAUGAGAAUCUUUUAUAUGCCAAAUUAGUAAUACAAAUGUUCAGAUGAUUUUUCCUGUUGAUCACGCGUUUGUGUCUGCAGACAACCAUUGUAUAUCACUUUAUUCUGAUGUGCAAUUAUGUAUAGAUUAGAAGAAAAGAAAUAAUAGUCUUAUAUUAUUGUUUGGUUCAUGAUUAUUAAACGAUUAUGGCUUCAAAAAAUCUACAAAUUCCUUCUGUUCAUAUAUGAAUGUGCCAAGUUUGCUAUAUCUUAGAUUGCCUUCUUCCAAGAUAACAAGUUCAUAUGUUUUUUAAUCCUCUUCAAUCACAGUUGAAUUUUAAGUGUUAAGAUUUGUUAUUAAUACCUGGUUCCCUGUUAUUAUGAUUUUUAUUAUGAUUUCAUAAACAGUGUACGGACAUGUGCUCUACUUUUAAAGGGCCUCCACGUGAAAGAAAAUUGCAACAAUUGAAUUCUUCCGGAGGGUAUGGCAUUUAAUUUAUUUUCUCAACUUCUUGUAAGACUAAUAUAUUUCCUUCAGUAGGCAGGGCAUGUUGGGAAGGGCUUUUAUUGAAAGAAUUCUGAUAUUUCUUAGACUUUGUUUUGGAAGGGAGGUGGAGGGAUUUCUCAUCCAUAUAUGGUUACUUGAUUAGCUUUUGACUGUAUUGCCUCAGUCGUGCAAAGGAAGAUCCAAAUACUAAUGAAUGAGAAUUGGUUAGAGACCCAAAAGACAGAAAUGAACUACAGAAGGAAGUUUUUGCUGCUUUAUUUAGUGUUCCUGAGAACUCUGAUGAAGAUGGAGUGGAGGUCCAAAGCAUUAAGAAAGGUGGUGAGUGAACCGCCAGAGGAAUUGGUACCAGAAUACAAAGCUAAUGUGGUGCAUUUGCAGCAAGAUAACCAGACUAGUAUGUGCUCUUGUAUUAACUAUAUUGACUGGAUUUGUGAGCAUGUUCAUUUUUGUGUGUAUAAUCACUUUUGUAUUUAUGCAUAUUAAUGUUAGUAGGAUUCUUGAUUUCCUCCACUUACUGGAGAACUAGUGGAAAGCUUUAUAGUGAAAUAUCUGCAAUAACUAAUGGAAACCAUGAUUUGAAUAUUUUCUCUCACCUGGAGAGCUUUGUAACAGAUGUACUUUGUGGCUAUGGAAUACUAGAGAUUCUGCAAUAACUAAUGGAAACUCUGAUAUGAAUAUUUUCUCUCACCUGCAGAACUUUGUAACAGAUACACUUUGUGGCUCUGGAAUGUCUAAAGAUUUUGUCUGCUUCAGUUAGAUCAAAUAUCUUUUAGUUACCUACAUUAUGGAAAAGAUAGAGUUCUCUGAAUCUGAAAGACUGAAACAUUUUGCAUAUUUCGUGAAAGGAAAAUAUCUGUAGAUACUAGUUCAUGCAUUGAGGUAACAUCAAUGUUAAAGAAAAACAGCAAUAACUUAUUAUAUAGAAUUAGGUUCACUUGCUUUAAAUGCUGGUCUGGUCAACCAUAUGAACCUGUAAGUGUAUCUGCAGAAAUAUAUAUGGGGGGACAAACUAGCUAAAUUUUCCUCUCAUUUCUGGCUUUGGUCAUUUUUUCCCCUUAUUUUUCAGCUUUCCUUCUCCUGAAGUAUGUUAACAAUUGCAGAUAAUGACGAAGAGGACAGCUUGCAGGCUCUUCGUGGAGCUGUGAUGGAAUAUAGGGGCACAAUGAAAGAACAUUUUAAAGCUGUAGGUUCUUUUUCUCCUGUCAUUUAUAUUUGCUCACACAUUUUUCAUAUGCUCCAAGCAUGCAAGUUUGUAUGUGUCUUUGCCUUUUAAGUUUUAAAAACCAUAAGGUAAGAAUACAGUUCCUCGUCAGGUUAUUGAUGCAUUCACUCCGGAGGAUCAUGUUCGAGCAGGAAAACUUCUAGAACAGGCAAGGUUUUCCAUCUACAGCCAUCUAUUGACAACAGAUACAUUUUCAUUCAGCAGACACUGUUAGCAUUCAAGAUGCUGGCAGAUUCACUUGAUUCUUAUUAGUUUGUUUAGUGGUAAAGCAUAUAACCUGUUUUUCAAAGCCAAGUUGUGCUAUUGAUUAUGUUAACUUUAUUGUUCACAUAAAGUGAUAUGGAGGAAAUAAUCAUUGUAGGAAAAUUAGGUGAAGAGGUGAUGUCAAAUCUUGAACCUGUUACAAAACUCCAAGUUCUUUACUUGAAGAAGCUACCAAAUUUGAACAGGGUCCACUGGAAGGCCUUGCCAUUCCCUGAUGCCUGCAGAAUUUUUGUAUUUAAAUGCCCAGAGCUUAAGAAGCUGCCACCGGAUCUUGAAAGGGCAGGCCAAGGUAAAAUUCUUAUCAAGGGAAAGGAAGAUUGGUGGAAACAACUUCAAUCGGAGGAUCAAGUAACUCAGAAUGCAUUGCUUCUAUUUUUAAAAUCAACUGACAAGUGAUUGAAGGGGGCAUCAUCAACAUCAUCAACAUGGAUGGAGAGAUUCAGGAGCAGAUCCGCAGGGUUUAUUACGACCUGUGGUGGUUGCUUUUUUGUGACUUGUUCCCUUUCAUUUUUUCACUUCCUGUCAUAUUAUCAUUUCUUUGUCUCUGUUUCUAUUGCUGAUGUUGCUGCAUGCUUGCAGCCCUUGACAAAGUUAGCAAUGCAAUAUAGAUUUUGAAAUUAAAUUUUGUAUGUUCGGGACAGUCACAAAGUACUACUUGUUCUAUAUGGGGGUGAUGUGAAUCAACUUUUCAAUUAUAUAUUCUGUGGUAAUUGUGAAUUCAAUUUCAUUUGUCUCCUGCAAAUUAUGAAGAAAGUGCAGAGUUAGAAUAUCGAAAAGUUCACUGGCAAAUACUUUGUAAAAGCUUCGGAGUGAAACAGGGAAUGCACUUGCAACUAAGGACAAAUUGGUGGCCAGCUAAUGCAUUCAUUUUAUGUACAUUCAUCUUUUUAAUUAUUGAAGAUAAGUGGUUCGUUGCUUUUGUUGUAGAAAAAAUUCAGACGACCUCAAUUGUGAGAUGAAAAUAUUUAAAAUAUCUCUUAAAUUAUUAUAAACUUUAAUUUAUCUUAAUUUUAUUUAAAAGAUAAAAGAAAAAUGUGGUAUAUGGGUAAAAAUUUUUUUAUCUUGUUAAUAAAAUGAAAUAAAUUAAAAUUUACAAUAAUUUAAAGUAUUUUAAAAUUAUUAUUUCAUAAGAGAUUAAUAUGAAAUUAAUCCUUUUUACUUUUUGAAUGUGAAAGGACAAGAAAAGAGAAAGCUAGUGUCACUGCUUUUUAUUUUAUUUGAAAUCGGAGUUAUCCCAUAUACUUUACUACUUUAGCUCUAACAUUACAAUGUUUUUAGGCUACACUUUUAUUUUUCUUUUUCCCCCUUUUUUUAUACAUGCAUGUGGAUUACUUUUCUCUAAGCUCCUUAAUAUUUAAGACAAAUCAUAAAAGCAAUUGAAGCAUAACAAGAUGAUCAAAACAUUUAACCGAAAAAAAAAGAAAUAAAACAUUGAAAAUGGAGAUGUUGAUUAAUUUAGAAGAGAUGCAAGCAAAAAAUAUUCCCAAAAAAAAAAAAAAAAAAAGCAACGUUAGUUCAUCCAUGUCUGUCAAUGCGUUUUUUAUGGUUUUUUUUUUCCAGUUGUUUGUUGUAAUAGAUUAAUUGUAAAUUGAUAUAAACUUGAUGUUGUAAUAUGUUCGCUUUUGUGGAAAUAAAUUUCAAUAUUCAAGAUUAUUCAAGUCUUAUCUAGUAUGUGUUCGGUUGUGUUGUCGAUAAUUUUACAUUCUAAUAAGUUUUCACCUAAAAUAUUAGCAUGAGUAGUAGUCCUUAAACCUUUGGUCAAAAUUAUUGUUAUUGUUUCUUUUAGAGGAAAUUUUUUUAUUAAAGCCUCGUUAACACUAUUCCUUAUUAAGAUUAUAAGUUAGUGUCGGUGCAGGAUUUGCAGCGACAAAUCUUGUCUAGCCACGUGUCAAAAUACAAAUAAAUCAAGGGAAAGCACAUGACAUGGAUUAGGAUCCAAUAAAAUUUAAAUCCCAAGGAAAAGGACAACUGUAUCCUAAAGUUUCAAUAAGAGAUACUGGGAUAUCUUUUGACUAAUGUUAUUUUUUGGCUUUAUUAAUAAAAAGAUCCAAUAGUUUAUAACAAAUAAAAAUAUAGUAUUAAGCUAAAUGUGAUAAUUUACACAUUUUACAUAAUUUCAAUAAAAAUUUUUUUAAUGUUUUACAAUCUAUCAGACAUAUUUUAUUAAAUUAAUAAGAAUUUUCUUAUAAAUAGCAACAUAAUAUUAAAAUAAAUUUAUAAAAAUUUAAAUGUAAAAUAAUUUUAGUAUAAUUAAUACGCGGGAUAUAUUUUGUAAAUUAUAAAAUUACUUAACCCAAUGAUUUUUAAAAAUCUUUAAAAUAAAUAAAAAUAAAUUAUUCACAUUUUGAUGUAAAUAUUUAAAACAUUUUUAUACAUUAGUCCACAAUUAUUUAUGUUAUAUUUGUAUUUAUUAGAAAUUUUGAAAGUCAAAUGUUUUUUACCUCUAUGUUAUUAGAAUUAUUGCACACAGAGAAAGAGCCAUAUAUGCUUUAUAACUUUAAAAUCGAUUUGUUUUAUAGCUGGGAAUAGAGAUGAUCAUUAUUAUAAGGAUUUUUUAAAAAAAGAUAAAGAAUAUUAAUGAUUAGCGAAAUCUCUAUGGAAAUUGAAUUUAGUAAGAAAAAAUUGAGCUGAUUUUAGUGGUAUAGUAAUAUUUUAUAUAGAGAAAAGUAAAAGCUGCACCCAAGGUUAAGGGAAAUGGUCAAAAUUCUUUUUUAAUCAUAAUACCCUUUUUCCUAGAUAAUUUAAAAAUUUUACUCUAAUAGUUUAUAAUAAAUAAAAACAUAUAAUCCUAAAAUAAAUAAAAUGAUAUAUAUUUUAAAAUAAUCUCAAUAUUUAAAAUAUAUUUUAACAUUUUAUAAUCUAUUAGAUAUAUUUUAUUAUAUUAAAGUAAAUUUUAUAAUAAAUACAAAACAUACUAUUAAAAUAGAUAUAAAAAUUUUAAAGUAUUUUGAAUAUUAUAUAAAAUAACUUUAAUAUUGUUAAUGCAUGAGAUGCAUUUUAUUAAUUAAAAAUUCUAUGUAACCCAAAGAUUUAUUUAUAAUAAAUUAAUAAUCAUAUUUUUGAAAUUAUUUUAAAUAUUAAAAAAUAUUUUAAUAUUACUAACUAUUAGAUAGACUAAACUAUUUAUUUUAUUUUCUAUUUAUUAUAAAAUUUCAAAGUUAAUCUUUUUAACUACUAUUCAAAAGAUGUUAUGAUAAAAACAGAAUUUUUGUGUUUUUAUUGAAAAUUUGGAGUUUACAUCUAUUUUUUCAAAUAUUCAGGGUGUAACUGUUUUUUCCCUUUUAUAUAUACGAACGGUGGUGAGAAAGUUUGAUUUAACGUUAUUUAUUUAAAUAAAAUCUCAGUUAAAAAUGUACAGAGAAGAAAUUUCGGUUGGUAUUUUAGUCUUGGUAAUCUCUAUAUUAUAUGCAUAUAAGAUACAUCAUUCUCACAUGAAUAGUAUAUGUGUGAGAUCCAUAUAUUAUUCAUGUGAGGGAGAUGUAUCUUAAUAAGAUAGAGGGAUCCGUUAGUCUUUUACCAAUCAUCACGAUUAGGCCUUGGCCUUGAAACAUUAAUUGUUUCACUUUUAGCGCUAGUGGCGUUGAAAGUUGUCAAGAAAAAGCAAGACCAUAUUCCACAAAAGCAAAAGUAACGUAGGCUCUUUUAUUAAAGGCAAAGUAUAAAGUAGUCAAGAAUCGAAUAUCCUGUCGUCUACUCUUUUUUAAAUUCUUCUUUUAUUAUCGUUUAGAAUAGUUUUUGGUAAUUACAAUCAUUAUUCAGAGUUAUUGUUAUCUUCCGGGGCAGUCUCUGUUCAUCGAAGUCGUUACCUUUUUUUUAAUGGAUCAGUUCCAGUGGUAAGCAGUAAUUUUCUUAGAACUCGGAUCUUUAAUUCGAGUUUCUGUGUGAAUUAAUAAUAAAAAAUUUUCAUUACACGCAAUUUAAGCUACGAAUUACUUUUUGCAAAGUUGAAUAUGGAAUUGGAGAAAUUAAGUAAUUUAGAAUGUUGGUAAAAAUUGACGAACAUAUCUCCAAUUACAGUAAAACCUCUCUACAGUCAUAACAUUAUAACAAAAUUAAUUUUAUUACUAUGUUGAGGUAAUAUAGGUUUAGUUACAAAAUUAUUGUUUUAAUAUGGUUAGUGUCAAGUGAUAUAAAGGUUAAGUAUGCAGUACAUUAAUAAUUAAAUAAUGAAGUGUCAAAUCUAAUGUAUAUAUAUUAAUGAUAUAGAUAGACAUAGUUUUAAAAAACUAAUUAAUGUAUAUUUAUGUAGUGUUAUGAAUAUGGAAAGUCAAGCCUACACUUUACAUUAUCCUUAAUUUUUUCUCUCAGUUAAAUUCUACAAAUAUUGUACAAUGGUUGGGCAAGAACUCUAAAUUAAGAAUAAAUUAUUGUCACAAAUAAUUUUAGAAAAUAUUUUAUUUCGUCUUAAACCUUUAAUAUAAAUAAACAUAUAUAUAUAUAUAUAUAUAUAUAUAUAUAUAUAUAUGUGUGUGUGUGUGUGUGUGUGUGUGUGUGUGUGUGUGUGUGUGUGUGUGUGUGUGCAUAUUUUGCAACGUAUAGAUAAUUGUUAGUAUAUGGAGACAAGUCUUUUAAGGUAGGACCUAGGAAAAUUUAUAACUUACUACACUGUGGAGUUUUUAUUCCUUUUUAUAAUUGGCUCAUAUUGAUACAUUCUUACACAAAAUAUUACCAUUGACAUAUUUUACUACAAUUAGUUUAGAACAUUUGUUAGGAAAAAAAAGAAAAGAAAAGAAAACAUCCCUUGGAUGUAGCUCUCCUGACUAUUUAAAUCUUUUAAGGAAAAAAAGAAAAAAGAAAAACUGGCACAUUCAAAUCUUGAAGCAAUUACAUUAAAAUCUCUCCAUAAUGAUAGGAAUAAUCUCCAUUUAGUAAUAAAAAAUUUUGUUCGCAAUUUAGGCAGAGUUAUAAAUAAGAAUAAAAUCCUCAUUGUAAUAAGUUAUAUUUAUUAUGGAUCCCAUCCUAAGGAAUUCGUCUCUAUAUAGUAAUAAUUAUUUGCAUAUUAUAAAUAUAUAUGUUGCAUUAGAUUAAAUGAACUUGUCUCCACAUACUACUUAGACAACGAGAGAAAAUUAUUAAAGAGAACACAAAUAUUUAGAUAUUUUUAAGAUUACUUUGCAUAUUUAUAACAAUAAUACAUUGAUAUAUGUAUUAGUUUUUUGAUAUAUUAGAUUUAACAUGCUCUAUUAAUAAAUUAUUAAUACGAUGCAUAUUCAUCUCUAUAUCCUUGCAAUAAAAGUAACUAAGUUAUAACAAUAAUUAUUAAUAAAUUAUUAAUACGUUGCGUACUUCAUCUCUAUAUCCUUACAAUAAAAAUAACUAAGUUAUAAUGAUAAUUUUUGUAACUACAUACUUAUUAGGUUUUAACUACUUCAUAAUAAUAAAUUAGUUUCGUCCUAAUAUUAUAAUUAUGUAGAGUUGUAGUGUAUAGACACACCCAAUUUAAAUAGUAUAUCAAAUAAAAUUGUCCCCACGAAAAAGAAAAAAGGGGUAAAGGAUUCUCAUUUCUUCAAACAUUAGGAUCACGUUUGUACAAGUGCGAUGCCUUUCUUUUGAAGGCAACGUCAGUGGGUACCCAAUAGGACGUGUGUAAAUCUUUCCAAAAUUUCUCUGGUAUAACGGACAGAGAUCAUUACUUUUCUCUUCCAUAUACCACAGCAGCUUCAGUUAAUCAGACUCAAUCAAUUUUCUUGGUUUCUUCGCUUAUCAAAAUUCCAAAAUAUGGGUAGCAUAUUUCAAAUCACAUGCGAUGGUGCUUUUUUCAAUCGUUGCUUGGAUUGCUUUCUUGGAAAAGUAGCAAACACAAGUAAGCUCCAAGAUAACCUUGUUGCCUUGGAGACUGAAUUGGGAAAACUAAUCGCAGCAAAGAACGAUGUGAUGAUGAGGGUUGUCAAUGCUGAACGGCAACACCUGAGAACGCUGGACCAAGUGCAAGUGUGGCUUUCGAGGGUGGAAGCUGUUGAAACUGAAGCUGAUGAAUUGAAAAGACACGGCUCUCAAGAAAUUGACAAAUUAUGUGUUGGAGGCUACUGUUCCAAGAACUGCGCGUCAAGCUACAAGUUCGGGAAACAAGUGGCUAAAAAGCUACGGGAUGUGCAGACUUUAAUCGACGAAGGAGUUUUUGCGGCGGUGGCUACCGAGGUGGUGCCUGAGAGAGCUCCAGAACCUGUAGCAGAUGAAAGACCCACUGAGCCAACAAUAGUAGGCUUGCAAUCACAACUUGAACAAGUUUGGAGAUGUCUUGUAGAAGAAUCAGUGGGAAUCAUUGGCCUAUAUGGUAUGGGCGGUGUUGGUAAAACUACACUAUUGACCCAUAUCAACAAUAAAUUUCUUGAGAGUCCAACCAGUUUUGAUUGUGUGAUUUGGGCCGUAGUUUCAAAGGACUUGCGACUCGAAAAAAUUCAAGAAGAUAUUGGGAAAAAGAUCGGUUUGGUUGAUGAUUCAUGGAAGAGUAAAAGUGUAGAGGAGAAAGCUCUCGACAUCUUCCGGAGUUUAAGAGAGAAGAGAAUUGUAUUGCUGUUAGAUGAUAUAUGGGAGCGGGUUGAUUUAACAAAAGUGGGCAUUCCACUUUCCGGACCAAAAAAUACUACAUCAAAAGUCGUAUUCACAACCCGUUUCGUCGAUGUUUGUGGUAGCAUGGAAGCUGACAAGAAGUUCCAGGUGGCAUGCUUAUCAGAAGAGCAUGCUUGGGAACUGUUUCGAAAAAAAGUUGGGGAAGAAACUCUUGAGAGUGAUCAUGAUAUCGUUGAGCUAGCCCAAACUGUGGCCAAAGAGUGUGGUGGUUUGCCACUCGCACUUAUUACUAUUGGUCGAGCUAUGGCCUUCAAAAAGACAGCCGAGGAGUGGAGUCAUGCAAUUGAUGUGCUAAGAACAUCAGCUUCUGAGUUUGCAGGUUUGGGAGAAAAGGUUUAUCGUCUUUUAAAGUUUAGCUAUGAUAGUUUGCAGAAUGAGACGAUUAGAUCUUGUUUCUUAUAUUGUUGUUUAUAUCCCGAGGAUUAUAGCAUUCUUAAAUGGGACUUGAUUGAUUGUUGGAUUGGUGAGGGAUUCUUAGAGGAAUCUGACAGGUUCAGUGCAGAAAACCAAGGAUACUACAUUGUGGGCACUCUUGUUCAUGCAUGUUUAUUGGAAGAGUUAGAAGAUGAUAAAGUAAAAAUGCAUGACGUUGUUCGUGAUAUGGCUCGAUGGAUAGCUUGUGAAAUUGAGAAGGAGAAGAGAAAAUUUUUGGUUUGUGCAGGUGCUGGAGUAGGAGCGGUGUCAGAUGUUGAAGGAUGGGAAAAUGUGGGAAGAUUGUCAUUGAUGCAAAACCAAAUUGAAAUUCUGUCAGAGGUUCCCACAUGCCCUCAUCUCCUCACUUUAUUUCUUGACUUUAAUUAUAAAUUGGAGAUGAUCACCGAUGGCUUCUUCCAAUGUAUGCCUUCUCUCAAAGUUUUGAAGAUGUCAAACUGUGGGCAUGUCAAAGUUUUGAAAUUACCUUUUGGGAUGUCAAAGCUGGGUUCACUACAACUUCUUGAUAUUUCACAUACCGGCAUAAGAGAGUUACCAGAAGAGUUAAAGUUGUUGGUAAAUCUGAAAUGUUUGAAUUUGAGGUGGACACAUAUGUUAAAUAAAAUUCCACGGCAGCUAAUAUCAAAUUCUUCAUGGUUACGUGUGUUGAGAAUGUUCGCUAUUGGCUUUGAAAAUUCUAAAGAACCAUCAGAAGACAGCGUUUUAAUUGGUGGGGGUGAAGUUUUAGUACAUGAAUUGCUCGGUUUGAAAUAUUUAGAGGUAUUGGAGUUGACCUUGCGAAGUUAUGAUGCUCUCCAAUUUUUUUUGAGCUCAAAUAAGUUAAAAAGUUGUAUUCGAUCUCUUUUCCUCAAUAAGCUGGGAGAUACAAAGUCGAUUCAUGCUACGGCUUUCGCAGAUCUAAAGCAUCUCAAUGAACUAUGCAUUCGUUCGGCAGUGGAGUUGGAAGAAUUGAAGGUUGAUUAUACAGAGAUUGCGCCAAAAAGGUCGGAACCUUUUGUUUUCCGCAGCCUUCACCGUGUUACUAUGGAGCGGUGCCAUAAAUUGAAAGAUUUGACAUUCCUCGUUUUUGCUCCAAGCCUCAAGUCUCUUUCGCUAUACGGUUGCAAUGCUAUAGAAGAAAUAAUCAGCGUUGGAAAAUUUGCUGAGACUCCUGAGGUGAUGGGACAUAUAAGCCCUUUUGGAAAUCUCCAAACGCUUUAUUUAACUGAUUUGCCAGAGUUGAAAAGCAUCUACUGGAAGCCAUUGCCUUUCACUCAUCUCAAAGAAAUGACGGUACAUGGGUGUAAUCAGCUUAAAAAGCUUCCAUUCGAUUCCAACAGUGCAACAGAGCGUAAAUUUGUUAUUCGUGGAUACACACUCUGGUGGAACCGUCUUCAAUGGGAGGAUGAAGCCACUCAAAUUGCUUUUCGUUCCUGUUUCCAAUCUCAUGAAAUAUAAAUUCCUGAGCGGUGGUUGCAAAAUUUGAUUUCUAGUGAGUGCUUUUUUCUUAAACUCUUACAUAUAUUCUCGUCGUUUGCUUCGUGCAACGGACUAGGUUUUUAUUUCAGAUUCGUUUUUUGUCUCCUGCAAAUCACAAUUAAAUGUUGAAUUAUAUGGAGUCAAUGCUUUAUAAAAUUUUCAAGGCACUGCCAUUUCCUUUUUCUUUUUCUUUUUUUUUUUGGGUCGAAUUGAUGCUCUGGCUUUUUACUUUUUGUUGUCACAUUUUGCUCUGUUUUUUCAAGUUGAUGCUUGAAUAGUUGAAUUCAAUUGAUGCUCACAUAAAUUUGUUUAGUUGCCGCAAAAGGAUAUAAUUAGACUGAAGUACACACUUCUAGAAUGAAUACAAAAUGUUAAGUAUACUAGCCCUCUUUACAGAAAAUCAAAUGAAAAUCAAUUUUUUGGGGCUUUGAUUUUCUAUGGUCUAUUAUAUACUCUUUUUAAUAUCUUCUGUUCUAACUAUAACCAAAUCCUUUGUUCAAGGAUUUUUAUUUGGGGUAUUGAUAACUGUCCACCAAAAGAGUGAACACUUGGAUGCUGCUCAAGGAUCUCUAAUCAAUAGCUGGAAGCAACUGAGAAGGCGGUCGCUACUGUUUACAAAGCGAUGCAGUAUUUGCCAUUCAUCUUAAUAAUUAUGAAGCUUUGGUAAAAUUUUCAAACAAAGUUGAACACAUGUUGUUUUGAGAUUUGGUUCAUGAUUUUGGAUGAAUAUCGUUGUUCCGUUUGAGUUGGAUGUGAAUUCAAAAUCUAUAUAUUCUUUGGUUUUCAAUUCUGAACUCAAUUUCUUUUUCUCAAGCAUGUUAUGCAGAAAUGAUUUUUUACUAAAUCAUUUUUGAUGAAUUGUUUAAAUUAAACAAUUGGAAUAAGAAUUGAAAAGGUUUAUCAUAAGCAUGCUAAUAUGAUAAGUUGUUUUAUGAACGAUUAAUUAAUUAAUCAAUUAAUAUUAAAUUAUCUAUUAGUCAAUUAGAUAUGCGUUACAUGUCAUGUUUAAAAAUUAUUUAUUUAUAUUUCAAACAAAUUUGACUGGAUGUUGUGUAGGUAAUACUACAUAAUUUCAAAACAAAAAAAGUAAUAAAAACACGUUAAAUUUUGUUUUUAUGAAGAAAAAUUUAAAAUUUUAUUAAAUAGGUGAAAAUAAUAAAUGGAUUCGUGUAUGGUUUGAGAUUCUUGACAUAAUUAUGAAAUAAGCCGGAUUCGACUUAGUUCAAUUUUGACGCGAUAAGAAGACGACACCACACAAACACACGAUAAGAACCGUUACCUGAGAAGAUUGCCAUCAGGAAUUUUGAAAUUGAUUUCACUACAAUACCUUAAUCUUUCAGAUACUACCAUCACUGAGCUGCCAGAAGAGCUAAAAGCCUUGGUAAAUCUUAAGUGUUUGAACUGUACACAAAUUAUCUCUCUACAAUUCAAAAACAACUAAUUUGUUACUUUUUCAAUGCUACAUGUUCUGCGAAUAUUGAGUUGUGGUUAUCUUGUUGAAAUAUCAGACAAUAGAGUUCUAUUUGGUGGUAGUGAAUUGUUGGUUGGGGAGUUGCCUAGUUUAAAACGUUUAAAUGUAUUAAGCAUCACCUUACAAGGUUUUUCUGCUGUCCAAAAACUUAUGAGCUCUCAAAAGUUUCAAAGCUGUACAAAAUGUUUGGAGCUUAUAGACUGUGAUGAUUCAAAGUCUUUUGCCUUGGCAGAGUUGAAGCAUCUCGAAAAACUAGUUUUUUGAAUUGUGGAAGAGUUUAAGUUCUGCUUUGUUGAAGUUGGAAAAGCUCAAGAAUGUUUUCGUUUGAACAGUUUUCACCGAGUUAAUAUAAAGGCUUGUCAUAAAUUGAGGGACGUGACAUGGCUUGUAUUUGCUCCAAAUCUUACAGUUAUUCAAAUAGAAAAAUGUAUGCAGAUGGAAGUAAUAGUCAGUGCAAGGAAAUUGGGUGAAGUUCCAGAGAUGAUGGCAGAUCUAAACCCUUUUGCAAAUAUCUUUGCCAGCGAGUUCUACCAAAAUUAAAAAGCGUCUAUUGGAAUGAGUCACCCUUUCCACAUGUCAGGGAAAUUAUUGUAUCUGAAUGCCCAAUUCUCAAGAAGCUUUCACUCGGUUUUAACAAUGCAAAGGAAUCUAAAAUUGUCAUUAGGGGAGAGGAACACUGGUGGAGUGAGCUGCAAAGGGAGGAUGAAGCGACCGUUAAUGCUUUUCUUCCUUGUUUCGGUUCCAUUUGAUAGGCAUCAACAUGGAUUUAUAUUUUGCGGUGGACAACUUGUGGUAAGUGCUUUUCCAUUUAUUACAUGUUUAUAUCUAACUUUUGUUUUCCUUUAUGGUUAAAUUUUACUGUAUAUAUGUUGUUAUACGGUGACAUUCUCGCAUCAAUUAUUAGCUUUUUAAUUCUCUUCUGGCAUUAAUUGCCCUUCUGAUCAUGUAGGAUAUGCCGAUGUCAAAGAGUAGUAAAUUGGGAUACAAAUGUAAGAAUUAGCCAGAUGACAUGUUGUUUUGAAGCUCUCUCGAAGGACUAGUUAUGUCAUUCAAAGCAUCCAAUUUCGCUACUUUUUUUUUCAUUUGUUGCUUUUUAUAUUUCUAGAUAGCUUGAUAUUCGGCCAAGACAUCGAUAGGAGGGCACAUUGUGCAUGCACACUAGUGGAUGAUUUGGGCAUGCCGAAUCCAAUUAGCGUGGAUGACCCUUUAUAAGCAUCAGGCUUCUCUCAUACCAGAGCAAUGUAGAAUAUGUUUAUAAACUGUGGAUUACCCUUUAUAAGUUUAGACUUCUUCUAUACUCGAGCGAUGUGGAAUACCUGUAUAAGCAUUAAGCUUCUCUCAUACACUUUAUGUUAAAAAUAAUAAUAAUAAUAAUAAAAUAAAUCCAUUUUAAAAUAGGCUCUUUUUUUCUUUUUUUAUAUAAACAAAAUGCAUUCUUCAAAUCAAUAGUGGGUGGAAGAAGUGAGUAGAGAAGGACUAGGCCCCUUCAUUCCGCCUAAAACCUCACCGAAACCUCUCUUGUGAACUUCUCAGAUUCUCUCUCAAUAUUUCUUAUGAUCUCGUUUUUGAUAGAAUCACUUCUAUUGCAUGCUGCAUUUUGUGCGUCGUUUUUGGGUAAUAUCUUAUCUGGAAUGCUGUUAUGAUCAAUAGAACAAGUAAUCAAUUUUUGGUUUGACGGAAGUCGAUUUAUUUAUUUACUAUUGUUUUUUAUUUGAAAUUUUGACAGUUGUGUUUCAUUCAUUUCUUUCCUUCUUUUUUUAUUUUAUAUUUAUUAUGUAUAAUUGUGUUUCAUUUGAUAUUGAUCAUACUGUAGAUAACUAUGUGAUUGUAGCUGGGGAUUUUAAGUUUUGUGAAUUCAAGAAACUGUCAAAAUGCUAGUGAAAUUGGGACCUUUAUUCAUAAGCUUGUGGUUUUCAAAAGUAGCCGGGUUCAACUGAUGAAGUUCCUUUUUGGGAUUCUUUUUUUUCUAGGCUGCAAUUCGGAUAUGUACCUGAUAGACAAUCUUUUGUGAGUUUAGCAUAUCUUCUCCGAUUUUGUCUUUUAUUCCCCAACUUUACAGCUACACACCAUGAAUGCUGGGUGAUUGUACAGAAAAUUUGUGUUAGAACAAAAGCAUUGUGAAGGAGUUUCUGUGCUAUAAGUUAUUGGCUUCAGCUUUAUUGGCAUUAAUUGGGUAGAUUAUGUGUUACAGUGAUUCAAUUUGUGAUCCACACUUUAAUUUUCUCUUUUCCCCAAUUAUUUAUGUCAAAUUCAAAUCCAGAAGCAUGCGCUGAUUUUUUUUUUUUUUUGUGAUAAUCUGUGAAGUUUAUUUGGAAAGGACGUAUCUGGGUUUAAUGGAUUAAAUUAUGACAUUGAGGGAAAGGCACUAAAGGUUUUGCUUGACACAUUUGGUCUGUGUUUACUCUGCAAUAAAUAGCUUCGCUUAUCAGAAAUCCCUAUUUGGCUGGUGAAUUUCUCUGUGACAGACAGGCAAACACCUAAACCGCUUCUAUCCAUUUUUCUGCUGGUGAGGUAAGGGGUAAAAAGUCUUCAAAAUCAUCAAAUAGUAACAUCUCUGAGAAUUGGUUUUAGAAAAAUGGAAAAUCUAGACCUACUAGGACAAAAUGGCGUCCGGUAUCAGGAGGUACCGUUUCAAGUUUUCUUGGUAAAGAAUAUAUUAAACCUGCGCAACCAGCUAAUGGCACUUUUCUGGCAUCAAAGCCAUUGAAGUUGGAUCUAAAGGAGUUUUCCCAUGCCUGCAUUGUGCAGAGAAGAAACUAAACAAAAACAAUCAAAGAAUGACCAUUUGCAGAAGGAUACGGAAGAUUUUCUAUUUAAAUUGUUAGGAGAAGGGUCCCAGCUGAACAGGGAUGUGAUUCAGGAGGUUCUCGGUAAUGUCUUAAAUAUACUGAUGCCAAUUUAAUACAUAUUGUCCUUUUCAAUGUUCUUUCUUUCUUUCUUUUUUUUUUCCUUCUUCUUCUUUUUCUUUUCGUGUGCAUGUGAUCACUGAUUUGGUAUUAUGCUUAAGUUGCAGAUAGCUGUGGAUUUGAUAUGCAAAAGGUAAGGACUAUAUCUUCCUGAUGUAGGCCUCUGCUUUUUCCCCUUCUAUGUAAUUUAGUAAUUCACAUCUUCCUUUGUGAUUGUUAUAUCAUAUCGAAGUCAAGUCUUAAAUACUGCUGUCAUAUGUGAAGGUUCAACUUGCAUUUUGAUUAAGAUCCAUUUGCUGCUGCUUCCAAAAGUGAGAAUGAGAUACUUUGGUUAAUUUCAGUGGUUGAACCCAAUAGAGAACUUUAUUUAGAUCUUCAUGGUUCAAAGGCCUGAAAAAACUUGCCCGUAAUUGUAAAAUGACAUUCUGUGCUUUUUAUGCAAUAGGGAACAGGGAAGUAGAGCUUUGGAAAAGCCUGGAUUGAUAACUAUGGAGAGACUUAUUAUUUAAGUGAUGAAAAAUUCCCAUCGCCCGCAGUCAAGAAAAUUUCAGAUAGUUAAAGACUCCAUUUUGCUUCAGCCAAAAAUGUUUGUUUCAAUUAAAGACUUGAACCAUUUUCAUUGAACCUGAUUGUGAUCCUUUACGUUAUGCAUGUUCCUCUCAAUCAAGAAAAGUUGAGGUCAUGAUUCUAUAUUUCUAUAUUGUAACUUGAAAUAAUAAUUGGUCUACUUGUUUCUGUAUCUUGAUAAUAUGAAUUUUCCUUCUCAAGUUAAUUUGUUCAAUAAAGUAAUUCUUCAAAGAAAAUAUGCCCAUUCUAUAAUCAUUUUCUUAGCUCAGAUGUUUUUUCUUCACUCUUCAGAGCAUGUCAAAACUAAUUGAUCGCUUGGCAGAUACUUUGGGUAAGAAGACAAAAUUUCUUGGUAAAUCCUCGGAAAAGGUAUGCAUAAUUCCCGAGUAUUAAAUAACCAAUAGUCAUAAUUUUUGUACAUGACUCUUUUUUCUCUUUUUUGUGGAGAUCAUUAAAAUUGGUUGAUGAUCCAUUUUGUAACAUCAUAGAGGGAUCAUCAAUUCCUUCUCUUUUCUGUGGCUAGGCAACACUUUCAGGCCAAAGUAAGAAAAUCUAUUUUAGGUAAUGUGAAAACCAACGGUAGGAUGUAAUAGUUUAUUAUGCACUGACAAUAACUUUUUGUAUGGUUGGCAGUUUAAUGAAUACAAGAGGAACUUUGUUGACAAAUUCAUCCAAGAUAGAUGCUAAAAUUAUUUAUGCAUGCCAGUUGCCUUAACUAAUUUUUCUUAACACUUGUAUUGAACAGGAAAAUGAAUAAGCAAUCUGUAUAUUGUGCCAUUGUGGAGUAUUUGGAUAUUCUGAUUUAAAUAACAAGGAGAAUACUUGCCUCAUCUUUAAAUGAGGAGUGGGGGAUUGGAAGUGUCUUCAUGUAAAUGUUCAUUUAUUUGUAUUUUGAACUAUUAUGAGAAUCUUAUAUGCCAAAUCAGUAAUACAAAUCUUCAGAUGAUUUUUGCUGUUGAUCAUGGGUUUGUGUCUGCACACAACCAUUGUAUAUCACUUUAUUCUGAUGUGCAGGUAUGUGUAGCUUAGAAGAAAUGGAAUAAUAAUCAUCUAUUAUUGCUUGGUUCAUGAUUAUUAAACGAUUAUGGCUUUAAAAAGUCUACAAAUUCCUUCUGUUCAUAUAUGAAUGUGCCAAGUUUGCUAUAUCUUAGAUUAUCUUCUUCCAAGAUAACAAGUUCAUAUUCUUUUUAAUCUUUUUCCCUCACAGUUGACUUUUAGGUGUUAAGAUUUGUUAUUAGUCCCCUGUUAUUAUGAUUUCAUAAACAGUGUACGGAUAUGUGCUCUAACUUUGGAGGACCUCCACAUGAAAGAAAAUUGCAACAAUUGAAUUCUUCCGGAGGGUAUGGUCUUUAAUUUAUUUUCUCAACUUCUCGUAAGAUUAAUAUAUUUCAUUCAGUAGGCACAGCAUGGGGGGAAGGGUUUUUAUUGAAAGAAUUCUGAUAUUUCUUAGACUUUGUUUUGGAAGGGGGGUGGAGGGAUUUCUCAUCCAUGUAUGGUUACUUGAUUAGCUUUUGACUGUAUUUCCUCAGUCAUGUAAAGGAAGAUCCAAAUACCAACGAAGGAAUAUUGCCUAGACACCCGAAAGACAGAAAUGAGCUACAGAAGCAAGUUUUACUACUUUAUUUAGUGCUCCUGAGAAAUCUGAUGGAGACCGAAUGGAGGUCCAAAGCAUUGGAAAAGGUAGUGAGUGAACCGCCGGAGGAGUUGGCACCAGAAUGCAAGGCUAAUGUGGUGCACUUGCAGCAAGAUAACCAAACCGGUAUGUGCUCUUAUAUUAACUAGACUGACUGGAUUUGUGAGUGUGUGCAUUUUUUUGUGUAUACUCUUGUAUUUAUGCAUAUUAAUGUGUGUAGGAAUUUCUGCCACUUACUGGAGAACUAGUGGAAAGCUUUAUAUCGAUAUAUCUGCAAUAACUAAUUGGAAACUAUGAUAUUAAUAUUUUCUCUCACCUGAGGAACUGUGUAACAGAUAUACUUUGUGGCUCUGGAGUACUAGAAAUUCUGCAAUAACUAAUGGAAACUAUGAUAUGAAUAUUUUAUCUCAACUGGAGAACUUUGUAACUUGUAGCUCUGGAAUGUCUAAGGAAUUUUGUCUGCUUCAGUUAGAUCAAAUAUCUUUUAGUUGCAUACAUUAUAGAAAAAGAUAAAGUUCUCUGAAUCUGAAAGACUGAAACAUUUUGUAUAUUUUGUGAAAGGGAAAUAUCUGUAGAUACUAGUUCAUGCAUUGAGGUAACAUCAAUGUUAAAGAAAAACAGCAAUAAGUUAUUAUGUGGAACUAGGUUCACUUGCUUUAAAUGCUGGUCUGGUCAACCAUAUGAACCUGUAAGUUCUGCAGAAAUAUAUAUACGGGGAGAAACUAGCUAAAUUUUCCGUUCAUUGAUGGCUUUGGUCAUUUUUUUCCCCUUAUUUUUCAGCUGUCCUUCUCCUGAAGUAUGUUAACAACUGCAGAUAAUGAUGAAGAGGACAGCUUGCAGGCUCUUCUUAGAGCCAUGAUGGAAUAUAGGGGCACAAUGAAGGAACAUUGCAAAGCUGUAGGUUCUUUUUCUCCUGUCAUUUAUGUUUUCUCACACAUUUUUUAUAUGCUCCAAGCAUGCAAUUUUGUAUGUGUCAACUGCUUUCUAAGUUUUAAAAACCAUAAUGUAAGAAUACAGUUUCUUGUCAGGCUAUUGAUGCAUUUGCUCAGGGGGAUCAUGUUCGAGCAGGAAAACUUCUAGAACAGACAAGGUUUUCCAUCUACAGCCAUCUAUUGACAACAGAUAUAUUUUCAUUCAGCAAACACUGUUAGCAUUCAAGAUACUGGCAGAUUCACUUGAUUCUUAUUAGUAAUGUUUAGUAGCAAAGGAUAUAACCUGUAUUUCAAAGCCAAGUUGUGCUAUUGAUUAUGUUAGCUUUAUUGUUCACAUAAAGUGAUAUGGAGGAAAUAAUGUGAAGUGAUAUGGAGGAAAUAAUCAAUGUAGGAAAAUUAGGUGAAGAAAUGAUGUCAAAUCUUGAACCUCUUACAAAACUCCAAGCUCUUUACUUGAAUAAGCUACUAAAUUUGAACAGGGUCCACUGGAAGGCCUUGCCAUUCUCUGAUGCAUGCAGAAUUUUUGCAUUUAAAUGCCCAGAGCUUAAGAAGCUGCCACUGGAUCUUGAAAGGGCAGGCCAAGGUAAAAUUCUUAUCAAGGGAAAGGAAGAUUGGUGGAAACAACUUCAAUGGGAGGAUCAAGUAACUCAGAAUGCAUUGCUUCCAUUUUUAAAACAACCAGCAAGUGAUUGAAGGGGGCAUCAUCAACGUCAUCAACAUGGAUGGAGAGAUUCAGGAGCAGAUCAGCAGGAUUUAGUACGACCUGUGGUGGUUUCUUUUUUGUGACUUUUUUCCCUUUCAUUUUUUCACUUCCUGUCAUAUUAUCAUUUCUUUGUCUCUGUUUCUAUUGCUGGUGUUGCUGCAUGCUUGCUGUCCUUGACAAAGUUAGCUAGUUUUUUUUUUUUUAAUUAAAUUUUGUAUGUUCGGUCGGGACAGUCACAAAGUACUACUUGUUCUAUAUGGGGGUGAUGUGAAUCAACUUUUCAAUUAUAUAUUCUGUGGUAAUUGCGAAUUCAAUUUCAUUUGUCUCCAGCAAAUUAUGAAGAAAGUGCAGAGUUACAAUAUGGAGAAGUUCACUGGCAAAUACUUUGUAAAAGCUUCGGAGUGAAACAGGAAAUGCACUUGCAGCUAAGGACAAAUUGGUGGCCAGCUAAUGCCUUCAUUUUAUGUACAUUCAUCUUUUUAAUUAUUGAAGAUAAGUGGUUCGUUGCUUUUGUUAAGAUUAUAAGUUAGCGUCGGUGCAGGAUUUGCAGCAACAAAUCUUGACUAGCCACGUGUCAAAAGCACAAAUAAAUCAAGGGAAAGCACAUGACAUGGAUUAGGAUCUAAUAAAAUUUAAAUCCCAAGGAAAAUGACAACUGCAUUAUGAAGUUUCAAUAAGGGAUACUGACUAAUGAUAUUUUUUGGCUUUAUUAAUAAAAAAAGAAUAUUUUAUAACAAAUUAAAACAUAAUAUUAAGCUAAAUGUGAUAAUUAUAUACAUUUUAAAUAAUUUCAAUAAAAAAACAUUUUAAUGUUUUACGAUCUAUCAUACAUAUUUUAUUAAAUUAAUAUGAAUUUUUUUUUAUAAAUAGCAACAUAAUAUUACAACAAAUUUAUAAGGAUUUAAAUGUAAAAUAAUUUUAGUAUAAAUAAUACGUGGGAUAUAUUUUGUAAAUUAUAAAAUUAUUUAACACAAAGUUUUUUAAAAAAUAUUUAAAAUAAAUAAAAAUAAAUUAUUCACAUCUUGAUUUAAAUAUUUAAAAUAUUUUUAUAUAUUAGUCUACAAUUAUUUAUGUUAUAUUUUUAUUUAUUAGAAAUUUUGAAAGUCAAAUGUUUUCACCUCUAAGAGAAAGACACAUAUGCUUUAUAGCUUUAAAAUCGGUCUGUUUUAUAUCUGGAAACAAAUAUAUCAUUAUUGGUAAGGAUUAAAAAAAGGGAUAAAGAAUAUUAAUGAUUAAUGAAAUCUCUAUGGAAAUUGAAUUUAGUAGGAAAAAAUUGAGCUAAAUGAUUUAGACAUUUAGUGGUAUAGUAAUAUUUUAUAUAUAGAAAUGUAAAAGCUGCACCCGAGGUUAAGGGAAAUGUUCAAAACUCUUUUUUACUCAUAAUACCCUUUGUCCUAACUAACUUACAAAUUCGACUCUAAUAUUUUAUAAUAAAUAAAAAUGUAAUCCUAAAAUAAAUAAAAUAAGAUAUAUUUUAAAAUAAUCUCAAUAUUUAAAAUAUACUUUAAUAUUUUAUAGUCUAUCAGACAUAUUUAAUUAUAUUAAAGUAAAUUUUGUAAUAAAUACAAACAUACUAUUAAAAUAGAUAUAUAAAAAAUUUAAAGUAUUUUGGAUAUUAUAUAAAAGAACUUUAAUAUUGUUAAUACGUGAGAUAUAUUUUAUUAAUUAAAAAUUCUAUUUAACCCAAAGAUUUAUUUAAGAUAAAUUAACAAUCAUAUUUGUGAAAUUAUUUCAAAUAUUAAAAAAUAUUUUAAUAUUACUAACUAUUAGAUAGACUAAACUAUUUAUAUUAUUUUCUAUUUAUUAUAAAAUUUCAAAAUUAAUCUUUUUAACUACUAUUCAAAAGAUAUUAUGAUAAAAAUAAUUUUUUUGUGUUUUUAUUAAAAAUUUGGAAUUUGCAUAACUCUUUUUUUAAAUAUUGGGGUAUAGCUGUCUUUUCCCUUUUAUAUAUACAAACCACAGUGGUGAAAAAGCUUGAUUUAAUGUUAUUUAUUUAAACAACACCGAUAUUCACACCACAUUGAGCACCAUAGUUUUUUUUUUUUUUUUGAAAAGAAAGUACACCUUUCAUUGAAUUAAGAGAAAAGAAACAAAACAUCCUCUGGAAAUUCAUCCAGCCAAAUACAAGGGUCUGACUUUUUGAAAGCCAACUUUGCCAAAUCAUGCGCUAAAAAGUUACACAUCCUAAGGACGUGCUGAGCUUUAAAAUUCUGAAAGAUUUUCUUAGCUUCUAUAAUAUCAAAAAUCACCCAAAAGGUGUCUGUCAAAGUGCUUCUCUUGUUAUUGAUUAGCUCUAUCACCCCUUUAGAAUCAGACUCUAAGAUAACUGAAGUUGCCCCUGCCUUGGCAGCUGCCUGCAUUCCCCACAAAACAGCUUUUGCCUCACUCAACUCCACAUCUCCUGAGCUCUUAAAAGUGCUAACAGCUGCAGCAACUGUUUCUCCCUUAUGGUUUUUAACUACUGCUCCCAGCCCAGCAAGAUAAUUCACCCUAUCCAUAGCAUCAUCAACAUUUACCUUAAGCCAUCCUUCUUCGGGUGGACUCCAUUGGCUUUGCUGAACAUUGUUUUGUUCUGCUAAGAAAUCCUCUUCUGACAUUGAGCACCAUAGUUAAGUACAAAACGGUGCGUUUUGUUCACGCAUGUUAGUAAACACCCACGCAACUUACACACAUACGCGCGGCUCACAACACGCGCUCUCCUCGCCCUAAAUCUCACCUGAUUGAAGCCACAAAUUUGGCCACGUUCUCCCACAGCUCUCUCCGUUCUGACCGUUUACUCUUCCUCUAGCCCCAUCGAUUACAUCUCUCAUAGCACCUCAUUCAACCGACGUAAUUGCCAGAAAACAACCUACCUGGUAAUAAAAGUCGAUUCUCUUACAAUUUUGGCCCAAAAAAAAAAAUUGCACAACUGAAAAAUCAAAAUGCCACUCUUUAAAACCAAAAAUCAAUUUUGGGCCCCCUUCAUCACCGCCUUCACUCUAGAUUUUUUCAAUCCACUUUGUCGUCAAAACCGUGGUGUUCUUAAACCAUUAUUAUAUUCACCAUCCCCUUAAUCACAUCCAACCAUCCCCAUUAUUCGUUUGUCAAACACGCUGUUCUCUUCCCAAAUUAAUUAAUUAAUUAAUGACAGACAGGAACAAAAGUACUUUAAAUCUCUGCCAAAUCGUAUUGUUAUUACUUCUUCCGAGUCGAGGCCACGUCGUUCUCGAUGGAAACCAUUGCUUUUUAUUACCACUCUUGAGGAGUUCGAAGCAUUCUCGACGGAGACCCGCGCAAGCUGUGGAAAGAGAGAGAGUCAACGGUGAAAAGAGAGCAUGGUGAGAUGUGUGAGCGACGGGGGGAGAGAGAGAGAGAAAGAAAGCCGACGGAGAGAGCACAUAGAGCUGAGAUGCGUGAGUUGGGUGAAGAUUUGGUGAGCGUUGUGUCAGUUGCCCGUGUGUUGUGUGAGCUCUGUGCCAUGUGAUAUGCGUGCUACUUUGAGAAUUUAUAGAUAGCACAAAACUCAAUCUAUAUCCAAUUCAUACCUAGAUAGAUGCGGAUUUGACUCAAUUUAUAUCCAAUUCGUCAUUUGCGAACUAAAAAUUUUUAAUUCUCUCAAAUUCACAAACUAACUAAAUAAAUAAAAAUUUAAUAUAAAAAUAACUGUACUACCGAUCAAAUUUAAAAUUAAAUAAUAUUUAAAUAAAUUAAUUGUUUAAAUAAAGUUAGAAAAUACAUUCAAAAUUUUAAAAUAUAACACAGUAAAAAGAAAAAAUCUCAUUUGUUUAGACCUAUGUAUGAAAAUUAAUUGUUUAGGAAUCUAUAUUUAUUUAUUUUUAUAUUAUUAUCGGAUAAGAUAUAAUAUGGUGUUAAUGUAACUAUAUUUUAACUUAUUUAUUUAUAAGACCAAUGCUAUAUGUACAAGUUUAAUUUUUUAAUUAAAUAAAUAUUUUUUUUUGCGGAAUUGUGGAUUUUUGCGGAUUUACAAAAGUAAAUCUAUAUCCAAUCCACCGACUAUGGAUUUUCAAAUUUUCAAAAUUUCAAAUUUUCAAAUUUUCAAAAUUUCAAAUUUUCAAAUUUUCAAUCCAAUCCAAUCCACCAAUUCACAAAUUCGGAUUUUUACGGAUUAGAUUUCUACAGAUUAAACGAAUUGAGCAGACCAUAUUUGAUUUUGAACAUUGCUAAUUUGUAUGUUAAGUAUAACAUAAUCAAUUAUUUGGAUAAUCCCUUGUGUUUUAUCUCUAAUUAGAGCAUCAAUCUUCACAAUAUCUACAAAGCUACAAUGGCUACAAAACAAACCUGCUUGCAAAUUGUCAAGGAUACUUAUCCUUUCUCUUGACAAGUCAUUUGGAAAAAUACUGUCCCUUGGCGGCUCCAUGACUUCUCUGCUCCUCCUUUUGGUCUUAAUGUACGGUUGCAUAAUGAUAGUUUAGGCCCUUUAGGGACUACUUUCCCUGGGGUUGUUAAGUCUUAGCUUGUGCUAGGCUCGUUUUUCUUACCAAAAAAAAAGGGAAUACUUCUCCUAUAAGAAAUAAUCUCUAUAUAUAGGGUGGUUGGAUUCACUUGUUUACAUAACAGAUCAAUUAGUUCUCUGUAAAUAGAGAGUUUCUAGUAUAAGAGAAACGGUAGAUCUAUUGAGAGAUUAUGUGUUAUUAAAAUUUUAGUUGCGAAGAAAAGUACUAGAGUGAUUGUAUUAAUUUUUUACAUAGUAGAUUUUUCUAUCGUCAUCUUUAUGGCUGUGAUUUUUCUUCCAUAUAGAAGUUUCUCACGUAAAUUUUUAUGUUGUGUGAUUAGUUUUAUUCUCUAUCUAUUUUUUGUUUAAUAUUUUAUUUGUAAGAUGCUGGAUGGGAUUAAAAUUUCUUAACAAAUAACGGAUUAAAAAUCAUGAAGAAAAAGCUCAAGAGAUCUUCAAGAUUUGAAGUGUGCAAAAGUUCAUAUUACUGCUAGAUGAUAUAUGGGAGCGGGUUGAUUUAGUAAAAAUGGGUGUCCCUCUUCCUAGAUCAGAAAACAGCACAUCCAAAGUGAUAUUUACAAACCCGUUCUGAGGAAGUUUGCGGCUUAAUGGAAGUUCGUAGGAGUUUUAAAGUGGCGUGCUUAUCAAAUAAAAAUGCUUGGGAAUUGUUUCUAUACAAAGUUGGGGAAGUGAAAGAAAACAGAGAUGUACUGUUUGGUUGAAUAGAAAAUUACAGAGAAAAUUCUCAAUACUUGUAUUUGAUAAGAUUCAAUUCUUAAGAGCUUUUACAAAUCAGUACAAGUAUUUAUAUUAUUCCUUACACGUGAGAAUUGCUAGUAACUCACUAACUAACUAACUUUCUUUGAGCUGGAUCACUAACACUUGACUAAUCACACUGAGCUGUUAUUCUUCACUAACAACCUUCUGCUGACGUGGCUUCACCAAGCUACUUGAAUAAUGAGCAGCCUUGACAGCCCCCCUCAAACUCAAGGGACAAGACAUGACGUUGAGUUUGGCCCUAAGAUAGUUAAAAUGGAUGAAUGAGAGUGGCUUGGUCAUGAUGUCAGCUACCUGCUCCUCACUUGGUAUAUAUUGAAUGUUUAGUUCUCCAGCAAGAACUUUGUUUCUAACAUAAUGAAUAUCAAUCUCAAUAUGCUUUGUUCUUGAGUGGAAAACUGGAUUGUGAGCUAACUCUGUUGCACUGAGAUUGUCACACCAAAUAACAGGUUUCUCUAUGCAUUGUAAUUUCAACUCAGAAAACAGUGAUUGCAGCCAGCUUAUCUCGGCACUUGCUGAGGCUAGGGACCUAUACUCACUCUCUGCACUGGACCUAGCAAUAACAGGCUGCUUCUUAGACGACCAAGAUAUCAGAUUAUGACCAAGAUAGAUGCAAUAGGCUCCAAUCGAUUUUCUGUCAUCCAGAUCCCCUGCCCAGUCUGCAUCUGUGAAUCCUGUUAGUUUCAGAUCACCAUCCUUAAUAAUUUUGAGUCCAUAGUUCUGUGUAGCCUUUAGAUAUCUGAGCACUCUUUUGCAAGCCAUAAGGUGCUGCAGUGUUGGUGCAGAAACGUAUUGACUCAGCUUGUGAACACUAAAGGCAAUUUCUGGUCUUGUUAAUACCAAAUAUUGCAUCCCACCAACAAUGCUUCUGUAAUGUGUUACAUCUUCAACAUAACAACCAAGAUUACCUUGAGCUUCCUUCUGUAGCUUCAUUCCUGUACUCAUAGGAGUAUCAAUAUCUUUGCAAUUUAUCAUCUCAACUCUUGACAGCAGAUCCCUUAUGUAUUUCCUUUGAGAUAAGAAAAUACAAUCUUUAUCAUACAGUACUUCAAUGCCUAAGAAAUAAGAGAGAACUCCAAGAUCCUUCAAAGCAAACUUUGUACUGAAUUCUGUAAUGAAUUUUUCCAGCUCAAAGCUAUUUGGUCCUGUUAUUAAAAUGUCAUCAACAUAUAUAAGAACUAGAAUCAUAGAUGACUUAUUUAUUUUCAAGAAUAAGGAGGUAUCUGAGCUGGAAUUUGUGAAUCCCCACUGCAACAAACAGCCUUUCAACUUAUCAUACCAAGCUCUUGGAGCUUGUUUAAGUCCAUAAAGAGACUUGUGAAGCUUGCAUACAAAGUCUGGUUUCUCAAAGCUGAUAAAUCCCUCUGGUUGAUCCAUGAACACUUCCUCUGUUAAGUCUCCAUUAAGAAAGGCAUUAUUCACAUCAACUUGCCUUAUCUUCCACUGAUUCAUCACAGCUAAACUCAAGACUACUCUUACAGUUGCUGGUUUUAUGACAGGACUGAAAGUUUCAAAAUAAUUCACUCCUAUAAUUUGUUGAAAUCCCUUUGCAACUAACCUAGCUUUGUAUUUAGCUACACUUCCAUCAGUGUUGUAUUUAACCCUAUACACUCAUUUGUUUCCAACAACUCUUUGAUCAUUUGUUUUUGGCACUAAGGACCAUGUACCACUCUGCAUCAAAGCUGCAUAUUCUUCUUUCAUGGCUGUAAACCAUUUUGGGUUUUGCAUAGCCUCAUAUACAGAAUCAGGUUAUUUGUGAACAAGGGUUGCUGUAUAAAGCUUUGGUUUGAAGAUACCAGUUUUGCUUCUGGUAGUCAUUGGAUGUGUAUUAGGUUGGACUGGAAAAGAUAUAUCAGGUGUAGGUUGAGCUAAUAAGGAUAUGUCAGGUGCAGGUUGUGGUGAAUUUUGAGGCUCUGUAGAUGGUUCAAUAAAUGUGGUAUGUGUUUGUGAAUAGGAAUGUUGAUUGUCAGUAUGAAAUGGAUUAUCUGAAUGUUGUGAACUGCUGCUGGUAGAAAUUGCAGAUAGAGGAUUGCAUGAGCUAUUUCCAUCUGAUACUGGUGUUGUAGAUAAUAUGGUCAGAUGAAACACUGGUUGGGGUGUAAGGGAUUGACUCGAAUAAGAUGAUGAUUCAUUAGAAUGAAAAACUGAGUCUGUAGAAUAAGGAAAUGUUGACUCAUAAAAAACAACAUGUCUGGCUAUGUACAUCUUGCCUGAUGAAUGCAAGCAUUUGUAACCUUUGUGAACUGGACUGUAGCCAAGGAAAAUGCAUUUGCUUGAGUGAUAAUCAAAUUUGUGUUUGUUGUAAUCCCUUAGAUAAGGAUAACAUGUGCAACCGAAACACUUGAGCAUGCUGUAAUCAGGUUUAAGUUUAAAAAUUGUCUCAUAUGGGGUAAGAAGUUUCAGAGCUGUUGAGGGUAAUCUGUUUAUAUGGUAAACAGCUGUAAGAAAAGCAUCCCACCAAAAUUUAAAUGGUAGCUUAGCUUGUGCUAAUAGGGUUAGUCCUAGCUCAACAAUGUGUCUAUGUUUUCUUUCUACCACCCCAUUUUGGUGAUGUGUAUAAGGACAAGAAUGUCUGAAAAUGAUUCCACAUUGGUUUAAGAAUUGAGUAAAUGAUCUGUAUUCUCCCCCCCAAUCAGAUUGCAGGUUUUUAAUGGGGCUGUCAAAUUGGUUUUCAACCUGCAAUUUGAAUAGUUUGAAUACAUCUAAUGCCUCAGAUUUCAACUUAAGAGGAUAAAUCCAAGUGUAUCGGCUAAAAUCAUCAACAAAACUUAUGUAAUAGACAUAGCUAUCUCUAGAAGGUGUAGGUGAGGGUCCCCAUAGGUCUGUAUGUAUAAGCUCAAGGGGUUUUGUUGUUUUGGUUUCUGUGCUGGGAAAAUGCAGCCUAUGGGAUUUGCCCAUUUGACAUGCUUCACAGAUAUGCUCAAGUGUUUGUUUUAUGUUAUUUCUUGAGAGAUUAACUGAAGUAAUUCCUUUUAGCAAAUGCAUUAGAAUUUGAGAAUUAGGAUGGCCAAAACGUUUGUGAAGAAGAAGAAUUUUAUUAUUCAAUGCAUCACAAGAUGAAAUGUAGCUGGAAAAUUUAUUUAUUGAUGCAUUACAAACUGUGACACAACUGGAAUCAUUAUUCUGAGUGUUUUUAAGAACACUUGAAUCAAAAGAACAUGCAGAUAACAUUGACAAAGGUUGAGUGGAUGAAGGUUGACCCAUGUAAGAACAAGGAAGAGACUCAGAUGGUCUUAGAAGUAGCUUAUACAAUCCUUUCUCAGCAAUUCCUGUCAGAAGCACUUGCCUCUUCAGAGAAUCCUUCACAUAGCAAACAUUAUCAACAAAUUCAAUAGAGAUAUUGUUAUCAGCAGUUAAUUUUGAUAUGCUGAGCAGGUUCUUUGUGAUAUCAGGUACUAAUAACAUGUCAUUCAGUAAGAUAUGUGUUGGUUUAUAUGCAGCAUUUGAUCCUUUAUAAGUAAAACAUGGAUUACCAACAUGAGUUAUAGGCAAACCUUGGCCAUUGCCGAUGACAAGUUGAUUAGAUCCUCUGAAUUCCUCUCUGACAUUCAUGUUGGCCAUACUGUUAGUCAAGUGAUGUGUGGCACCAUUGUCAAGGUGCCAUCCUUCAUCAGCAGGCCCUUCAUAGUUGGUAAGAUAGGCUUCAGGAAUUACUGUGUCUGUUGAUGGAUAAGAGGAGAAGGAUAAAGGAUUGUAGCUUGAGUAGGGUGCAGCAUACUGUUCUUCAGUUGAAGGAGCAGCAUAGGUUAGAGAUGGAUCAAAGUUAGCUGUGUAUGCAGCCUUAGAUUCAAAAGAUCUGCCCCUUCCAAAAUGCCUAGGUAAUGGUUGAGGAUUGUCAUCAUAUCUAUGCCAGCAUUCAUCUGCUGCAUGUCCUGUUUUGUGGCAUAUCUGACAUAUGGUUGGUAAUUCAUCAGCAUGCAUGUUAGCUGAAGGAUGAAAGUUUGGCUUCAUAGGUGGCCUAAAAGGUUGCAUCAUCUGGCCCCUGCCAUAACCCCCAACAUUACCAACACCAGGUGAAAAACCUCUGGGAUGUGGAUUGUGAAACAUGCCUCUUCCAACAUUAAAUCCUCUAGUCAUAGGUCGACCAUAAUUUCCAUUUCCAACAACACCUCUUCUAAAAUUUCCUCUCAUAUAAGGAUGAUUCACAUUCAUUGUGCUAUAGUUUGCAUUAAACACAGUUUUGGCACUUUGAUUUUGUUCAAGUCUAGCUUCAUGAGUCAGUAAUAAUGCAUAAGCAUCAUCAUAGCUCAUCUUAUUAGCUGUGAUUAUGGAAGCUAGAUCUAGAUAACCUGAACCUAAGCCAUUCAAAACUCUCAUUAACAGAUCCUUUUCAGUGAUUACAUCACCAGCACAAGCAAGUUUGUUGGCGAGUAAUUUCAUUUUAGCACAAUAUUCCUCAACAUUCAUUGAAUCUUUUCUUAAGAUAUUCAUUUCAUAUCUGAGUUGCAUAAUCUUAGCCUCAGAUUGAACUCCAAACUGUUUUUCAAUAGAUCUCCACACAUCAAAUGAAGUGUCAUAGCUAAGAACAGAACUAAGAAUACCUUCACUUAUAGUUGAGAGCAGCCAGCCAAGGAGUAUUUGAUCUUGUGCUCUCCAGUUGCUGUAGGCUGGAUUUUCAAUGCUCUCACCAGAUCCUUCGAUCAUUGAAUCAACUAGAUACUGUUCUGGAAUAAUUUGCGGCUCUAGAAUGAAUCUUUCAAGGCGAUUUCCUCUGAUUGAAGUUACCACUUGUUUGCGCCAAAGCAAGAAAUUUGAUCGAUCAAGUUUCACAGUUGCAGCAAAAGUAAAUGAUGUUUGUGUAUGUUGAUUUGAGUUUAUGAUUGUUUGAUUUGAGAUUGUAUUGCUUGAGCUGGCCAUUUGUGGCUCUGAUACCAUGAAAGAAAACAGAGAUGUACUAUUUGGUUGAAUAGAAAAUUACAGAGAAAAUUCUCAAUACUUGUAUUUGAUAAGAUUCAAUUCUUAAGAGCUUUUACAAAUCAGUACAAGUAUUUAUAUUAUUCCUUACACGUGAGAAUUACUAGUAACUCACUAACUAACUAACUAACUUUCUUUGAGCUGGAUCACUAACACUUGACUAAUCACGCUGAGCUGUUAUUCUUCACUAACAACCUUCUGCUGACGUGGCUUCACCAAACUGCUUGAAUAAUGAGCAGCCUUGACAGGAAGAAACUUUGAACAAUCAUCCUGAUAUCCUUCAGAAAGCACAAUAGUUGUUAAGGAGUGUGGUGGUUUGCCACUUGCACAUUUUACCAUCGGUCGAUUUAUGGCAUGCAAGAAGACACAGCCGAAGAAUGGAGAUAUGCUAUUCAAGUGUUCAAUUCGUCCGCUUCCCGUUUCCAGGUCUGGAAGAAUGGAUAUAUACUCUUGUAAAAUUCAGUUAUGAUAGUUUACCCAAUGACACAAUUACACCUUGUCUGUUAUAUUGUAGUUUAUAUCCAGAAGAUUGUUGCAUUUCUAAAGAGAAUUUGGUAGAUUGUUAGAUCAGUGAAGGAUUUUUUAAUGAGAGUGAUUGGUUUGGAGAAAAAAUCAAGGAUACUUCAUUUUGGGCAUUCUUCUUCACGUUUUUUUUUGGAAAAGGGAGGAGAUUGUGAAAUGAAAAAUGCAUGCAUGACGUUAUUCGUGAUAUGGCUUUGUGGAUCGCAUGCGACUAUGAGAAGGAGAAGGAGAACUUUUUGGUUUACGCUGGUGUUGGUUUAACUAAGGUACCGGAUAUUAGAGAUUGGGAAAAGGUAAGGAGAUUGUCAUUGAUGAAAAAUAAAAUUGAGAAUCUAUCCGAGGCUCAUACAUGCCCUCAUCUCCUCACUUUCUUUCUUGACGAUAAUGAGUUUCGGAAGAUCCCCGGUGAUUUCUUCCAGUUUAUGCCUUCUCUCACUGUUUUAAACUUGUCAUGUAUUAAACUAAAGUCAGUUCCUUUAGGGACUUCAAGGUUGGUUCCACUACAACAACUCGAUCAUUCAUAUUCAAGCAUAAAAGAGUUGCAAGAAGAGUUAAAUGCCCUGAUUAAAGUUAAAUGCUUGAAUAUAGAUCAUGUAGAGGAGCUAAUUACAGUUCCACAACAACGGAUAUUUAAUUUUUAAGGUUAUAUGUGUUGAGAAUGUUCGAUACUAUUAGUUUAAAUUUUCAAGAAGCAUUAAAUAAAGACAGCAUUUUAUUUGGUGGGGAGGAAGUUUAAGCAGAGGAGUUGCUCGGUUUGGAAUAUUUGGAGGUAUUGAGCUUCACUUGAGAGGUGUUCGUGCUCUCCAAUUUAUUUUGAGCUCACAUAAGCUACGAAGUUGUACUCAAGCGCUGUUCCUCCAAUCCUUCAAUAAUUCGAUAUGGCUUGAUAUUUCACUUUUGGCAGAGUUAAAAGCACCACUGCAGAUUUAAGUAUUUUUGGCUGUAGAAAAUUGGAGGACUUGAAGAUGGAAUAUACAGGGGGAGCGAAAAACAAGCGGCAACCUUGUGUUUUCUAAGGCCUACAUACAGUUCACAUAGAGGUUUGUUCUAAAUUGAAGGACUUAACAUUCCUUGUUUCUGCUCCAAAUCUCAAGAACUUGGAAAUACAAAAUUGCCCUGCUGUGGAAGCAAUCAUCAGUGUGGGAGAAUUUGCGGAAGCUCUAGAGGUGGUGGAAAAUCUAAACCCAUUUGCAAAACUCCAGUAUCUUGGACUAGAAAAUCUGCCAAAUGUGGAGAGCAUCUAUUGCAAGCCUCUGCCCUUUCCAUGUUUGAAAAGAAAUGACUGUGGAUAGUUGCGGUUGUCUUAAAAAGCUUCCACUCUACUCCAACAGUGUAAAAGAGUGUACAAUUGUUAUUUCAUCAUUCGGAGAGUUAAUGGUGCAAUGAGAUUUGGCAGUUAACUCUCGUGGGAAGAGCUUGAAUGGGAAGACGAAGCCACUCGAAUUGCUUUUCAUUCAUGUUUCAAAUCUCUGAUUGGAUUGGAGAUUGCAUUUCGCCUCAGGUUCGUACUUUUCUUGAAUUUUUCUUGUUAACUUCAUUUGUUCAUUUAUCCAUUUUUUUUUAAAGGAAUCAGAAGGGUUAAUAAUUUUGGUUGUGUUAGGUCGACUUCUAAUCACGAGGCAGAAGGAGUUGAGAUGAAGUUUAAUUUUGGUGGAGAAAUUGUUUGAUUUAAAAAAUUUAAAUGAGUUGACCAUCAUUCUUUAGCAUAUUUGUAUGAACAGGAGUGUGUAAAUAUGCAAACUGUCCAGCUGUAUGUGUAUAGCGUAAUAAUUUUGAGGAGUUAAAACAUUGAAGAAUAUUGAUGUUUCCAUUGUCAAACCAAAUAUACUUAAUUACUUGAGGAUAAUGAUUACUGCUAAUACAUUUGCUAAUACAUUUGCAAAGAAAAAAACAUGCCUAUUGAAAAACUCAUCUUAUUAGCAACAGCAUUAUAAGUAGUAUCCAAUCAUAGUUUCAUGCAAGAUUUUGAGAUUUUUCAAAUGCUGAUUCCGGGAAUGGAGAUUAAUAGAUAAUGGAGACAGGUUGACUGCAAUGGCUAAUUGCAAGAGGGAAUUUUAGUCGUAAAAACAGACCAACUAGCAAAGCAAAUUCCAAAUCUUGGAAUGAAGUGGCAAAAAAACGAAACAAACAAAUGGCAAGAGGAAGUGACUAUACAAUAAUAACAUCGACUUGCAAUUCAACAUUUAUACAGUUUUACUCACCAAGAAAAGAGAAAAUUACAAUAGCAAUUUGGCUACUAGAAGAUGUUCAUUCAUGCUUAUGCCUGUCAUAUGGAUUUGAAACAAGGAGUAAAAGCAUUUAGAGUGGCUUCAUCCUUCCACUGCAGCUCAUUCCACCAGUGUUGCUCUCCCCUAAUAACAAGUUUGCGUUCCUUGGCGCUGUUGUAAUCGAGUGGAAGCUUCUUGAGGUUCGGGCAUCCAGAUACAAACAAUUCUAAGAGAUUUGGAAAGUGCACUUAAAUUCUUAUGAAUUGCUUAAGUAUGCAAGCAGCAGAGCAGAAAACAAACAACCUUUUCAUAUAUUAUAAUAACAUGAAUAAUCAGAUAUACACAUCCUUCACAUAUUUAUACUAAACGUGAAAAAUGGUAGCUUGCUCAAAGGGAAAACAGAAAUGAAUAAAACAAAAGAUUACAGCUGCACUAGCCAAUCAUUGGAAACAUUCUAGAAACUCCAGCUUGCAGUAUUCACGUGUAAAUAUUCUCCUGCAUAACAGUUUUGCCAGCUCAUUGAAUACACCUCAACUUCUUCAUCAGCUGGUUGCUGGAUAUGGCUGCUCAGGUGGCAUGCCAGCAUGGCCUUUGGGUCAAUUGUUGACUCAUCUUCAUAAUCUGAAUUCUCAACACCCUCUCUCAAACUUAAGGUCUUGUCGAAGACAUUAAGUUUGCUUCUAAAUUGACUGAACUUGUAAUAAGGCAAUGGCUUGGUUAAUAUGUCUGCAACUUGAUCUCUGCUGGCUACAAAACUGAUUUCCAGCUCUCCUUGAGUGACUUUGUCUCUAAUGAAAUGAAGGUCUAUCUCAAAAUGCUUUGUCUUUGAGUGAUACACUGGAUUUGUGGCUAUUGCUGCUGCACUUGUGCUAUCACUUAAGAUCAUUGGAACUCUUUGCAUCUUGAUUUCCAAUUCACCAAACAGAGAAUUUAUCCAAGUGAUUUCAGUAGUACACAAAGCUAUGGCCCUGUACUCGGACUCAGCUGUCGAUCUUGCUACCAUGCCUUGCUUUAUUGAGCUCCAAGCUACUAAAUUGUCUCCCAAAAACACACAAUAUCCACUUACUGAUCUUCUGUCAUCUGGAUCACUAGCCCAGUCAGCAUCAAUAUAGGCUAUCAAAUCUAGAUGUUCUGACUUCUGGAACUUUAAGCACAUGUUUGCAGUGCUCUUUAGGUACCUCAACACUCGUUUGCAAGCUGUCCAGUGAGAUUGUCUUGGGUCAGACAGGUAUUGGCUAAGCUUGUUCACAGAAUAUGCAAGCUCUGGUCUUGUUAGAACAGCAUAAUGUAGACUUCCUACAACACUCCUAUAAAAUGAAGGAUUGUCAAGUUUGGUGCCUUCACCCUUCUUUAGUUUCUCUGCUGUGCUGAAAGGUGACUCUAUUCCCUUGCAAUUCUCCAUCUCUGUUUUAGCUAAUAGGUCUUGAACAUAUUUAGCUUGAGAGAGCAAAAUGGAGUUCUGAUUUCUUAUAACAUGUAUCCCAAGGAAGUAGCUUAAAUUUCCAAGAUCUUUCCACUUAACUUUCCUAUCACUUCCUCAAUACCCUUGCUGUUAUUUCCAGUCACAAUUAUGUCAUCUACAUACACAAGCACAAUGAUUAUUUCAGCACUGCUUCUUUUGAAGAAUAGAGAAAUAUCACACUUGGAGUUGUUGAAUCCCCAAGAGCACAGAGCAUUCUUUAAUUUGUCAAACCAUGCUCUGGGUGCUUGUCUCAGUCCAUAAAGAGCUUUCUUGAGCUUGCAUAUGUGGUUUGGUCUUCUCCUAUCCUCAAAUCCCUCAGGUUGUGGCAUGUACACUGUCUCUGUCAAAUCUCCAUUCAGAAAUGCAUUAUUUAUGUCAACCUGCCUCAACAGCCAAUCAUUACUUACAGCCAAAGUUAAAAUGAUUCUGAUUGUUGCAGCUUUGACCACAGGGCUGAAAGUCUCAUUAAAGUCAAGUCCUGGUGUCUGCAGAAACCCCUUCAAGACAAGUCUAGCUUUGUAUCUAUUUAUGGUGCCAUCUGGAUUUUCCUUUACUUUGUACACCCAUUUGUUGCCAAUGAGUUUGUAGUUCUGGUCAUGUGGAAUUAAGGUCCAGGUUUGGUUUUUGACAAGAGCAUUAUAUUCAUCCUCCAUUGCUCUUCUCCAUUUAGGAUCUUUCAGUGCCACAGUGGAGUCAGGGGGUAAGGAAGUUUGAGAUUGAGUGGAUAUUUGAUAAACCUUUGGCUUGCAAAUCCCUGCUUUUGACCUUGUGAUCAUGGGAUGUAAGGAGGCUUGAGUGUUUGGUUAUGUUAUGAGAGGCAAGGUGCAAUUUUCUACUGAGGUGUUUGGUGAGAGUUCAACAGGUGAGUGGUUGUCUGAUAUAGAGUUGAAGCUCAAAUUCUAACAAGCUCCAUCUUAACUAAAACUUGGGAGCUGUUCUGAGUUUCCAGCAGUGGCCUGAGAUUAACUAUGAGCUGCAUUUUGCUGUGUUGACUCAGGGGGAACAGUAGUGGAGAAAGAUACAACUUGAAAUUUUUCUAGAACUGUGGGGGAAUCAUUUUGGUCAGUGAGCCUUUGCUUGCAGAAAUUUGAGUCAUUUUGAAAAGGGAAUGAAUGAUCAUUAAAUUGACACUGGCUGAAAUGUAGAUCCUCCCAGAAUGAUGCAUGCAAAUGUAACCUUUGUGACUGAUGCUAAUGCCUAGUAGUGUGCACUUGAAAGUGUGAAAAUCAAACUUAUGCUUGUUGUAGGGUCUUAAGUAUGGAUAGCAUUCACAACCGAAAACUUUAAUUUGGGAAUAAUCUGGUUUGGUGAGAUAUAACAGCUCAAAUGGAGUUUUAUUUUCAAGAAUAGGUGAGGUUAAUCUGUUUAUGAUGUAGGUGGCAUAGCUGAAAGCUUCUUGCCAAUAUCUCAAAGGCAUUUUUGCUUGGGCUAGUAAUGUUAGGCCAGUUUCCACAAUGUGUCUGUGCUUUCUCUCCACCUUUCCAUUUUGUUCAUGUAAAUAAGGGCAUGAGUGUCUUAAGGCUAUUCCUUCUUUCUUGAGAAAGGGUUCGAAAGUUUUAAACUCCCCACCCAUGUCUGUUUGUAAAGCCUUGAUUCUUAAAUUUAGCUGAUUUUCUACUUGGUUUUUAAACACAAUGAAUGUGUCAAGGGCCUGUGAUUUUGUUGUUAAGGGAAACAACCAUGUGUAUCUUGUCUUGUCAUCCACAAAUGAUAUGUAAUAUCUGUGUCCAUGGGUAGAUGGAAUAGGUGCUGGUCCCCAGAGAUCACUAUGUAUUUGUUCUAAGGCUGUGCUGGUCUUGGUUUCAAUGCUUUUAAAGUUUAGUUUUGAUUGCUUUCCAUACUGACAAGCAUUACAGAAUGAGGGAAAUAUAUUUUUAUUUAAGUUGAGCUGAUUACAAGAUAAUAGAGUAUUUUUCAGAACUGACUCAUUUGGAUGCCUCAGCCUAUGGUGCCAGAGAUCUAUUUCAUUUGUUCUAAGAUCCCUACUGCUUGUAUCAGCUCUACUGGACUCGACAACACUGGCACCAACACUGGCACCUAAAGACUCAUUACUACUGAAAUUGAAACAUGCCAUUGACAUUGGAUUGCUAAUGCAACUUAUUGACUUGGGUAUUGGAAAUGAAGAUAACUCAGCAGCAUAAGUAACCUUGUUGCCACUCAAAUGAGUUGGCAUGCAUAGCAGCUCAUAUAGUCCAUCUCUAGCCACUCCUUUCACCAGAAUUCUCCCUUGGCUCUUGUCCUUGAUGAAGCAAACAGAUUUUUGAAACUCAACAUCAAUAUCAUUAUCAUGAAGCAAUUUGGAAACACUAAUGAGAUUUUUGGUAAUAUCAGGUACAAACAAAAUAUGAUUUAAUUUGAUGUGUUUGUGUGGACUGUAAGUGGGCAAUAUAGAAUAACCAAUGUGAGAGAUAUGAAGUUUGUUACCAUUACCAACAGUGAGCUUGUCAUUACCUUGGUACUCUGAGUUCAGGUUCAUGUUUCCAAUAGCAUUGGUCACAUGAUUUGUGGCACCACUGUCAAGGUACCAGGCAUUGCUGUUUUGUCCUUCUGUUGUGGCCAUGUAGGCUCCUCUCCUCCUAUUUAGCUGUGGCACAUAAUUUUUCUUAAACCUAUGCCAGCAUUCAACAGCUGUGUGCCCCAUUUUGAAGCAGAUUUGGCAUGGACCCUUUGAUUCAGAACCUUCACCUUCUGCAGCAGCUUUGCCUUUGCCUUUGUCUUGAAUAUUUUGAUUUCCCUGACCAUGACCACCAUUGCCACCAUUUCCAGUGCCACCACCAGGAUUUCUGAAGACUAUCCCAGGUUGUUGCUGACUGCCAAAUCUUUCACCAUUGCCCCAGUUCCUCCUGCCAUUUCUCAUCUGUGUGAAGUUAGCCUCAAGAAUCCCUGGGCUGAGAUUUUGCUCAGUCCUGGUUUCUUGGCUGAGGAGCAUGCUGUAGACCUCUGACAAUGAAGGAGUUUCUGGCAUAGAGUUAAUGUUAGUGACAACAGAGUCAUAUUCAGAUCAUACUCCAGCUAAGACACACAUAAUAAAGUCCUCAUCACUCAUGUUAUUUCCAGCUGCUCUGAGUGUAUUUAGGAUAGUUUUCAUCAUGGAGUAAUAAUCAUGGAUUGUAAGAGAGCCCUUUUUAGUGGUUUGAAUCUGUGUCCUCAAAUAUAGGAUUCUAGCUCUUGUUCUUGCACCAUACUGAUUGGUAAGAGUUGUCCAAACUUCAUGUGAAGUAGAACAAUCCACCACAGUGCCGAGGACACCCUCACUGAGAGAUGAGAGCAACCAGCUCAAAAGAAUGUGGUCCUGUUUCUUCCAGAUUUGAUAUUCUGGAUUUUGGUGGGUAACGGUAGCUUGGUUAGGUCCAGGACUGGUGAAAUAUCUGGGGGGACAGGUAUAGCUUCCAUUUAUGAAGCCUUCAAGCUCAUUUGCUCGUAUGCUGGAGACCACUUGUGAUCUCCAGAGCAUGAAAUUGUUCUGUGUUAACUUGAUGGGAGUGGUGAACACAUAUGUGUUGCUGGUGAUAUGUUGGGUAGGAGAUGGGUUCAUUAUGGUCACAUUUCUUGUGUUAUUAUCUGGAUUCUGAUUGUCGAUAUUUUCAGGUUGGUUUUGAUUCAAAUCAUUUGGUUGAUCAUCUGGAUUUUCCAGAGUUUGAUUCAUGUUUGUUUGUGAAUUUCUGCUGCUUUCCAUAGCUCAAAAGUUGCUCUGAUACCAACUUAAAUUCUUAUGAAUUGCUUAAGUAUGCAAGCAGAAGAGCAGAAAAAAAAUAACCUUUUCAUAUAUUAUAAUAACAUGAAUAAUCAGAUAUACACAUCCUUCACAUAUUUAUACUAAACGUGAAAAAUGGUAGCUUGCUCAAAGGGAAAACAGAAAUGAAUAAAACAAAAGAUUACAGCUGCACUAGCCAAUCAUUGGAAACAUUCUAGAAACUCCAGCUUGCAGUAUUCACGUGUAAAUAUUCUCCUGCAUAACAGUUUUGCCAGCUCAUUGAAUACACCUCAACUUCUUCAUCAGCUGGCUGCUGGAUAUGGCUGCUCAGGUGGCAUGCCAACAUGGCCUUGGGGUCAAUUGUUGACUCAUCUUCAUAAUCUGAAUUCUCAACAAUGCAUUCAAACAGAUCUUCUUCAAAUUUCUUAGAACUUGCAACCGAAGAUAUUGGAGUUUCGCAAAAGGUUUUAGCCCUGUAACUUCUUCCACUUUCCAAACACUGAUUAUUUCUUCCAUCUCAUAACAACGUUCUACAUGGACCAUCUUCAGAUUUGGGGCAAAAACAAGCCAUGUCAUCUCCCUCAAUUUACUGCAAUAGUCUAUGGUAACACUUUGAAGGCUGUUGAAACCAUAAGUUCUCUUGUUGUUUGAACUUCUGCAUAGUCAACCUUUAGCUCUUCCAAACUUGUACAAUACACAAAAUCUAGUUUGUCAAGAUACUUGAGAUCUGCUAUGGACAAAAUAUUCCAUGACCUUGAAUCCUCACAGCGUCGAAGCUCUAAAGCAUAUUUACAACUCUUGUACUGUUGGCAGCUCAAAAGUCUUCGUAGAGCAUAAAAACUUCUUAACGUGACGCUUAAUACAUUUAAAUGUUCCAAAGUAAUCAACUCCUCUACCAAAAUUUCACUACCACCAAAUAGAACGCUAUCUUCUGGUACUGUAUUAGCAGAGCCACAAUCUAGCAUCCUCAACACCUUUAACCCAGAAAAAUUACAAAGCAGUUGCCGUGGAAUCGUAUGGAGAUAACGCAUGUACUCCAAGUUCAAACACUUUAGAUUUUUCAAGGCUUUUAAUUCAUGUGGUAACUCUUUGAUGAAAGUUUCUGAAAGAUUAAGAUAUUGUAGUGAAACCAAUUUUGAAAUUCCUGAAGGCAAUUGACUCAAGGAGCGAUUCUUUGAUAGGUUUAAAACUUUAAGAGAAGGCAUAAAAUCGAAGAAAUCACUAGGGAUAGUAUCUAACAUAUUAAUGCCGAGGAACAAAGUUAUAAGAUGAGGGCAUAUUGGAGUUAUUGGUAAAAUCACAAUUUUAUUUCUCAUCAACGAUAUCCUUCUCUUAUCUUCCCAUUGUUUAACCUCGGGUGGUUCAGUUAAUUCAAUACCGGCAGAAACCAAAAAGUUUUCAUUCUCCACUUCACAGGCUAUCCACAAGGUCAUAUCACGAAUCACAUCAUGCAAUUUUACAUAAUCUGAUCCUGCUUCUUCCAAUAGGCAUGCAUGAACAAGAACACCAAUAAUGUAGUAUCCUUGGUUAUGUACUCCAUUAAUUCCUUCAUAUUCCUUCAGAAAACCCUCACCAAUCCAACACCCUAUCAAUUCAAUUUUGCUAAUUUGAUAAUCCUCAGGAAAUAAACUACAGUAUAACAGACAAGAUCUAAGGACGUCACUAGACAAACUAUCAUAACUGAAUUUUAAAAGACGAAACACCUCUUUCUCCAUACCUGGAAAUUCAUAAGCUGAUCUCCUUAACAUCUGAAUUGCAUAGCUCCAUUCUUCGGGUGUCUUCUUGCUGCUCAUGGCACGACCGGUGGUAAUAAGUGCAAGUGGCAAACCACUACACUCCUUUGCCACAGUUUUGGCUAACUCCGGAAUAUCGGGAUGACUUUCAAGAGUCUCUUCUCCGACCUUCUUUAGGAACAAUUCCCAAGCAUCUUGAUCUGCCAAACACUCCACCUUGAACUUUUUUUGAGCUUCCAUGAGGCCACAGACGUCCACAAGACGAGUCGUAAAUGUUGAAAGUCAUGGCUGGCGCCGGCCAUCUAGAUGGCCGGUGCCAACCAUUCAACAUUCAACACGGCCCGCCAUUAUUGGUGGUGCCGUGUUGAAUGACUCCAUAAAAAAAAAAAAAAAAAAAAAGAGCCAAAAUUUUGGCUAUAUAAAGAGGGCUUCCCACCCUCAUUUAUAAUCCAAUCUUGAGAGAGCAAUUUAGGGAGUUGAGAGAGAGUUUAAGAGCUUGCAUUUAUAAGCUCUUAUUUUAGUGAUUUGAGAGUUUGGGUGUAUUGGGGUUUUGGGUAGUGAGCUAAAAUACUACAAUACUUGUAACUCCUUUUCACUAGUAAAAUAUUUCCUUCUGUCUUUGCCCAUGGACGUAGGCUAAAAGCCGAACCACGUAAUUUCUGGUGUCCUCUAUUGUGCUUGUUCUUUAUUUUAUUUCCAAUUUCAUUUUAGCUGCGGUCCUGCUUCACCCACCAAUUUCCUAACAGUGGUAUCAGAGCUAUUGGUUGUAUUUUUGGAGUCGGGAACUGUUCACGUAAGGGGUACUAUUCACGUAUACGACACUAUUCACGUAUACUGUACUGUUCACGUAUACGGGUUUGUUCACAUAUACGGUACUGUUCACGUAUACGAUACUAUUCACGUAUACGGUACUAUUCACGUGAAACGGGGAAGCGAUCCAAGAAUUUUCCGGUGCAAAGCAGGGAAUAGUAGUGUGAGAAAAGCAACUGUGGUUUUGUACAUGUCUAGGAAAGUUCUGUCACAAAGGCGAUAAGAGCUUAAGGAGUCUGGGUUUUAAGUGGGACCAUUGUGACCCCUCCAGUCUUUCCUGGGAACUUUCCUGGUGUGCAUUCUCACACAUACUCACAACUAUUCAAGGUGGUAUACUAGCUUGUGUGCAGUAUUUAUCAACAAAAUGGCGGCAAAGUAUGAAAUUGAGAAGUUGAACGGAAAUAAUUUUUCGUUGUGGAAAAUGAAGAUGAAAGCUGUAUUGAGGAAAAAUAAUUGUUUGGCAGCAAUUGGAGAAAGGCCCAUGGAGAUAACUGAUGACAAGUGGAACGAGGUAGACGGUAACGCCAUUUCUGAUCUACACUUGGCACUUGCGGAUGGUGUAUUAUCUAGUGUGGCAGAGAAAAAUACGGCGAAGGAAAUAUGGGAUACUCUCACAAAAUUGUACGAGGCCAAGUCACUACACAACAAAAUCUUCUUGAAGAGAAAACUAUAUACUCUUCGAAUGGCGGAAUCUACAAUGGUGACCGACCACAUCAACACUUUGAAGACUCUAUUUUCACAACUCACAACGUUGGGUCAUAAUAUAGAGGAGAAUGAACGUGCAGAGCUUCUACUUCAAAGUCUACCAGAUUCGUAUGAUCAACUCAUCAUCAACCUGAUGAACAACAAUCCAGUGGAAAGUCUAGUUUUCGACAAUGUUGCAGCCUCCGUAUUAAAUGAGGAGAGCAGACGGAAAAAUAAGGAAAACAGACAAGCAAGUUCGCAGCAAGCAGAGGCGCUAUCGGUGACGAGAGGGAGAUCAACGGAACGUGGCCCCAGUGGGAGUCAAAGUUAUGGUAGAUCAAAAUCCAGAAGUAAGAAAAAUGUUAAAUGCUACAACUGUGGCAAGAAAGGGCACGUCAAGAAAGAGUGUUGGAGUAACCAGAAGAGAAGAGAGGGUAAAGAACCUGAGUCAUCAAAUGCUCAGGGGUGUGUAGCAAGUACCUCGGAUGAUGGCGAAAUUCUCUACAGUGAGGCAACAACUGUUUCAGAAGGCAGAAAACGACUUUCUGAUGUCUGGCUUAUAGACUCAGGAGCUACCUGGCACAUGACCUCUAGGAGAGAAUGGUUCUACACAUAUGAACCUAUCUCAGGAGGAUCUGUAUAUAUGGGUAACGAUCAUGCCUUGGAGAUCGCUGGUAUUGGUACUAUCAAAAUAAAAAUGUUUGAUGGUACAAUUCGCACAAUUGGGGAGGUACGACAUGUCAACGGCCUAAAGAAAAAUCUAUUGUCUUUAGGACAAAUGGAUAGUCAUGGGUACAAAACUCAUGUGGAGAAUGGAAUUAUGAAGAUCGUUAAAGGCGCGCUUGUAUUAAUGAAGGCAGAAAAGAUCAGUGCUAAUCUAUUCAUGCUUAAAGGAGAAACACUACAGGAGGCUGAUGCGUGUGUCGCGUCAAAUGGAGAAGAAUCAACGAUGAUGUGGCAUCUCAAACUCGGCCACAUGUCAGAACAAGGCUUGAAGAUUCUCUCUGAGCGAAAAUUGCUUCCGGGGCUCAAAUCAGUAAGUUUACCAUUUUGCGAGCAUUGUGUUAUAAGUAAGCAGUAUAGAUUAAAAUUCAGUAGAUCUAUUGCUAGAAGUAAAUGCAUUCUAGACUUGAUUCAUUCUGAUGUUUGGGAAUCACCGGAUAUAUCCAUGGGAGGUGCAAAGUACAUGGUGACUUUCAUUGAUGAUUAUUCCAGAAGAUGUUGGGUGUAUCCAAUUAAGAAAAAGUCAGAUGUAUUUCCUGUGUUUAAAGAAUACAAAGCGCGGGUGGAACUUGAAUCUGGUAAAAAGAUCAAGUGCUUAAGGACAGAUAAUGGUGGAGAAUAUACAUACGACGAGUUUCUUGCUUUCUGUAAGCAAGAAGGUAUUCAGAGGCAAUUCACGGUGGCAUACACUCCUCAACAAAACGGAGUAGCAGAGCGGAUGAACAGAACUCUUACAGAAAGAAUAAGAGCUAUGUUGAGGACUGCUGGUUUACCCAAUUCAUUCUGGGCAGAAGCAGCCAAAACCGCCUGUUAUAUAGUAAAUCGGUCGCCAUCUACAGCUAUUGGGUUGAAGACAGCGAUGGAGAUGUGGACUGGAAAGCCAGCUGAUUAUUCCUACCUACAUGCAUUUGGAUGUCCUGUGUACGUGAUGUACAAUGCCCAAGAAAGAACAAAGCUGGAUGCAAAAUCUAGAAGAUGUAUCUUCUUGGGGUAUGCUGAUGGAGUAAAGGGGUAUCGUCUGUGGGACCCCACUGCCCAUAAGAUCGUCAUCAGCAGAGAUGUUAUCUUUGUAGAAGAUCAACUACAAAGAAAAGAUGGAGAUGAUGGCACUGUAAAAGAAAAGUCAGAGACUGUACCAGUAUAUGUCGAAAAUAAUCUAGAAGAUUCAGAUUCUUCUGAAGCAGCACCAGAGCACGAGGAACAAGAACCAGUCGAGUCUGAGGCUCCAGAAGUUCGUCGGUCAACUCGUGAGAGACGACCACCGGCGUGGCACUCGGAGUAUGUCACAGAGAUCAACGUUGCAUACUGUCUUCUAACAGAGGAUGGAGAGCCUUCAACUUUCCAUGAAGCUUUAAACAACUUAGAUGUUGCUUUGUGGAUGACAGCAAUGCAGGAAGAAAUUGAAGCUCUACACAAGAACAAGACAUGGGAACUUGUACCACUACCACACGGAAGAAAAGCCAUUGGAAACAAAUGGGUCUACAAGAUCAAACGUGAUGGCAAUGACCAAGUGGACCGGUAUCGUGCAAGAUUGGUGGUGAAAGGAUAUGCUCAGAAAGAAGGUAUUGACUUCAACGAGAUAUUUUCUCCGGUGGUUCGACUCACAACAGUCAGAAUAGUCUUGGAGAUGUGUGCUACAUUUGAUCUACAUCUUGAGCAGUUAGAUGUUAAAACUGCAUUUCUUCAUGGAGAACUUGAAGAAGAAAUAUAUAUGCUCCAACCAGAAGGUUUUGCAGAAACAGGAAAGGAGAACUUGGUUUGCAGGUUGAACAAAUCUCUAUACGGUCUCAAACAGGCGCCGAGGUGUUGGUAUAAGAGAUUUGAUUCCUUCAUCAUGAGCCUUGGAUACAACAGACUCAGUUCAGACCAUUGUGCAUAUUACAAGAGGUUUGAAGAUAAUGAUUUCAUCAUUUUACUGUUGUACGUGGAUGACAUGUUGGUAGCAGGCCCCAACAAAGAUCAAGUCCAAGAAUUGAAGGCACAAUUGGCUAAGGAGUUUGAAAUGAAGGACUUGGGACCAGCAAACAAGAUUCUAGGGAUGCAAAUUCACCGAGACAAAAAUAACAGGAAGAUUUGGCUUUCACAGAAGAAUUACUUGAAGAAAAUCUUGCGGCGCUUCAACAUGUAAGAUUGUAAGUCAAUUUCUACCCCACUUCCUGUUAAUUUCAAAUUAUCCUCAAGUAUGUGUCCUAGCAAUGAAGUGGAGAGGAAGGAGAUGUCUCGAGUACCGUAUGCAUCAGCAGUGGGAAGUUUAAUGUUCGCUAUGAUAUGUACUAGACCAGACAUUGCACAAGCAGUGGGAGCAGUCAGUCGAUACAUGGCGAAUCCUGGUGGAGAGCAUUGGAUAGCUGUAAAGAGGAUUCUGAGAUACAUCAGAGGAACCUCAGAUGUUGCAUUAUGUUACGGAGGAUCAGAGUUUACUAUCAGGGGCUAUGUGGAUUCAGAUUUUGCAGGAGAUCUUGAUAAAAGAAAAUCCACUACUGGUUAUGUGUUUACACUUGCAGGAGCAGCUGUAAGCUGGGUUUCGAAACUGCAGAUCGUUGUGGCUUUANNNNNNNNNNNNNNNNNNNNNNNNNNNNNNNNNNNNNNNNNNNNNNNNNNNNNNNNNNNNNNNNNNNNNNNNNNNNNNNNNNNNNNNNNNNNNNNNNNNNAUAUUCUUGAUUAAUCCAUUUUCUGAAAUUUUUUAUUUUGUAUGGUCAAUUAUACCUUCAUACUAAAAAUUUCUGAUGUUAUGGGGUUGUUGGAUGUGUUUUGGAUAUUUGCAGCUAAGUUUGAGUUUAUAUCUCAACUUAAAAUUUGUAGUUUUCACUUGAAAAAAUUCAGUUAAAAAUUGAUUGGUAGAAUUGUGAAGAAGUUUAAAUUUUUAGUUCAACCCGAUUGCAUAUUUAAGAACAUCUCAAAUGAAUUGCUUACUGCUAUCAUCAUCAUAAUUGUCAGAGAUGGUUAAUUGAUAGACUAUGUGCCUGGGUCGAGCACUGGAAGCCUGCAAUGCAGACUGAUUGAUUUAUCAGUUUAACGUGUGCCAGGAAUGAAGAACUGGAAUAUCACCGUCAAGCAAGCACCCUGUGGAGCAAUACCAAAGAAUGCACAAUCCGGCUUUGCAAGGUGACACUGGAGGCUUUUUGAAAAGUGCUUCACGCUCACUUGCACAGAUUGAGCAUCCCCUCUGGAUAUUGCCCUCUCUGAUCGAGUCUGAGCACUCAAAUUUUGGUCCUCAGAGGGAGCUACAGUUUUCUCUCCAAUAACCAACAAUUUUCUAAACUCAGCACCUAGUGUGAUCAGAGUUGUUGAUAUUUAUAAAUGGAGAUCCCCAUAUUUGCAAGUGGAGACAUUUAACAAUUCACCAACAUGCUUCAUCCGGUGUACAAAAUUCUGCAGCUGAUUCAAAUCCGGAACCUGAACCAGAGUCGGAGGUAUAUCUUGAGCCAUAUCUAAAGUAGUUUGAAGUUCAAGACCUUGAGCCCUUGACAAUGGUUUUGAAAUUGGAACAUCUUGGAUUACUGCAGACUUGUACCCCUUGGUUUCAAAGGUAAGGAAAGGCAUUGCUUGAGUACAAUUUGGAGGCAGCUUCUUCACCAAUUUUAUUUGGAGGCGAUUGGCAGCGGAUCCAGCAGCACCAAUUUCAGAGCAAAUACUGACACUACUUCGAACAGCACACUGAAGAAGUGAUAUGUCUACGGCAAAGGCAAUGCAGUCCUCAUUUUGGCUUGAGAUGCAGUAAUCAUCGAAGAGAGUUUCCUUGUGAAACUGGGCAACACAUUGAAUCCCUUCGCCACUGAGAAGGUUGUGGAGGAAGUAAGCUUUCUCUCUAGUGAGGCAGAGGUGGCAUACCUUCCCCAUUUUGUCGAGGGCAGGUAGGAAUCUUUUUUCUAAGAGAUUUACUUCAUUCUCUGUGAGAAAUGCUUUGAACUUCAUCCCUCUGUCUCUAUCCUCACUUAUCAGGAAAUAAGUUGAAAGCACUACGAAGAGAGAGAGAGAGAGAGAGAGAGAAUUAAGAUAUAUAGACAAGAAAAAUAUUAGACGUUGAUCUUACAAACUAAUACUUCAAGCAGUAUCCUGGAAAGCUAAAAACUGCAAGAUGGCUUGAAAUUUGAAAAGAGCACGUGCUUUUCCUCCUUAACUUGAGAAAAUGUUUAAUAUAGUGCACCUUAUGGAAGCAUUUAAGCAAUUAGAACUUUGCACAAAAACAUCAAGAAGACUAAACAAGUCAGAUGCAGUGUAUUUGUCCAAGCACAAAUUGCAUUUUGUCCUCAACUUUAAUAUUUAUUGAUGAGAAUCAAUACAGGUCCCUCAUUUGUUAUAGAAAGCUUUCUUUCUUGUAGUCUCACCAGUUAAUUCACAGGUCUAUAAUCAUCUUGCAAAGUUAAGGGCAUUUCUUUUGAUCUAAAGUCUUUGCAUCACCACCUCAUCACACGCCAAGCCAAUAUUCCAUUUACCUCUACAACAAAAAGUUUUAAUUAAACAAUCCUAAUGCACGCAGCCAAAUAAAAUGCAGUAAGAAUAUUCAACUUAAAAAUCUGAAAGCCAACUUGGUGAAUUGCCUCCUUAGGUGAAGUUCCAUGCUUUACUAUAGUUGACAGAACUCAGCAAAAGCUUCCAUACAACAGAUUUUGAAAAUGAUGAUGCCAACAGAUACUCAUUCAAUCCAUUGAAACUCCAAAGGUUCAUUGUUCAUAGAAGUUUACAAAGUUUUGGUCAUCAAAUAGCUCAGACCUAAUCCCAAACAAAAAAAGAGUGAAAAUUAGAUCACGAGCAGCUAAUUGUAAAUUCUAACUUAACUCUUCAUCUCCUUUGUAAACAAGAAACAAAAUGGAGACACGCAAAAUGAAUAUGGAGAAAAUUUGAACUCAAAUGAAAUGAGGGCACGAAAGCAAACAAAUGGCAUGCACAAAAAAACCAAGCCUCAAUCAAAAACUAAUUAACCAUUAAGAAAAAAAUUGGUCAGACAAUGAACUCCAAAUUCAGGAGUCAAGCAAGAAGCUUUCAUUAUUUCAGAAGCUCCUGUACAAAUUAAUAAGUUAUGCUCUUUGGAAGCAAAACCAAAUUCCAAGAGAAACAGAACCCAAAAAAUUUGCAAUUAUUCGCAAAGGAAGUGAAGCACAGGAUUCUAUCACACAUAGGAAUUUUAUAACAAGAGAUCGAUAUAUCGAAUUAGAAAACUCAAUUCGAAUUUGUGUGAAAAAUCAAAAUUAGAAGAUUUCACAUUUCGAGAGGAACAAGCAACAGAUGAGUUUAAUUUCAGCCAUAACAUGCUAAAAAUGCUACACUUAACGGUUCCUUGUCAGCUAUUGAUGCGUUCGCUCANNNNNNNNNNNNNNNNNNNNNNNNNNNNNNNNNNNNNNNNNNNNNNNNNNNNNNNNNNNNNNNNNNNNNNNNNNNNNNNNNNNNNNNNNNNNNNNNNNNNAAGGGUCAUGUUCAAGCAGGAAAACUUCUAGAACAGGUAAGGAUUCCAUCUACAGACAUCCAUUGACAGCAGAUAUAUUUCAUUAAGCAGACACUGUUAGCAUUCAAGAUGCUGGCAGAUUCACUUGAUUCUUAUUAGUUUGUUUAGUGGCAAGGCAUAUAACCUGUAUUUCAAAGCCAAGUUGUGCUAUUGAUUAUGUUAACUUUAUUGUUAACAUUAAGUGAUUUGGAGGACAUAAUCAAUGUAGGAAAAUUAGGUGAAGAGAUGAUGUCAAAUCUUGAACCUCUUACAAAGCUCCAAGUUCUUUACUUGAAGAAGCUGCCAAAUUUGAAGAGCGUCUACUGGAAGGCAUUUCCAUUCCCAGAUGUAUGCAGAAUUUUUGUAUUAAUGCCCAGUUCUUAAGAAGCUGCCACUGGAUUUUCAUGGGGCGGGCCAAGGUAAAAUUCUUAUCAAGGGAAAGGAAGAUUGGUGGAAAGAACUUCAAUGGGAGGAUCAAGCAACUCAGAAUGCAUUGCUUCCAUUUUUCAAAUCAACUGACAAGUGAUUGAAGGGGGCAUCAUCAACAGAGAUGGAGAGAUUCUGGAGCAGAUCAGCAGGGUUUGUAUAUGAUCUUUGGUGGUUGCUUUCUUUUGUGAUUUUUUUUUUCUCAUUUUUUUACCUUCCUGUCAUUUUAUCAUUUCUUUGUCUCUUUUUCUAUUGCUGAUGUUAGUGUAUGCUUACUGUUGCUUGACAAAGUUUGCUUGCUUCUUGUUUAUUAAAUUUUUUAUGGUCACAAAAUAUUACUUGUUCUAUUUGAGAGUGAUGUGAAUCAAUUUUCAAUUAUAUAUUUUUUGGUCAAUGUGAAUUCAAUUUCAUUUGUCUCCUGCAAUUAUUAAAAAAAUGCAGUCUCAUAAUAUGGAAAAGUCGACCGGCAAAAAUUUUGUGAAAGCUUCGGAGUGAAACAGGGAAUUCACUUACUACUAAGGACAAUUGGUGGCGAGCUAUUCCAUUCAUUUUAUGUCCCUACAUCUAUUUAAUUAUUAAAGAUAAGUGGUCCAUUUGUAAAUUUCAGAUUGUGUCUCUCUGAAAAUAACAAUAUUUAAAAUGUCUCUUAAAUUAUUAUAAAUUUUAAUUCACUCUCGAUUUAAAAUGGAACAUGCUGAUGAAAAUUUUUUUCUUCUCAAUAUUCAAUAAAAUUGAAAUAAAUUGUGUUUGCAGUAUUUUGAAAUAUUUUAAAGAUUAUUAUUUUAUAAGAGAGUAAUAUGAAAUGAAAUUUACUCUUCAUGCGUGAAAUGUUGAAAAGGACAAAGGAAAGUGUCACUGCUUUUAUUUUAUUUCAAAGUGGAGUCAUCUCACAUACUUUACCUCUAUCAUUACAAUUUUUCACGUUACAUUUUGAUUUAUUUAUUUCUUUUAACACAUGCAUGUGGGUUACUUUUCCGUAAGCUCCUUAAUAUAUGUUUAACACAAAUCAUGGAAGAGAUGGGAGUAUAUCAAGAUGAUCAAAGCAUGAGACAAAAAUAUUUAAGAAGUAAAACACUGAAAAUAGAGGAGAGAUGCAAGCAAAAGAUAUUCCAAAGAAAAGCAAUCUAUCCCCUUUCGAGGGCAAACUUAAUCAGGUUUAAGAAAAGUACAUGUUUUGGAUUGGUAGUUGCAGCCUUGCAGGAUAAUUGUUUUUGCCAUUAUAUUAGUUGGAGGAGUUGAACCCAGCGAAGAAUGUUAUGGAAGAGCAAAUUAAUGAUAUUUCUGAUAGAGUCUAUUUGAUUAUGUAGCCUGAAUGGAUGUCUUGUUGAAAGAUAUCUCAGUGCAUUAGUUCAUCCUUGUCUGUCAAUGUGUUUUUAAUGGUUUUUCCAAUUGUUUAUUAUUAUAGAUUGAUUGUAAAUUUAUAUGAAAAUUUGAUAUGAAUUUAAUGUUGAAAUGUUUUCUCUUUAGUGGAAUGAAUUUAAAUUGAUUGAUUGUAAAUUGAUAUGAAUUUAAUGUUGCAAUGUUUUCUCUUUAGUGAAAUGAACUUAAAAGUGUAAAAGAUUAUUGCACACAUAGAAAUAAACAUAUAUGCUUUAUAGUAUAACUUUAGCAAUCGAUUCUUUUACGGCUGGAAACAGAGAUGAUGAUUAUCAUAGGGGUGAAGAAAAGGACAAAAAAUAUUAAUAAAUGAUCUUAAUGUUCCACAAAAGCAAAUCGUAAUAUUCCACAAGAAAAAGCAAGAUCUUAAUGUUCCACAAAAGCGUUAUUUAUUUUUUUUGGUGAGCCACGUGGAGCUCAAUUAUCAUUGUCUUUACUUUAAAAACGUUAUUUUAUUUUAUUUUCUUACAAAUUAAUGCUAACAAGAAAAAGCAAGAUAUAAUAUUCCACAAAAGCAAAUCGUAAUAUUCCACAGAGGAAUAAGAUCCACAAAAGCAAACAACUAGCUGGAUUCUUUUAUUAAACUACAAAUUAAAGUGGAAUCGUUUACUAAACAACAAAUUAAAGUUCAAAUAUUUAAAUAGUAGUGCGUUAGACGAUUAGGCUCUUUUAUUAAAGUCAAGUAUAAAGUAGUCCAGAAUCGAACAUCUCUAUUGUCUAGUCUUUUUUUUUUUUAAUUCUUCUUUUAUUAUUUUUCAGAAUAUGUUUUGGUGAUUACUAUUGGGUUAUUAUUCAGAGUUAUUGUUAUCUUCCGGGGCAGUUUCUGUUCAUCGAAAUCGUUAAUUAAAAUUUUAAAACUCUUAUCGGAAGAAUGUUUUUCCGUUAUUUUUUUAUAUUCUAAUUUCAAUUGUAAGAAGUAGUCAUUUUAGAAUUUGGGUCUUGAAUCGAAUUUCAAUGCAUGAAUUAAUAUUUUAAAAAAAUUUACUACAUGCAGUUUAGGUUACAAACUAUUUUUUGCAAAGUUGACUAUGAAAUUGGAGAAAUUAAGUAAUUUAUAAUGUUUGCAAAGAAAGAGACCAACAUACUUCCAAUUACACUAUAUCUCAAUUAUCAUAAUGUUAAGAUUAAACUAACUUAAAAUAAAAUUUAUUUAAAAAGUUUAUCAAACGCAGUCUAAUUUUAUUAACUUGAAGAGAUAAUAGUUAUAGAAAUUAUUAUUCUAACUUAAUUAGUAAAAGUGGUAUAAAGGUUAAGUGUGCACUAAAUCUAUUUAAAUUUUUUUCCAGUAUAACUAACAGAGGUCAUUACUAGAAUUAUAUUACUAGUCUAUUAGAUAGAAAAAAUUAUUUAUAUUGUUUUAUAUUUAUUAAAAAAAUUUAAAGUCAAUCUUUUUAAUUACUAUUUAAAGGAUAUUAUAAUUAAAAAAAUUUUAAUGUCUUCAUUAAAAAUUUAAAAUUUUAUAUGACCGUUAUCUAAAUAUUUAAAGUGUAACUGUCAUUUUCUCAUAUAUAUAUAUAAUUUCAUCAACCCCUUAUACUUUAUGUUAUUUAUAUUUUAUUCAUGAAUAUUAUAAAUUUUUUGAAAUAUAAAAUUUCGUUUAACCCUUUAUACUCAAUUUUAUUUUAUUAAAACCCUAGAGUAUGAAUUCGUCCCUAUAAUAUUAAAUUCUCAAAAUAACUUCCAUUUAAUUAAAAAAUAUAAUUAUUAUUAAAUGAAUUAUAAUUAUUAUUAUUAUGUUAUUAUAAUCAUAAAAAGCGAGAUCAUAUUCCACAAAAGCAUAAGUGACAAAACAACCAACUGGAUUCUUUUAUUAAUCAACAAAUUGUAUAGUCUUUUUCAAAUUGUUAUAAAUUGGUGGCCCCUACAAUCCUCAAUAAUUGUACCGAAAUUCACAAGUUGGUGGGCCCUACAAUUCUGUUCCGAUAAUUUAACUGUGCAAGUGCUCAUUCACAAUCUUCCAGGUCAUGCUCUUAACAAUUGUUUUUUCUUUUCUGCACGCCCUUUCAUGCUCUUAAUAAUUGAAGAGCAUACUUUUCAAAUGUGAAGCCGCAUCUAAUGUCGCUAAUUUAAUUUGGGAUUAAAUUACGGGACUAUUAUAUUGCAGUGUGCACUAAUUUUUAUGUUUAUCUAAACUCUUCAAAUUUAAAACAUAUUAUGGCAUAAAUAAGAAUGUAACAAUAACAAAAGAGUAAGAAAGUGUAGAGAAAAUCUUGCAGAAAUAUAAAUAAUAUUUAUUUUUAAAAUAAUAUUAAUAUUUAAAAUAAUUUUUAAUAUUUUAUGGUCCAUUAGAUAUAUUUUAUUAUAUUAAAAUAAAUUUUAUAAUAAAUAAAAACAUACUAUUAAAAUGAAUAUAUAUAGAAAAUUUAGAGUAUUUUAAGUAUUAUAUAAAAUAAUUUUAAUAAAAUAUGUGAGAUAUUCAUAUUUUAUUAAUUUAAGAUACCAUUUAACCUAAAGAUUUAUUUAUGAUAAAUUAAUAAUUAUAUUUUUGAAAUUACUUCAAAUAUUAAAAAAAUUAAUAUUACUAAUAUAUUAGAUAGAUUAAAUUAUAUAUAUUAUUUUUACUUAUUAAAAAAAUUUUAAAAUUAUUUUUAAUUACUAUUCAAAAAACGUAUUCAAAAAACAUAAUGAUAAAAAAAUCUUAACAUCUUUAUUAAAAAAUUAAAAACUUAUAUGAUAAAUUCUCUAAAUAUUUACGGUAUAUGUGAACCACGGUGGAUAAGCUUUAUUUAAUAUUAUUGAUUUAAAUAAUAUGUCAAUUAAAAAUGUACAGAGAAGAAAUUUCGGUGGGUAUUUUAGUCUUUUAAGCAAUUAUCAUGAUCAGAUCAGCCUUUAGCCUUCAAACGUCGGUCAGAAAAGUUUUAAAAUUAAUGCUAAAUUGUUUUUCACUUUUAACGUUGGUGGCCUUGAAAUUGCUUGUAUUUUAUUAAAAAUUAAUGCUAACAAGAAAAAGCUAGGUCAUAUUCCACAAAAUCAAAAGUGACAAAACAACCAGCUGGUUUCUUUUACUAAACUACAAAUUAAAAUAAAUUUUUUCGAUAAAUUACAAAUUAAAGUGGAUUCUUUUGAAUACAAAUGGGACAGACGAUUAGGCUCUUUUUAUUAGAGGCAAGUAAAAACUAGUCAAGAAUCGAACAGUCUUUUUCCAAUUCUUGUUUUAUUAUUUUUCAAAACUAGUUUUUGGUAAUUACAACCGGGUCAUUAAUCAUUAUUCAGAGUUACUGUUAUCUUCGGGGGCAGUGGGUAAAAGAUAAUUACUAACUGUUUUUCCUUCAAAAGUUAGCGGCUCAUGUUUGCAAGUGUGAAUGUGCGAUGCUCUUUUCUUAAAGGCCAUUACAGUGGGGCCCGAAUCAGACGUGCCUAAAUCUUUUUAAAAUUUUUGCCGUAUAACGAACAGAGGUCAUUACUAAAAUUUCUCUUCCACAGCCUACAGCAGCUUCAGUUUAUCAAACUCCAUCAAUUUUCUUUCUUAACAAAAUUCCAAAGAUGUGUAGCAUUUUUCAGAUCACAUGCGAUGGUGCUCUUUUCAAUCGUUGCUUGGAUUGCUUUCUUGGAAAAGCAGCAUACAUACGUAACCUCCAAGAUAAUCUUGAUGCCUUGGACACUGAACUGGGAAGACUAAUCGCUAAAAAGAACGAUGUGAUGAGGAGGGUUGUCGACGCUGAACGACAACAAAUGAGAAGGCUGGACGGAGUGCAAGUGUGGGUUUCGAGGGUGGAUGCUGUUAAAACUGGAGCCGAUGAACUUAUCACAGACGGCUCUGAAGAAAUUGGCAAAUUAUGUGUUGGAGGCUACUGUUCCAAGAACUGCAGGUCAAGCUACAAGUUCGGAAAACAAGUGGCUAAAAAGCUACAAGAUGUGAAGACUUUAAUCGCCGAGGGAGUUUUUGAGGCGGUGGCUACUGAGGUGGUGCCCGAGAGAGCUCCGGAACCUGUAGCAGAUAAAAGACCCAUUGAGCCAACAAUAGUAGGCUUGCAAUCACAGCUUGAACAAGUUUGGAGAUGUCUUGUAGAAGAAUCAGUGGGAAUCAUUGGCCUAUAUGGUAUGGGCGGUGUUGGUAAAACCACACUAUUGACCCGUAUCAACAAUAAAUUUCUUGAGAGUCAAAACAACUUUGAUUGUGUGAUUUGGGUCGUAGUUUCAAAAGACCUGCGGCUUGAAAAAAUUCAAGACGAUAUUGGGAAGAAGAUAGGUCUGUCUGAUGAUUCAUGGAAGAAUAAAAGUUUUGAAGAGAAAGCUGUGGACAUCCUGCGGAGAUUAGGAGAGAAGAGAUUUGUAUUGUUGUUAGAUGAUUUAUGGGAGCGGGUUGAUUUAACAAAAGUGGGCGUUCCACUUCCCAGCGCACAAAAUACUACCUCAAAAGUCGUAUUCACAACCCGUUCCAUUGGUGUUUGUGGCAGCAUGAGAGCUAGGCCGGUUAAAGUGGCAUGCCUAUCAGAAAAGCAAGCUUGGGAACUGUUCCGCGAAAAUGUUGGGGAAGAAACUCUUGAGAGUGAUCAUGAGAUCGUUGAGCUAGCCCAAACUGUGGCCAAAGAGUGUGGUGGUUUGCCACUCGCACUUAUUACUAUUGGUCGAGCUAUGGCCUUCAAAAAGACAGCCGAGGAGUGGAGUCAUGCAAUUGAUGUGCUAAGAACAUCAGCUUCUGAGUUUGCAGGUUUGGGAGAGAAGGUGUAUCGUCUUUUAAAGUUUAGCUAUGAUAGUUUGCAGAAUGAGACCAUUAGAUCUUGUUUCUUAUAUUGUUGUUUAUAUCCCGAGGAUUAUGGCAUUCUUAAAUGGGACUUGAUUGAUUGUUGGAUUGGUGAGGGAUUCUUGGAGGAAUCUGACAGGUUUAGUGCAGAAAACCAAGGAUACUACAUUGUGGGCACUCUUGUUCAUGCGUGUUUGCUAGAAGAGAUGGAAGAUGAUAAAGUAAAAAUGCAUGACGUUGUUCGUGAUAUGGCUCUAUGGAUAGCUUGUGAAAUUGAGAAGGAGAAGAGAAACUUUUUGGUUUGUGCAGGUGCUGGAUUAAAAGAGGCACCGGAUGUUAAAGGAUGGGAAAAUGUGAGAAGAUUGUCAUUGAUGCAAAACCAAAUUAAAACUCUGUCAGAGGUUCCCACAUGCCCUCAUCUCCAUACUUUAUUUCUUGCCUCUAAUAUGGAGUUGGAGAUGAUCGCGGAUGGCUUCUUCCAAUUUAUGCCUUCUCUCAAAGUUUUGAAGAUGUCACGCUGCUGGAAUUUUCAAUUACCUGUUGGGAUGUCAGAUUUGGGUUCAUCACUAGAACUUCUUGAUAUUUCACAUACCACCAUAAGAGAGUUACCCGAAGAGUUAAAGUUGCUGGUAAAUCUGAAAUGUUUGAAUUUGAGGUGGACAGGUGCGUUAAUUAGAAUUCCACGGGGACUAAUAUCAAAAUUUUCAAGGUUACGUGUGUUGAGAAUGUUGGGUACUGGCGGGUUCAUUUUUUAUGAAGCACCAGAAGACAGCGUUUUAUUUGGUGGGGGUGAAGUUUUGAUACAGGAAUUGCUCGGUUUGAAAUAUUUAGAGGUAUUGGAGUUGACCUUGGGAAGUUAUCAUGCUCUCCAAAUUCUUUUGAGCUCAAAUAAGUUAAAAAGUUGUAUUCGAUCUCUUUACCUCUAUUUGACCGGAGAUAAAAAGUCGAUUAUUGAUGCUACGGCUUUCACAGACCUAAACCACCUCAAUGAAUUAUGGAUUGAUAAUGGAAUUGAGUUGGAAGAAUUGAAGAUUGAUUAUACGGAGAUAGUACGAAAAAGGCGGGAACCUUUUGUUUUCCACAGCCUUCACCUUGUUACGAUAUAUAGUUGCCAUAAAUUGAAAGAUUCGACAUUCCUCGCUUUUGCUCCAAACCUCAAGUCUCUUUCGCUAUUCAAAUGCCGUGCUAUGGAAGAAAUAAUCAGCGUCGGAAAAAUUGCUGAGAAUCCUGAGAUGAUGGGACAUANNNNNNNNNNNNNNNNNNNNNNNNNNNNNNNNNNNNNNNNNNNNNNNNNNNNNNNNNNNNNNNNNNNNNNNNNNNNNNNNNNNNNNNNNNNNNNNNNNNNNNNNNNNNNNNNNNNNNNNNNNNNNNNNNNNNNNNNNNNNNNNNNNNNNNNNNNNNNNNNNNNNNNNNNNNNNNNNNNNNNNNNNNNNNNNNNNNNNNNNNNNNNNNNNNNNNNNNNNNNNNNNNNNNNNNNNNNNNNNNNNNNNNNNNNNNNNNNNNNNNNNNNNNNNNNNNNNNNNNNNNNNNNNNNNNNNNNNNNNNNNNNNNNNNNNNNNNNNNNNNNNNNNNNNNNNNNNNNNNNNNNNNNNNNNNNCACUGUUUUUAUUUCAGUCUCUCUCUCUCUCUUUGUCUCUGCUAAUCACAAUUAAAUGUGAAUUAAUGGAAUUAAUGCUUCAUAAAUUUGCCGGCACUGCCAUUACUUUUUUUUUUUUAAUACAAAUUGAUACUUUAUUUAUAUCUUCUUAGCGAUUUAAUUUCCUGUCAAUUGACGAACGAGAAGAACAUAUGACUUGAACCAAUGCUCGCAUAAACUUGCUGUAAAAAGAUAUAAUCUCACUGAAAUGCACACGCCUAGAAUGAAUAGAAUUAAAACAGGGAAAAUAUUAAGUAUAUUAGCCCUCUUUACCGAAAAUCAAAUGACAAUAAAUUUUUUGAAGUUUUGAUUUUCUAUGGUCAAUUCCACCUUUUGCAAUUUCUUCUGUUCUAACAAAAACCAAUUUCUUUGUUCAAGUAUUUUCGUUUGGGUAUUAAUAAUUCUCCACCGAAAGAGUGAACUCUUGCUCAAGGGAUCUCUAAUCAAUAGCCGGAAGGGCGCCGAGACCUGAUCGGACCUAGGCCCAAGUUUGGUCUUAAAGCCUGGGCUUGAGCCUGGCAAUUAAAUUAAAACAGUAAUUGAUUUCUUGAAUGAAUUGUCGUGUAAUUGAUUUAUGGGGGAUGACACAUCAACAUACUUGAAAAUACACUAAUCUCAGCAUCAUCCGUUAAUAACUUUUAGAUUUAUGGGCAAUCAAUAGUUAAAUUAGUUGUCAUUAAUACUAAAUAAUUUUUACUUUUUUUGUCUCUUCUAGAGGAUCUUCUAGAAAAAUGCAUCCACAAUUAAAUUUAAUACUUUACAUAAUAAAGAAAGCAUAAAUGUUAAAUUUAAGAAACUGCAUUGUAUUUCAGCUGAAGUUGACUUUAAUAUUUAGGGUAGAAAAAAAUUAAAUCCUUAAUGUGUUUAAUUUAUAUCACUUGUGUCAUUAAAAUUUUCUAGUCACCCUAACCAAUUACAUCUCAACCCACUUUUUUUUGGAUGAUUUUAUUUUUAUACUAUUAUUUUCAACAUUUUUUUUUCCUUUUAACACCAACAUUAGUGUAUGUUACGUAACAUAAUCCAUAUUUGGAUAAUUUGAAAUUUGUUUGUGUUUUAUCUCAAAAUAGAGCUUCAAUCAAUUUGUACCUCAUAAAUUCACAAUAUCUGGCAGGGCUAAUAAGACCAAACUCUGGCAUAUUAUCAAAUGUGCUUAUCCUUUUGCUUGACAUGUCAUUUUAAAAUUGUCAUUCAAUGCCAAAAAAAUCACAUCAACUGAUGGCCGACUACUUUAAUUUGAAAGCAUGCAUGCGAUCGCCACCAAUAAUUAUAACUUAAUUGUUAUAUUGAAAUUUUUUUCUUUAUAAUUUUUAAGUUUAAUACUGCUACAUGUGCGGCACAUAAGUUGGAAAAUAUAACAUAAAAUUUGAAAAAUGUGUAGUUUUCGUUCCUUUUUUUUCUUAAAAAUGGGGAAAAAGAAUGUAAUUUUGUUUAAAUUACUGUUGUGAUAACAAUUAUUAUUUUAUUGAUUAAUUGGCAGAGAAUCGUUAUGGUUUCGCAUGGUUGUUAAAACAUUGGAAAAUCCACUACAUCAUCCGAUAAUAACUUUCAGAUUUAUGGUUAAUCAAUAGUUGAGAUUUGUUAUCAUUAAUGUUAAAUAUUUUUUUAAUAUUUUUUCUCUCUCCUAGAGGAUCAUCCACAGUUAAAAUUUAAUAUUAUAAAUAGUAAACAAAGUAUAAACGUUAAAUCGAAGAAACUGCAUUGCAUUUCAGCUGAAGCUAACUUUAAUAUUUAACAGAGAAAAGUAAUUAAGUCCUUAAUGUGCUUUAUUUACCCAUAUAUAUGGCUAAUUUUUUAAGAUAAAGGGGAAGGAUGAUGCUCAAAAAUAUAAAUUAUAGAAUUAAUUGAGCUCUCAAGUAAGUUUAAAGUUCAUUAUUUUUAAUUACAUGUUUAUAAUUUAUUUUUAUUUCGUAUUAAUCUAUAGAUCUAAAUCCACUUUGGAUUCAUAUACAUAUAUAGACAUAAUGUGUAUGUUAAUCUAUAGGUCUAAAUUCACUUUAGGUCUAUAUAGGUAUUUUGACAAAUGUACUCCAAUCAUAUUGGCAAGUUCUAACUACUAUAUUGGUAUGUCAAUAUUAUCUCUAAUUGCCCUAUACAUUCAGAAAUAAUCUAGAUAUACAAAUUAACAUAAAAUAAAAAUAAUUGGUAGAAAAUAUAAAUUAUAAACAUGUAAUUGAAAACGAUAAACUUUAAAUUUACUUAAGAGAGUAAUUAAUUUCAUAGUUAAAAUCUUUAAAUUUUACCCCUCAUCUUAACUUAAGAAAAUUAAUCACUUAUUUUAUUUAACAAAGAAGAGAUUUUUUUCCCCUAUAUUUCCCAAUUAUUUCUCUCCCUCUCGCUCCCGUAAGUUAUACAACUUGAAGUGAAAUAUGAGUGGUCUGAUUCUAGCUUAAAUAAUUUAUUGUGACAUGCUAUCUAAGGACAAUACAUUACCUAGCUCUACAUAUUUUAUUUAACCUCCGGCUCACCCUGUGCAAACUUGCCUUCCCCUACAAGACAAGAUUAAUCAAUCUAUCAAGUCUCAAAUUCAAUUUGGAAUAUGACCAUCGUACGUUCUUGUUCUUCCCUCUUUACGAGUGCAUUCCCCCCAACCUCAAGCUCCCUCUCUCGUCUUCAAUGUCACUGCCUAUAUCCUUGUGUUGUUCUAGUUUGAAAUAGUGGCUUCCACAAUUUCAGGGCCCCCAAAAAUCCAGAAACAUAGUAUUCAUCACGAUGACAAAUUUUUUGGCAGGCAGGUGCUUCCUGACUUUCACACGGUAAUUCUCAAAUUCUGAUUUCACCAUAUUUUAAUUACUGAUUAGCAUAUAUUCAAGUGCUCUCCAUUAUAAUAGAAGCCGCCGCCUCACUCGUGAUUCCAAACUUUAUCUUUUUUCCUUUUUUAAAUUAAUGCAAGUAGCCGCUGUCCUUUUUAUUAAUUAAUUAAUUAAUUCGGCCGCCCACAUUUCUUUUCCUAAUGUCUUCUACUGUCGAUUUUCUUUUAUUUUCUUUUUAUUCUUAAAAUAUGCUUAUAAUAAUAAAAUAUAAAAAUUAAAAUUAACAUAUCAAAAUAUAAUUUAACAGAAAAUUAAGAUAAAAAUAAAAAAAAUAAAUUAUGAGCAUAUCAAUCAAUAAAUGAAAAAUAAUAAUUUUUAUUUUUAUUAAAUAUAUAUUUUUCAGUAUUAAUCAAUUAUUUGAAUAAAUAAAAUCAUUUAAAAAUAAAUAAAUAAAUUAUUCUUAAAAAAAAAGAAACUUUUUAUAACACUCACUAUGCUGGUUGUAGGGUAGACGCUUUGGGAACUGAAGCCGGUAACUUCUACAAGUAGUCUGAAGUUGACUGGCAACAACUAUAUUGACAUUUAGACAUAAUGUACUCCAACCGUAUUGGUAUGUUUAAAUGUUCUUACUAUUGUAUUGGUGUGUCAAUAUUAUCUCUAACUGCCCUAUAGAUAAAAAAAUAAUCUAAAUUUAUAAUUUAACAUAAAAUAAAAUAAUUGGUAGAAAAAUAAUUAUGGUUCAUUUACUUAUCAGUAAUCAGAAUAGACUAAAAUCGAAAUGAGUUGUAUUACCGUUGAUGUGUUUAUGUUGUCCUGGAAUCGGAAUGAAUUAUUUUAAGUUACUAAAAUAUCCUUGGUUUGUUAUUCUAAUUAUUAUUUAAUAUUUAUUAUAAUAUUUGUCAUAUCAUUAAAAAGAAAUAAUAAUGAUGAUAAUAUUAUCAUUAUUGUUUGUUACAUUAUUAUUAUUCAAAAAAAUUAUUGUUAAUAAUAAUAAUUUUUUUAUUUCAAUAAUAAUAAUGAUAAAAUUAAUAAUAAAAAACAUGACAACAACAAUAAUUAUUUAUUAUGCCAAAAAAUAACAAUAAUAAUAAGAAUAAUAAUCAUCAUCAUUUUUUUGCCAAAGAAAUCAUCAAACCAGACAAGAAAUCAUCAAAAAUUGCUAUUUCAAUUUAGGAAGAAGUUCUUUCGGUGUGCUAGCGAUGGGAGAUGUUGUGGCUGCGAUUCGGGGAGCUAAUAGUUUAUUGCACUAAUAACGGCAGGUGCUGCUGCUUGAUGCGAGGUCCAUGGCCAGUUGUCAGCAGUUCGACUUUGGCAUGGGCGCUGCUGGUUCGAUUUUAGGUGUUGUCUAAUUUCAUUUUCAGGAUUUUAAUUUUAUUUUUUUCUUUUAUAUUUUCAUUAAUUAAUCAGGGCAAAGUUUGAUUUUAGAAUUUGGAAUGAAGGUAAUUUUGUUAAUCAUGGAAAUGAGAUUUUGAUUGUCGAGAAUGAACUUACACAAGCAACUGCAAAUUAAGUGAAAACAAAACGCUUUUUCUCUUUGUGUGAUUAAAACAUGAAAUAUACCAUAAAUAAAUAGGUAAAAAUUAAAUCAACACAAUCCAAAACAGUAAACCAAUUAUAAGAGGCACAAAUUUUUAUGUGAAAUACCGAAAACGGAAAAAACCACAACAUGUUAGUAUGAUAUAAUCUUCUACUAUAUUAAUGGGAUUAUAACACAAAUUCUUCCCUAUAUUACACUAGAGAUUAACAACAUCAAGAAUCUCAAUAAUCUUAACUUACAAUACAACCUAAUAUAUGUCUCUCUAAUAAAUAGAUAUCUAAAAUAACAAUCUCUAAUAAGUAAGUAUCUCAAAUAACAGUCUCUAAUAAGUAGGUAUCUCAAAUAAUAGUUAAUAAGAGGAUAAAACAAAAAUUAAGAUUAGUAGGAUGUGUAUAAGGCGAUGCUAUCAACUUAUCUUCUAAAUUUGAGAAAAAUAGUUAAAUUCACUUUUUUGAUUGUCCGACCAAAGAUGGAAACCUUGCCCCAAAACCAAAGGAGUCACCAUUGUGUUUCUCUCUCUCUCUCUCUCUCUCGUUCUUUUCUUCUACUUUUCUUAAUGUUAGCCGCCACUUGCUUUUAUUCUUUAUAGCAUUUAAAAAGUUACUUUUAAUGGUAAAUUUCAUCUAAGUCCAAAACUUAGUGAUAAUUGCACACUAAACAAUCCUUUUUGGACUAUAGACUUUUGGACCUCCAAAUGAGACGAAUACAACAAAUCUCCCCUUUUAGAUCAUGUAGGAGGCACCACAAGCCCACUCUCUGCAUAUAGCUUUUUAACUUCUCCUUGAAUAAUGACUUUGUCAUCAUACAUAACUCAUUCUCCGUUGUGUAAAUCUUCUCAAGCUAUAACCGUUCUUUCUCAAACACGUCUCGUAUCUAAUAAUACUUCACAUCAAUUUGCUUAGAUUUCGAAUGAUAUAUCAAAUUCUUUGAACGACACUCUGAUUUUCGCAGUACAUAAUAUAGUUGUCUCAUUUUAUACCUAGCUCUUGUAGGAAAUUCUUCGUCCACAGUAUUUUUUUGCAACCUUCAAUAAUUGUAAUAUCAUUUGCUUUAGUAGUAGAAAAGACAACUUAUUACUAAAGUUUAGAUUACGAUGAGACUGCUCCUCCUGCAAAAGUGAGCAAACAUUCUAGUAGGAAUUUUUCGGAAUCAACAUCUCCUACCAUAUCUAUACACUUGUAACACAGGUUUGUCACCACCAAAAUAUAAACAUGCUCUGGAAAUGCCUCUAAGAUAUCUGAGAAUUUUUCACUAUUGUCCAGUGCUCUUUACCGGGAUUGAAGAGAAACCACUAACUACACUAGUUGUAUAAGUAAUAUCUGGUCUUGUACAAAUUAUGGCGCACACCAAACUGCCAACUGCUGAAGCAUAAGGAACUCCUCUCAUGGAGAAAUGGGUUUUGCUCUUGAGAUUUUUGGGAACAUGAAGAAUAAAUAUGUAAUUUCUUGGACUGCCAUUGUUUCGAGGUAUAUAAACAGAGGACAAGUCUAUAUAGGUCGACAGUGGUUUGCUCAGAUGCCAGAACGAGAUUAUGUCUUAUGGACUGCCAUGAUUGAUGGGUACCUUCGAGUGAAUAGGUUCAAAGAGGCUUUGACGCUUUUUCAGGAGAUGCAAACUUCAAAUAUAAUGGGAGACGAGUUUACCAUUGUUAGCAUUCUUACAGCUCGUGCGAAUCUGGAAGCACUAGAUCUGGGAGAAUGGAUAAAGACUUAUGUUGAGUGUUAGAAAAUGCAUAUUUAUAAAGGAGAAAACCAUCAUUUUACAUUUCAAGUCUUACUAACAACCCUUACUUUUAUGUAUUUAACCUUCUUGUGAUUUAAUUACAUGUGUUUUAUUUUAAUUAAGUAUUUUAUGUAUUUUAGGGACAUUAUAGUCAUUUCACAAUAAAGGAGAGAUCAGACGGCAAAACAGACAUCACUUUUGAACUCAGGACGGUCAAAAACCUUAGGAGGAGCAUAAAAGGAAAAAUGGCACUAUUCACAUGUACGGUACUAUUCACGUGUACGGUACUGUCCACGUUACUGUUCACGAUACUGUUCACAUAGACAGAUCGAUGACGUGGCAUUGACUGAUGAGGUGUCACGAUCCUGUUGGGCUAAAAUUCUUAUGUACUGUUGAUGGUGACGUGGCAGCAUAUCAAUGGACGAAAAAUCUCGCAUACAGUACAUGCAUCACACAGGAUUAUUGUCAACCAAAUCGCGUUACUGUUCAUCCGGGUCAAACCGUGUUACUGUUCAUCCACGUAGUCAAACCGCGUACUGUUGACUGAUGACGUGGCGCAAUCCUGAGCGUCCAAACUGUUUUUAAUCCGAUGGCCAUGAUUUACUCCAUGUAUCUAUAAAAAGGGGGCCUCCCCCCCUAAUUUGACAACUCUGAAUCUAUUUUGGGAUCCAUUUUCUAUAAUUCCCUCUCCAUCUUGUAUUUUCUACGUAUUUUAAUAAAUUUCCAUUUUACCCUUAGUUCAAUUAUGAGUGGCUAAUUUCCUUUCAAGCUUGGGUUGAAGGUGAAGUCUCAACAUGUGUCAUGGGCUUUAUUUGGUAAAUUUAUUUUCUUUUCCCCUCUAGUUUUUGUGGAUGAUUUGACUUUUCGUCGACAAAUAAUAUUGAUCUUGUCUAGAUACCACCUUGGUUACACCGGCUCUCUAGUACAAGGUUAUUAUUAUUUGGCACGAUAAGCCCUUAGCACCAUAUUGAUUAGAGCGUGGUUCAUGAGGUGUGGAUUCCCCCCUCAUGAUUUAAUUGGCAUUAAUAAGGAUUAUAUAGCCCAUGAUGCAUGUUGAUACGGAUCUGGAUACCCAAGUGCUUCAUUUCAAUAGAUCUAUCUUCAAUUUCUUCUCGCCAUUUUAAUUUAAGUUUUAGAAUAUUCCAAAUCAUUUCCACCACAAAUCCAAUCCCCGAUUCACAAAAUUAAUUCUAUACACAAUUAAAAUCCACAUCCUCGUGGGAUCGACACUCGUCACCAUUAGUCUAUACUACAAUAGAUUCGUGCGCUUGCGAGUACAUUAAAAUUUACACAACAACUUAUAUUGACAAAAACAAAGUCAAGAAUGAUGUAUUUGCGGGGAAUGCUUUGAUAGACAUGUACUGUAAAUGCCGAGAUGUUGAGAAAGCUCAAAAGGUAUUCAGGAAGAUGCUUUGAAAGGACAAAUUCUCAUGGACGACCAUGAUUGUUGGCCUUGCCAUCAGUGGCAAUGGUGAUAAAGCUCUUGAUAUGUUUUCCCAAAUGCUUAGGGCUUCGAUCAAACCGGAUGAGGUAGCUUAUGUUGGUGUUCUGUCUGCCUGUACUAACAAUGGUAACGAAACUUUUGUGAUAAAUAGUUGCAACUUAAGGUGAGAAUUGGAGGAAAGGAAAUAGACUGAAGUUGUUCAAUCAUCGGUCGUCUCUAUUUGGUUUUCUCCGAUAUCUCAUCUUCAGUUUUGACUCAGAUUCUAUCUUACCACUUAGGGGUGGGCAAAAUCGGGUUCGGGUCAACCCGAUCGGGUUUCGGGUUGUUCGGGUUAGACAAGGAACAAUCCGAACAUAACCCGAAUUAAUGACCCGACCCGAACUUAGUUCGGGUCGGGUCAUUAAUUCGGGUUAUGUUCGGGUUGGAUUUAAAAUGGGUAGGAUUGAGUUCGGGUCAAUUUGGGUUAGUUCGGGUCAAUUCGGGUCAGUUCGGGUCAAUUCGGGUCAAUUCGGGUCGGUUGAAAUCGGGUCAGUUCGGGUCAAUUCAGGUCAGUUCGGGUCGGUUGAAAUCAGGUCAAUUCAAGUCAGUACGUUUUUUUUUUUUAAGAACCCGAUCGGGUAUUCGGGUCGGGUCGGGUUUGACCCGAACCGAUCACAACCCGAUCGGGUUUGUAAAUUUCAAACCGAUCGGGUUUCGAUCCCGACCCGAUCCGACCCGAACCCGAAAUUUAUCGGGUCGGGUCGGGUCGGGUAAAAUGCCCACCCCUAUUAAUACCACUAGUAAUUACAUAGACUUGCUGCCAAAGGUAAGAAUGAGAAUAAAUUAAAUAGAUUAUGUCGAAAACGAAAUAAAUUUACCAUUGUUCUGUUCAUUCUAUUUGUUUCCUACAGAAUAUUUCUCCAGCCUAAAAUUUUUUGAAUUAGUAAGUUUUUAUCUUAUGCAAGAAUUGUGCUGAGAGUAAUUCCAUUUCUCAGUCUCUUUAUGUUUCAAUGAAGACGUAAAACUUGUGUUCUAGUGCACCAAUGUUUAUGCUUCUUACAAUUUGACUUUAAUUUAGUUUGUAAAACUUUUGUCAAAAAGUACUAAAAAGUAGUGCACCAAACACAAACUUUAUUACAGAGAGGACUUCAGUUAAAUUUUAAGAAAACACUCAAAAGAACGAGUUAUAAAUUAUUAUCGAAAUAUUUCACAUAAAUAAAAGCCAUCCCAUGCUGCAAAGAUCUUGCUAUAAUCACCAAAAACUAUCGGGAGCUUUUAGGGUUUCCAUAAAAAUGUCAUUUCGUUCCAAAAGUCAAUGGUGGGUAGAAAGUGGUGCAAAUGAGACUCAUUGUUAAUGGUAUAAGUUUUUGCUUAAUUAUGUCUUCCCCAAAAUGAUGAUUUAAUUUCCAUUCUCAAUUAAUUUUCAAGUUUCAACACUUUUCUAUGUAGCAUGACAUUGGAAAGAUCUUGUACAGUUGUACUACUAAAAGCUAGCACCACACGUUAGUUAUUGUUAAGUUCUUUUUCAACGUGAAAUAAAGGAAGUAGUCCUUCGUUAAAACCAUUAUAGCCAAAUUUCACGUAAUUGGACAUUUACAGACUUUUAUUUCAAGUUGGAUUUUGGUCCAACAUUUCAAAGUUGGCCCAAUUAUUUUUGUCUGGUCAAGUCCUUCGCAGCUAAGCCCCUCAAUGAAUGAGGGUGAGAUUGCUAAAAAUUACGACAGGUGAUAUUUUAUUAUUAUUAUUUGUUUGAGGGAAAAAAUAGGAAAAGCAAUAGAGCGCCACGUGUCAACCAAUGGAAUGAUUCCUGCACAAUCUAAGGUACCCCACACAAUCCGAGGUACCCCAUAUAAUAUGAGGUACCCCACACAAAUAGGGGUACCCCGCGUAAUAGGAGGUACCCCAUGUAACUCGAGGUACUCGGCAAAGCGGAUGCAAGAGAAUCCUCCGAAAAUAUCCGCCAUGAGAAACGUCUCCGCCUCCUAAAAGAUAUUAUUCAAUUUUGUCAGAAUUAUGAAUAAAAAACGACGCCCUAAAAGGAGGGACAGUCGCCUGCGACCUCUGCCAAAAGUGAAGGACACUGUCCCAAGGACAGUGGUCCCCAACGCCUACCCGACAGCUACUGCAAAGGUACCCUGGACCACUCUCCAGCGCGCGCCACGUUUCCAAAAGAUGAGAUACGCCGCGAACGUGCAGAUAACUGCCCAAAAAUUAUAAAGAGGUAAAAGGACGUUAGUAAAAAAGGGUAUGCCAUGUGGCAGCUGAGGUACUCCAUAUAUAAAGGCGCCUAGGUUUCAUUCUCCAUCAUGUUCUCACUCACCAUUAACACUCGCACUCCAAAAAAUAGGUUUUCUUCAACCUUAAACCCUAAUUUACAGAGGGUUAGUCAGCUCUCUUUACCAUAAAAGCUUGAGUUUGCUAACUUGAGCGUCGAAGUGUGAACGCCGGGGUACCCCGGCUUCACCUCUAACCUCUAUUUCACUGUUUUGCAGGCGUGAAGCUCAUUUGGAAGGACACAUCUCUUAGUUCUAAACCUUUCACCAUUGUUACCACUCUCUCUCCCUUUCUCACCUCCCCUGGAUUUCAGAUACACCACACCGCACACAAUAAACUAGUGAGGUACCCCGUCUCCCAUAAAAAUACAAAUUCAUUGUUCUAGAUAGAUUUGGCUUUUUUUACCCCAAAAUCUGUUGAAAACACUAUUUUUAAUUUUGGGGGAUAAAUCCUCACCAAAGUGAGGAGAUUUUAUCAAAAUCAAAAUAAAAAUAUAACAAGAACUGAAAGUCGGGCAGCCUAAAAGCUAGAUGAACUAAAAGUCAGGCGCCUAAAAACAACCUUAUGCAAAAGAGAAGCAACAUGAGACCGAUCAAGUAAAAGAAUCCACCGCAACACCUAAAUUGGCCAAAUUAUCUGUUGGUAUUACAAGUUUCUUGUUAUAAAAGUGUAGAAUGAAGUAGGUGACAGUAGUUUUAAGUUACAGCUGCAUGCCUAAUCGCAAUAUCAAAUAAUGAUUAAAUAUCAAAUAAUGCUUAAAGUAGUUGCCUAGGCCCGCCACAAUUUAUAUUAACUCUUAAAUUUAUAAAUAAUUAAAUUUUUAAAAGUUUGGAUUUAUAUUAAAAAAUCUUCAUAUAAAUAAAUAAUAUAUGCACUUUUACAACACAGUCUUUAAAUUUAAAUUUUUCUAGAAAAAUCUUCUGUAUAUCUUUUCUAUUAAAAAAUUUCCAUAUAAAUAAAUAAUAUACCUAAUUUAAUUGGACCCAGCACAUCGCAUAUGCAUAGAACACAUUCCACAAAGCCAUGCUAUUCGGAAAUUGACGAAUGAAAAGUGAGGAGGCAGCAGUCAAUGCUAUUUGGGCUUGGCCCAAAAUUGAUUUAUCAGGUUGACGUUUGCCAGGAAUGAAGAACUGGAAUAUCACCGUCAAGCAAGCAACCUGUGGAGCAAUACCAUAGAAUGCACAAUCCAGCUUUGCAAGGUGACACUGGAGGCUUUUUGAAAAGUGCUUCACGCUCACUUGCACAGAUUGAGCAUCCCCUCUGGAUAUUGCCCUCUCUGAUCGAGUCUGAGCACUCAAAUUUCGGUCCUCAGAUGGAGCUACAGCUUUCUCUCCAAUAACCAACAAUUUUCUAAACUCAGCACCUAGUGUGAUCAGAGUUGUUGAUAUUUGUAAAUGGAGAUCCCUGUAUUUGCAAAUGGAGACAUUUACCAAAUCACCAACAUGCUUCAUCCAGUCUACGAAAUUCUGCAGCUGAUUCAAAUCCGGAACCUGAACCAGAGUCGGAGGUAAAUCUUGAGCCAUGUCUAAAGCAGUCUGAAGUUCAAGUACUUGAGCCCUUGACAAAGGUUUUGAAAUUGGAACAUCUUGGAUUACUGCAGACUUGUACCCCUUGGUUUCAAAGGUAAGGAAAGGCAUUGCUUGAGUACAAUUUGGAGGCAGCUUCUUCACCAAUUUUAUUUGGAGGCAAUUGGCAGCGGAUCCAGCUGCACCAAUUUCAGAGCAAAUACUGACACUACUUCAAACAGCACGCUGAAGAAGAGAUAUGUCUAUGGCAAAGGCAAUGCAGUCCUCAAUUUGACUUGAGAUGCGGUAAUCACCAAAGAGAGUUUCCUUAUGAAACUGGGCAACACAUUGAAUCCCUUCACCACUGAGAAGGUUGGGGAGGAAGUAAGCUUUCUCUCUCGUAAGGAAGAGGUGGCAUACCUUCCCCAUUUUGUCUAGGACAGGUAGGAAUCUUUUUUCUAAGAGAUUUACUCCAUUCUCUGUGAGAAAUGCUUUGAACUUCAUCCCUCUGUCUCUAGCCUCACUUAUCAGUAAAAUAGUUGAAAGCGCUACAAGGAGAGAAAAGAAGAGUAUUAAGAUAUAUAUAGACAAGAAAAACAUUAGAUGUCGAUCUUACAAGCUAAUACUUCAAACAGUAUCCUAGAAAGCUAAAAACUGCAAAAUGGCUUGAAAUUUGAAAAGAACACAUGCUUUUCCUCCUUAACUUGAGAAAAUGUUUAAUAUAGUGCACCUUACAGAAACAUUUAAACAAUUAGAACUUUGCACAAAAACAUUCAAGAAGACUAAACAAAUCAGAUGCAGUGUAUUUCUCCAAGCACAAAUGGCAUUGCAUUUUUUCCUCAACUGUAAUAUUUAUUGAUGAAAAUCAGUACAGGUCCCUCAUUUGUUAUGGAAAGCUUUCUUGUAGUCUGACCGGUUAAUUCACGGGUCUAUAAUCAUCUUGCAAAGUUACAGGCAUUUCUUUCGAUUUAAAGUCUUUGCAUCACCACCUCAUCACACACCAAGCCAAUAUUCCGUCUACCUCUACAACAAAAAGUUUUAAGUAAACGAUCCUAAUGCAUGCAGCCAAAUAAAAUGCAGUAAGAAUAUUCAACUUAAAACUCUGAAAGCCAUCUUGGUGAAUUGCCUCCUUAGGGGAAGUUCCAUGCUUUACUAUACUUGACAGGACUGAGCAAAAGCUUACAUACAACAGAUUUUGAAAAUGAUGAUGCCAAUAGAUACUCAUACAAUCCAUUGAAACUCCUAAGGUCCAUUGUUCACAGAGGUUUACAGAGUUUUGGUCAUCAAAUAGCUCAGACCUUAAUCCCAAACAAAAAACGAGUGAAAAUUAGAUCACCAGCAGCUAAUUGUAAAUUCUAACUUAACUCUUCAUCUCCUUUGUAAACAGGAGACAAAAUGGAGACACGCAAAAUGAAUAAGGAGAACAUUUGAACUCAAAUGAAAUGAGGGCACGAAAGCAAACAAAUGGCAUGCGCAAACAAACCAAGCCUCAAUCAAAAACUAAUUAACCAUUAAAAAAAAAAAAGUGGUCAGAGAAUGAACUCCAAAUUCGGGAGUGAAGCAAGAAGCUUUCAUUAUUUCAGAAGCUCCUGUACAAAUUAAUAAGUUAUGCUCUUUGGAAACAAACCUAAAUUCCAAGAGAAAGAGAACUCAAAAAAUUUGCAAUUAUACGCAAAGGAAGUGAAGCACAGCAUUCUAUCACACGUACAAAUUGUAUAACAAGAGAUCGACACAUCGAAUCAGAAGAACUCAAUUCAAAUUUGUCUCAAAAAUCAAAAUUAGAAGAUUUCACAUUUCGAGAGGAACAAGCGACAGGUCAGAUGCAAAAUUUUCAGCCACAACAUGCCACAAUUAACAGUUUAUUUCCAUGGAUUUAGAGAGCUGACUGACCUUUUGGCUUUUGGAAUUGAGAAGAUCGCGGGCCAAAAUGGAAGAGGGAAAGCGAAAGUGCGGGUUUUAAUAGGGUAUUGGAUUAGCAAAUUUAAUUAGUUUGCGAGGGUAAAAUAGGAAAGAGAUAUCACUAUUAACUUUUUUUUUUAUAAGAAAAAAGAAUAAUAAAGAAUAUUUUAUUGUCAUUUGCAGCCUGCAAAUGACAAUAAAUCAAAUACGUCAUACAGAAGCUUAAAGCUGAAUCUAAAAAAUCUAGAGCUCUCAACUACAAAAAUUACACUUGAUGAUCCUCUACAAGAUGAAGCUUGUUCAAUAUCUUAUCCAAAGUUUAUAAAGUAACCUUGUAACGAUCUUGAGAUUGCCUGCCUUCCUCGACGACCUGCACGAUGCGUUUGUACAAAUCAUCAUACCUGUGCACCGGAUUUUUAAUAUCAACGCCACUGCAGCUGUGAUCAAGAACAUAAGAGCGUUUAACAUCUUUUCUCCAUCGAGAAAGAAUGUAGUGAGAUGGGAUCUCCUGCAUGCCACUCUGGUUUAGAACACAAAGAAUGUGUCUGGAUAAAUAUCCUCUGAAAUUGAACAACCCACAAACACAAAGCACCUCCAAGUCGGAGGCAUUGUACAAAACAUCGAAAGCCCUUGAAUCUUUCUCGUUGCUACCAACCUCAAAUUCUUCCUUCACUAUGUAUGUUAUAGGUCCAUCAGCACUGACAUGUUUUGUGCUAUAGCAAGAGUACAUAGCCUCCACCUCCGUCUGAAACUUCCUUCACAUUUCAUUUGUGUACAGUUUUGAGAGUUGAAAUUCAUAGUCACAUCUUGGUUUCUGGAUACAACUUGAAUUUCUUGAAUCCAUAUCUGCCAAGGCUUCCGGUUGAUAAUUCGCCUGCAGUGCUUGAUCAUACUUGUGUAAGAAUUCUUUCAAAGGAGUACGCUUAUCAAGAUAUCCUUCAAAGUAUGAAGUAGAAACCUCAUUCUGCAGGAAUGAAAACACUCCUGAUAAAAAUGCUUCCUUCAAAUAAACAGGAGCCCACCUUUUACGAUCUUCAUAUAAAGUUUGAAUCCAUCCGUGAUCCUUUAUUCCAUGACGUUGAAUCAUGUCUUCCCAAGCUGCUUCAAAUUCCUCAGGCCUGAGAGAGUGAUAAAUUGCUCUAUGUAAUGCACCUCUAAUAGCUUCAUAUUCAAACAAUCCUUGGAGUUUCUCUGGAAUUUUUUGCAAGAUGCAUGACAAUGAAAAGCAAUGAUAAGCUCUUGGGAAAACAUCGCCAACAGCAAUUUGCAAGAUUCUACAUUGGUCAGUGAUGAUUGUUUGUGGAGAGCGUCCUAACAUACAUGUAAGCCACACCCUAAACAACCAUGUAUAUGAUUCUAUGGUCUCCCUGGCAAGUAAACCACAACCCAACAACACUGAUUGUCCAUGAUGAUUCACCCCAAUGAAUGAAACCAGUGGUACAUCAUAUCUUUCAGUCAAGCACGUAGUAUCAAUUAAGACUACAUCACCAAAGUACCUAUAUGCAACUCUUGACCUGGUAUCAGUCCAGAACAGGUUUCUCAAGCAUCCCUUUUCAUUUAGAUCCACUACAUUAAAAAAGUUUGGAUCUGUCAACUGCAAACGACAAAAGAAACUCUGGACAGCUUGUGCAUCUCCUGGUUUAAGCUUCAAUUGAUUUGAGCUAUUAACAUUAUUUCCAAAUACUCCAUUAACAUCUACAUUACCAUUUCCCUCGGUAUCGAUGAUAAGAGUUCGAAACAGUCUAAUUUUUUGAACGUCUUCAGCACUAUCUAAUUGCAAUGUUCUUUUGGUUCCAAUACCUAUGUGCUUAUGUGACUUGUAAAACUUUCCGCUUCUUGGGCUUAACAAGUGGUUAUGCUCAAGCUCGACUUCAAUGAUUCUCCACCUUUUGGUUUCCAUCAACCUAAACUUUAUCAUUGCUGGACAGCCAGUUCUUGUUUCUGGUCUUGGGCGGUUUGCCUCGCUUUUCUUCUUGAAGCCUGCACUACUACAGCUCAGCUUUCCUCUAUACUUUUCUCUACUCUUUCGGUACCAUGUAUUGCUAACUCUAACACCAAAACCCUGUUCCUUGGCAUAGCAAUUGUAAAAGUAAUAAACAUCAUCAUACGUCUCAAACUCCAUUCCAACAGCAGGAGCCAAUGGAUUUUGGAUUAUCCCAGUUUGUCCAACAUAUUCAGUCAUUGCACAAUCUCCUACGACCUCAAAAUCAUCAGCAUCAUCAUCACCUACUGGUUCAGUAUUCAGAGAAACUUCAUCCAUCUACAAUAGAUGUUUAAUGAAGUGAACUUUAAGGAGAAAAAGCAAAAUCAGUUCAAGGAAUGAUAAUAUAACCAUACAGUUACUUUCACAAAGCUGCGUAUUUCAUCAAUACCUUAACAACAUACAACUGCCUGAGAACGUAUAGACAUGUCAUAGACGCUUGAAUUAAGUAUUGGUACAAAUUCAUGUGGGACACAAUUUCAGUCACUAAACCCAAUGCCUUUUUUUUUCACAUCAUACCAAGGAACGGAUUAAACCCAAUACCUUCUUUUACGCCAUACCAAAGAACAGAUUAAAUCAUCAAUGAAAAAUUAAUCACAUAAUAAUUUAACUAGACAAAUAAAGAGCUCGAAACAGCACAAAACUUGAAUAUGAUUAUGAUAAUUGUUGAGUCAUUGUAUCUACAGCUUUCCUUCAACAAGAAGAUUAUGAACAUAAACUACACACAAAAAAUUUAUUUUAAACUGACAUAAAUUUAUUCAGUUACAUUGAAACCCAAAAAAGGAAGCAGGAGCUGGAGAAAAACAACAGCAGAGAAACUUAUUUCCAGAAGGUUUACGAAAUAAGGAAUUUAUUAAGACACAAAAUUUGAGGUCAACAAUAAGAAUUUGGUUCUCAUUCUCUUUUUCUUCAUUUUUCACUUAUUGAUGGAGUUACCAUACAAUCCUAAAUGAUAAAACCCCAUCUCCAUCUUUUUGAAAUAGAGUUAAAGCAAAGCUUUUUAAGAUGUUUUUCCCUAAAAGACUCAAUAGUACAAUGUUUUUCAAUAUUAAAUACACAACUCAAUCUUCCCCUAAUUUACUCUAAUAAUCUCUUAACUAAGGAAGAUUAAGCUCCACUUGUAAGCUAAAACAAGUUUCUUAAAUCAAGCCCCAAUGCUCUAUGCUAUUCAACAAGGCCUCAUAAAUGAUAAAACUACCUCUACAAAGAUACCCAUUUUAAUUUCGCAAACUAAAAUCGAACUCCUGAAACGUAACGAGCAUUAAAACAAACAAGUCCGAACAAGAACUGAAAAAUGAUACGUAAACCCGUUUCGACAAACAGUUUCCAAUCAAUGAGCAAAAAAGUUAAUGGAAAACAUGAAAUUCAAACGAAACAUACCUUAGGUUGAUAAAUUAGUAGCGCAAAAGAAAUUUUAGCGAGAUAUGGGAUCAGGGAUUUUGCCACGGUGAUGUUAAUUGCGACAUUCGGGUGACUCAGCAGCCUUCGAGGCUGAAACUUUGAUUGACCAAAAGCUUCCCGUUCGUUGAUUCUCUAAUUGCAGAAACGAAACUGGCAGUGUACAGAAGACGUACGCUGAUUUGAUAAUUCUGUGAAAAUCAUUGUUUUUUUUCAGAUUUUUAAUGUGUUCGAUAAAAUAUCAAAAUCUCAAAAACUUUUGUCUUUCAUUUUGGGGGGGAAAAACCCAUUGAGAUCCUUAUGUUUUUUCUUAUAUAAUCUGGCUUAAUAAUUUGCAAAGUCUAUUACUUAGCACCCAUGCAUGCUGCGUUCCAAUUUACAAAAUUGUACGUGAGUGCAUCCAGCUAAAAUUUGUAAAAAGAAAAUAGCAAUAACAUGUUAAAAAUGUGAUUAUUAUGAAGAAAUUUUAAUUUAGUUAAAUAGGUGACGAUGGAUAGGUAUAAAAUCUGAGAUCUUUUAUAAGGUUAAUAAAUAUGUUGAGUUUGGAUUAGUUCAAUUUUGAAAUAAUAAUAUUCAAAAUAUCUCUUAAAUCAUUAUAAACCUCAAAUCUAUUUUAAUUUUAUUUAAAAGAUAAAAGAAAAAUAGGUUAUGUUGGUGAUUUUUUAUUAUCUUUUUAAUAAAAAUGAAAUAAAUUGAUGUUUAUAAUUAUUUAAAGUAUUUUAAAGACUGCCAUUUUAUGAGAGAAAAAUAUUUCACUUUUUUUUAGUGUGAAAGGCCGAAAAAGGACAAAGCAAGUUUCCCUAGUUUUUAUUUAUUUGAAAUUGGUCAUCUCAUAUACUUCACCCUUCAACACUAUAAUUUUUUUGGUUAUAAUUUUAUUAUUUUUUCUCUUUUACACAUGCAUGUGAAUUACUUUUCUUUAAGCUCCUGAAUAUUUAAGAUAAAUCAUGGAAGAGAUGAGAGUAUAACAAGAUGACCAAAAUAUGUAACAAAAAAAUUUUAUAAGUGAAAAAUAUGUUAGAGACUUACAGUGGAAGUAAAACUCUGAGGUGAUGUUUGAUUUGAAGAAAAUGGAGGAAAUGAAAAGACUGGAAUGUAGAGGAAAAGAGAGAAAAGGAGAGGAGAGGAGAGUGAAAUUUUUUUCUAAUGUUUGGUUUGUCACAUAAUUAUACAAAGAAAGGAAAUCUCUAAUUUUUUAUUUAGACAAUUUUAACCUUAAUAAGUAUUAAGUUUUCAAUAUUUAUCAUGUGUAUAAUUAAAAAAAAAAGAAGUAAAUGGUAGAAAGCGGUUUCUGAUUCCGGCCACAUCGCCCGCAAUGGAAGGUACUUAUCAGAACAUCAAGAGCCAGCCAUCAUUCCCUAGCCAUCACUGCUGUCGGAACACUGCCGGAAAGCUGCCGAUUGAACCGCGAAAAGUCGUGGAAAUCGCUGCCUCAAAUCGGUGAGUUUCGCCCUUUUCUGGUCACGCCGUCGCCAUGGCUUUGUCCAUCAAGCCUGCCACUUCCAUUUUCAACCAUCCAUAGCCACUAUUAAUUGCCAAAUCACCGCCGAUCAGCGGGAUCUGUGGAAGUUAAAAAGUUUCUAAAUUUUUUUAACUGGAUUUGAACAACAUACGACCAUUUUUUUAUCUCGAUAACGACGUAGUAAUGUUGAUCGUUGGUCGGCAAGUCGUAUGGUAGUGGCAGUGAGUAACACGCGCCAAUCACAUCGGCGGCGGCGGCGGCACUAUCCGGCGACUGUUAAAAUAAUAUUUUAUAUUUUCAGAUUAAAUAAAUUUAUUUUAUUAAAAUUUUUAAAUCAUUAUUUAAAUUUAAUUAAUUUAAAAUUAUCUAUAAUGUUGAAUUGAUAAAAUAAAUUUAUAAAUAAUAAUUAUGUGAUUACAUUAAAUAAGUUAAAAAGUUGAAGGGUUAGUUUUGGAAGAUUUAGUUUCCAACACAAAGGGAAUUUGAAUUCUUCACUUCUUAGUGUGGAAUUCAAAUUCUAUAUUGUAAUAGAUAUUAAAUUUCAAUAAAAAUUAAAUUCUUAUAAGUUAUGUCAAACCAAACAACGAAAAUAAAAAAGAAAUUUAAAUUAUUUUUCUUUCCUCCACCCUCUCCUUCCAACUAAAUACAUCCUGAAAAUAGAGAUAUUGAUUAAUUUAGAAGAGAUUCAAGCAAAAAAUAUUCCAAAAAAAAAAGCAAUAUGUCCCUUUGGAGGGCAAACUUGUCAGUUUCAAAAAAGUACAUGCUUUGUAUUGAUAGUUGUAGGAUAUUUGUUUUGUCACUAUGUAUUAGUUGGAGAAGUCCAGCCUUGUGGAGAAUGUUAUGAAAGAGCAAAGGAUAUUCCUGAUAGCUGAUAGAGCUCUAUCUGAUUAUGUAUCCAGUGAAUGGAUGUGUUGUUGGAAGAUAUCUGAGUGCAUUAGUUCAUAUGUGUCUGUCAAUGUGCUUUUAAUGAUUUUUCCACCUGUUUGUUGUAAAAGAUUAUUGUAAAUUGAAAUGAACUUGAUGUUUUAAUAUUUUCUUCCGUAAAUUGAAAUGAACUUGAAUUAAAUCUCGUUGAAUUUAAUAUUAUCUCCUUAGUGGAAUUUCACCUAGUAUGUAUUCAGUUGUGUUGUCUAUAAUUUUGCAUUCGAGUAAGUUUCACCUAAAACAUUAGCAUGAGUAGUGGCCCUUGAACCUUUGGUCAAAAUUAUUGUUAUUAUUUCUGACUAGAUGUAAAUUUUGUAUUAAAUCUCGUUAACACAAUUCUUAAUUAAAAGUAUAGGUUAGUGUUGGUGCAAGAUUUGCCACACCAAAUUCUGCCUAGCUGUCAAAAGUGCAAAAUAAAUGAAGAGAAAGCACAAAUACACGACUUGAAUAAGGAUACAACGAAACUUAAAUUCAAGAGAAAAUGAUAGCUAUAUCCCAAGAUUUGAAAAAGUAGUCAUGUAGGUUUUUAAGAUUUCAAUAAGCGACUGAGAUUCAAAUAAUAUCCUUUAAUUCUAUUAAUAAAAAACAAAGACUCAAAUAUUUUAUGAUAAAUAAAAAUAUAAUAUUAAAAUAUAUGUGAUAAUAUACACAUUUUAAAUACUUUCAAUCCAAAAAAAUAGUUAUGUUUUACAAUCUAUUAGACAUAUUUUAUUAAAUUAAUAUAAAUUUUCUAUAAAAUAAGAAUAUAAUAUUAAAACAAAUUCACAGAAAUUUAAAGAAUUUUGAAUGUAAAAUAAUUUUAAUAUAUUAAUACGUGAGUUUUUUUAUUAAUAUAAAAAUUAUUUAACUUUAAGAUUUUUUAAAAUCUUUACAAUAAGUAUAACUAUAUUAUUUACAUUUAAAAAUAUUUAAAUAUUAUUAACCUACAAUUAUAUUUGCAUUUGUUAGAAAUUUUUAAAGUCAAAUAUUUUGCACUUCUAUAUUAUUAGAAUUAUUGCACACAAAGAAAGAAACAUAUACGUUUAGAAAUUGUUUUCUUUUAAAAUAGAGAUGAUGAUUAGUAUAAGGAUCAAAAAAAGGAUAAAGAAUAUUAAUGAUUAACGAAAACUCUAUACAAAUUGAUUUUAGUAGGAAAAGAGUGAGAUGAAUGAUUUCUUUUACAGUUAGAAAAAUAGAUGAUGAUUAUUAUAACGAAGAAGAAAAGAUAAAGAAUAUUAAUUAUUAAUGGAAUCUCUAUGCAAAUUGAUUUCAGUAGGAAAAAAAAUGAGUUAAAUGAUUUAGAGUGCGUUUGGAAUUGAGAUUGGACAGCCAUAGAUUUUAAGUUACAACACUGAAGUGUUUGGUAAAUACUAGCUGCUGCAGAUUGAAAGUUAUGUUGAUAUGAUUUUUCACAUGUAUCAUAGAAAAUAUAUUACAUCUUUAAUAAUUUUUUUAAAAUUUGUAUUUGCUAUAUAUUGUUUUUUUUAUAUAGUUAUAACUUUUUUUUUUUCCACAGCAGCUGUAGCUUAAAAGCUACAGCACCUCAAUCUCAAACAAGUCCUUAGACAUUCAUAGUGUGUUUAUUUUUUGGAUUGGUGAAUCAAAAUUAUUGACAACGCUAACUUCAUCUUCACCGUUCGCAAUCCAACAGCAGCAAUUGUCGCCAAUAAUGAUAUCGCCGAUGAUGAUGACAAUAAUAAUAAUAAUAAUAAUAAUAAUAAUAAUAAUAAUAAUAAUAAUAAUUAUUAUUAUUAUUAUUAAUAAUUAAUAUAUUAAUAUAUUAAUGUUAAUAUUAUUAUUAUUAAGAUUAACAAUAAUUAUUAGUAAUACAAUUUUUUGAAUAAAAAUAAUCACAAUAAUUAAAAUACAAAUUAACAAUUAUGACAAUAGUUAAUUAAUGUCUUUUUAGUAAUUUGUAAUAAUCUAACUCAUUUUAAUUCUGAUUAUUACAGUUUAAGUAAAUAAAUUAUUAUGAUUCCUAUUCUCCUUUUCUAUUUUAACUCACUUCGAUUCCAGUCUAUUCUGAUUUUUGUUUAAUAAACGCACCAUUAGUGCUAAAGUAAUAUUUCAUACAUAGAAAAGUAAAAACUACACCUAAGGUUAAGGGAAAGGACUUCAAAACUCUCUUUUGAUCAUAAUACAUUUUGUACUAAUUAACUUAAAGAUUUUGAAUCUAAUAUUUUAUAAUAAAUAAAAAUAUAUUCCUAAAAUAAAUAUAAUAUCAAUAUUUAAAAUAUGUUUUAAUAUUUUACACAUUUUAUUAUAUUAAAGUAGAUUUUAUAAUAAAUACAAACGUCCUAUUAAAAUGAAUAUAUAAAAAAUUUAGAAAAUUUAGAAUAUUAUAUAAAAUAAUUUUAAUAUAAUGCGUGAGAUAUAUUUUAUUAAUUUAAAAUGUUAUUUUACCUAAAAAAUAUGAUAAAUUAAUAAUUACAUAUUUGAAGUUAUUUCAAAUAUUAAAAAAAUUUAAUAUUAUUAGUCUUUUAGAUAGAUUAAAUUAUUUUUUUUAUAAGAGAUAGAUUAAAUUAUUUUAAAAUGCCUUAAUUAUUUUUACUUUUAACGUUACCGGCCUUUCUUUUAUUUUAUUGCAAAUUAAUGCUAACAAGAAAAAGCUAGAUCAUAUUCCACAAAAGCAAAAGUGACAAACACAACCAGCUGGAAUCUUUUAUAAAACUACAAAUUAAAAUGGAUUUUUUUUUUGAUAAAUUACACAUGAAAGUGGAUUCUUUUGAAUAUAAGUGGAGUAGGCUCUUUUAUUUUAUUUUUGAAUAUUGUAUAACGGGACUGUAGACUCUUUUAUUAAACUACAAAUUGUAUAGUCUUUUUAAAAUUGUUAUAAAUUAAUGGCCCCCACAAUCCUCAACAAUUGUACCGAUAUUCACAAGUUGGUGGCCCCUACAAUUCUGUUCCGAUAAUUUAACUGUGCAAGUGCUCAUUCACAAUCUUCCAGGUCAUGCUCUCAAUAAUUGUUUUUUUUUCCUGCAUUCCCUUUGGGAAAUUUACGAAAAUAAUCAUUAAUAUUUUAUUAUUUUUACAAUUAACCGUCUUAAUUUUUUUCUAUCAACAUUAGCCAAAUACAAGUCUUUCUUCCCAAAUUACCCUUCUUUACAGAACAAAACCAACAUUGUUUCUCCCAUAUCGCCAAACCAAAAGCAGCUUUUUAUUCUUAAAUCAUCAGCCAACGGCGACCGCAAAAGACAACGGUAAAAGUGAUAUCCGAUCAUAAUCUAUCCGGAUCCAACACAAAUCUACAUCACUCAGUGGUAUGAAUUAUUUUUUGAACUUACUGAACUCAGUCGGGUGAAUCUGAGUCUGGCGACAGGCUGCCUGUCGCAGUAAAACUUGGUGCGACAGGCAACCUGUCGUACCAAACCUUGGUGCGACGGGCACCCUUGGAGAUUUAUUAAAAAUGUAUUAUUUUAAUAGGACUCAAAUAAUUUUUUUUUAUAAUUUCAGGCUUAAUGGAUUCAGUUGUACUUGAAUUGUGUUACGAUGGUUGGUGGGAGACAUUAGAGAAUGGCUGUAUGGAGUACGUGAAUGGUAAAAAUCGAGCUUUUUUGGUUGGAAAAAAUUACUUGUUUGAUCAGUUAUUGGCAAGAGUAUACGAGGUAUUAAAAAUAAACCCUAAUGACUAUAGUAUCACAAUGAAGACAACUUUGAGGUCUAGUAACACAUUAUAUCGUAUAUGUGCAAUGCCCAUGGAUAUAUGUGAUGAUGAAAUGGUGAGGGUUGUGUUGCAUAUGGCAUCUGACGUAGCUAAUUUUGGAUGCAUUCCUAUAUUCGUGACCACAUCACCUCGACUUCCGAGCGAAGGUAUUGAGCCACAUGUCGAUAUAGAAACUUCGUUUAGAGCAAAUAUGUCUGGCCCCGAUAAUGAUGAAGAGGUGUUGCCAAGGACAAUAUCGCUGCAGCAAUAUUACUCUCCAAUCCACGACAAUUAUGAUAACAUUGAUGAUAAUAGCGUUACGUUACAGGAUGUUGGAGCAACGGUAUUUCCAAUAACAACGUCGUUGGAGCAACGAUAUUCUCCGUAUCACAACAAUGAUUUUCGGGACAAUGAUGAUUUUCAUAAUGAGACAGAGGAGGAUAAUGUUUGUGCAGAACCUUCUAAUAAUACGAGGCGGGGCACUCGUUUCAAUAAUGAUGGUGAUGAUGGAGGAGUCGGUCAUUCGAAUGUUCCGUCGUUUCAGCAUGAGGAUGAGUGUGAAGACAAUACUCCUGUGAAUAACAGAGGCAAUAGACCUAUUCCUUCUAUGGUUCGAUCGAGAAGGAGAAUUGACCCCCUUACAAGUCUUGCUCCAACUUUACCUUCGAACAUGGUUGCUCCAAGCUUUGUUAGCAGUUGUGACUCAGAUGAUAUCAGCGUGGGUAAGCUAUUUGUUGAGAAGAAUGAGCUUAUAUUACAACUACGCAAGGUGGCCUUUAGAGAUAAGUUUGAUUUCAAGAUUGCACGGUCUACUACGACACGUUUCGAGGCUCACUGUUGUUCAGAAUCAUGUAAAUGGCAUAUUCGAGCAACUAGAAGUUCGAACGAGCAAAAUGUUCCUUGGGUGGUGAAGAGAAUUGAUAAUGUACACACUUGUCAUAAUGAGGUAUUGAUUGAUGGACGUCAUCAAGUAAGGAGCCGGGUUGUCGGUCAUAUUAUCGCAGAAAAAUAUAUUCAAGAUAAGAGGAUUUAUACUCCCAAUGACAUAAGAGCAGAUAUGCAACAGGAAUACGGUGUUCAGUUAACAUACCAGCAGGCAUAUAGGGCGAGAGAAGUUGGUCUUGAAAUAGUUCACGGCAACCCUGCAGAGUCAUACAACUUGCUCCCUAAAUACUCUCACGUACUAACUACAACGAAUGAGGGUACAGUCACUCACCUCGAGCAGGAUGGAGAUGGUAAUUUCUUGUACUAUUUUGUAGCACUCGGAUAUUCCAUCAAGGGGUUUAUGCAGUACAUUCGGCCUGUCAUUGCUGUAGAUGGUACUCAUCUAAAGAGAUUAUAUCGUGGAAGCAUGUUCGUGGCAACAUGUCUUGAUGGUAACAAUCAAUUGUAUCCGUUAGCCAUUGGGAUCAUGGAUUCAGAAAAUAAUGAUGCUUGGGAAUGGUUUAUGAUGAAGUUACACGGAGUGAUUGGUGAUAGACCUGAGUUGGUAAUUAUCUCUGAUCGAUGCACUGCCAUAAGGAGAGCCGUUCUUAAAGUAUUUCACAAUGCAACUCAUGGCGUUUGUUUUUACCACGUCAAAGGUAACAUUAAGUCACAAUUUAGAAUGUCCAAAGCUCUUUGGGAUGAAUUUGAGCAUGCCUUUAUUAAUGCAGCAAAAGCAUAUGGCCACGAGGAAUUUAAGAGACAACUUGAAGGGUUGUGGAUGAUCCACUCGGGUGCGGCUGAUUACUUAGAAAAUAAUGUCGGCACGUGUAAUUGGGCAAGGUCUCAGUUUCAAGGUAGGAGGUACAACAUUCUUACCACCAACAUCGCGGAGAGUGUUAAUGCUUUCAUGAGGGAACCUCGAAAAUUUCCUGUUACUCAUCUUGUUGAUCACUUCAGGAAAACAUUGCAGCAAUUGUUUUAUGAUAGAAAAAUUGUGGCUGAAUCAAUGACUACUCGGCUAACAACAUGGGCGGAUGAAAUAGUCACUGAGAGGAGAACUAUAGCUGAAAGAAUGAUAGUUCGGCCGGUGUCUCCGCAUCGCUUUCAAGUUAUAGGCGGUGGGCUUAAGGAAGGGUUGGUUGACUUGCAAAAGAGAACUUGCUCCUGCAGAGUGUUUCAGCUUGAUCAGCAUGUGUGUGCUCAUGCAAUUGCGGCGUGUCUAACACACCGGGUGGAUUUUAUUAACCUUUGCUCGGACUUUUACACUACAGAAUCGUUGGCGAUGGCUUAUGCACAACCAGUGGAGCCAGUUGGUGAUGUGGCUGAUUGGGAAGUUCCAGAUGAAAUUCAGGAGAUGCAGGUAUACCCACCAGUUGAGGCACCACUACCUGGCCGUCGUAAAGAGCUCAGAAUACCCUCGACUGGCGAGGACGUUGACCGGCGGACUGUAAGAUGCGGCCGGUGUCAUGAACUAGGCCAUAAUCGUAAGCGAUGUAAGAAUCCUAUUGCGUCGACUCGAAGUUAGUUGUAUUUUGUGUGUUAUUCGUUGGUUAAAACUAUUAUUGUUUUUGUGUUACAUUGGUUAAAACUGUUAUUGUUUUUUGUAUUUCGUUGGUUAAAACUGUUAUUGUUUUUUGUGUAUUGUACACUUAUAUUCAUAAAACUUUAUUUUAUUUUAAAGUUCAAAAUGUGAGGCAUUAAAAUUAUAUAAACUUAAGUGCGGAAAUUAAAAAAAAUGCAAAUUUCAACAUUGAAAUUACUACAUAGGUCUACAAUAUAAUAUCGUCAUUAAAUAUAUCAACCGCAAUCUUCUUUCUAAAGUACUCGACAUGACUAGCGUUAAACUCCAAUCUAAGCCCGAACAUUAAAUACAUCGUAACCAUCAAUACAAAAACACUGCAAUCGCUAGUUCCGGGCUCUUGUUGUGGUGCGCUCUUAACUGCGAUAACUUUCCACGGGUCUUCACUCCGCAACUCAGGUCGGAUAUUGUAGAAGCCAACAUAUUCCAACCAUCGAGGGAAUAUAACUUCAAGUGGCUUGAAUUUCAACUUGUACUUUUUGUCGUCGCGAAAUGUGAGUAAUGAGUCAUAAAUCCAGACUUUAUUUUUCCGAAAGUCAACUCGUGCUAGUACCCAAUGCGCGCCGUCCAAGUUAACAGGGAUGAGUAACUGCAUAUAAAAAUUAAAAAAACAUGUUCGUUAUAUAUGAAAUUGAAAUACAACAAAGAAAAAGCAACAACUCGAAUAUUUUCAUUAUAGAGCAUGUGAAAUGUAAUAAAAUACACACCAUAUCGACAUCCGUCAUUAAUUUUGACAUUGUGUGCUGUCGCCCACAAAGAUAACUAUUCAAGCGGUCGUCGAAUACCAUUGAAUCAACUGCACAAUUCCUGUUAUUCCAUAACUGAUUCAAGAACACCUAGUACAUAGAUAACCAAGAAAUGCAUAAAUUAAUAAAACUUAAAGGCAAUAAUUAAACAAAUUAAAUAGUAUUUAUAAGUUUUGUCGGCACGUUACCCAAAAAAAUGUGUCAGUAUGUGUGACACGUUGGAGUAAGGCAUUUGGAUACUGCCGUUGUUUCUCGCUAAUCAAGCGGAGAUACUCGUGAAUAUGCUGUAGAGAAACAAAAAUAUUACGAUUUAAAAAAAAAUUAUACACAAAUCCACAACAGUAUACACCACGAGGAAAAUAUAAAUACCUCAUCGCCUAGCCAUCCCAUCGAAGCUGUCCCCAAAAUUAUUUGAAAGAAUGACCGCAGGUGCUGGACUCUCCGGCGGACUCUGCUAUCACCAGUGAACCAUCGAUCAAACUCAGCAAACAAACUAGAGUCCUCCAAUCCUCUCAGUGGAUUUACAUCCACACUCGUACUCAUGUCAAUCGCAUGCUCCAUCAUUUGGGGUCGAGGUAACCUCCGGACGUUCUGUCCACGCCUGACCGGAGGAAUCAUGUAAGGACUGUUAUAAACAUACGACGGUAUGUACGCGCGGCCGAACUUACUAACGCCCGGAGGCACCUCUGUGAACACCUGCAUGCUCUCCCCACUAACAUCCCCGUAUAAACUAUAAAAUGACGUGGGCGUAGACAAAUUUUCAUUGCCCACGUCAGUAUACACUCCAUAGUCAUCCGGGGCCUGUACAUUCGCCAAAAAGAACAUAUUAAAUAAUUAUCAAAUUAAAAGUUAAACGAACAUAAUUAUUUAAUUUAAAUUAGCUUACCGCAUACGAGCGUGCAGUGGGAGAAUCCUUAUUUGGAUGUUUAGAAAAUGUGUCGAUGAAGCCAACAACGGUUUCUUUAAAAUCUUUUAAUUCUGACUUUAUUUCAUACACAUUACGAUCAAUCUUAUCCAGCCGUCGUCGUACGUAAUCAUUAAACUGCUUUGUCCUCGACUAUUACAAAAGAAAAAAAUAAAACUUUAGAAUAACAAUAAAAAAAUAAUAAUUUAUAAAGGAAAAAUAUCGUAUAUUAUUUAUAACCUCAGAAUCCCGUGCGUCAUCAGAGUUGUCUGUUUGCUGCUGGUGGUCAUCAACAGCCACCUCAUCCUCAAAAGUGUCAAGACGCUGCUCUGGUAUUGGGUUUAGUAUGUCGUCAUGAUCAUCAUGCUCGUCCGAUUGUCUUGUAACCGACGGCAUCGCGUUGAUUGAGGGUUGGUGCUGUAUAAAGUAUCAUUUAAAAUUACUAAAUGAAAAGUCAAAAAUUUCGAUAAAAAAAUUUUUAGUACUUACAGUAUACCGACCUUAUGAAUCCAAUCUGGAAUGCUUGGCAAGUAAUCCUUCACAGAGAGUCAAUAUUUUCUGCUACUCUCUUUUGAAUUUGGCUCAAGAGUUUGUAAAAUGUCCGUCUGCCAUAAAUUCAAUUGAAAAAUUUAAGUAAGUAUACCCAACUUAAAUUUAGUAAAGUUAAAAAAUAAGUAAUACAUAUUACUUACAAGACGAGAUUCGUCGUUGAAGAACGAAUAAACCUCCGCAAAGUUGAUUCUCGAAGACGUCAUGGGCUUCCAUUGCAGAAUGCGGGGAAUCUUACUCUUCGUUUUGACGACCCAUGUUGAUGGCAACCCUCCGAUUGCUUCGUAAAUCCAAGCCUACAACAAACCAAAGUGAAAAAUCAAAUAAAACAACUAUCAAAUAUUUAAUACUAUAAAACUUAUUAAUAAACAAAAAAAAGCACCUGCACCCCAGACGUAAAGCCGUAAAGAUUAUAUUUUUCAAUAUUAUGAUCUGAAUUUUUCAACCGAGUCUUCUUAAAUUUCUCGUCUUUCUCGAACAGUGCAUUGUCAAGACUCUCGUAAAUCAUUUCCCACGACAAUAGACCCCAUGGCGCUUUCGGAAGUACUGUAUAUCAUCAACUUGGUCAAGCCAAUCGAAAUUAAUUUGACAGUGAUUUUUUCUUGCAUUUAGUACUCUGUCCGCAAAAUAAAACAGCGCAAUCUUUAAUGCGUCCAUAUCGUCCAUUUCCUCGAAAUUCAACUCCUUAAAUACUGCAUCAAAUUGCUUCACAUUAAUCUUACGAUGCACACCACCAAAAUACGUAUUCCGUAGCCUCUGCUCCAUUUCAUCAUUUUUUUCAUUGGUAUCAACACCAAAUGAAAGUCCAGUAACCAAGCACCAUUCGAUAAUUGACAAGCGAAUCAAAUGCUUACCAAUUUGAAACCAUAACUGAUCCUCACAGCUAUCUUCUUCAUGGGCCACUUGCCGCAGUAAACGAUUGUGCAAAAUUACCCCACUAAAUGGAAAACUUCGGCACUCCAAGAAAUGCCCAAAUAUAUCCUUUUUGAACAUACUCAACUGCCGCUUUGUUAAUUUUUCCUCGAUGGCUUUUACGACCGAAGAUAACAUACACAUGCUCGAAAUUCGACCAGGAAAGUGAUCAGCAUAACGAAAAUACAUCUUGCCUACUUCAAUAUCCGGUGAUUCUGAUUUCGCCAUGUAUCUGUAAUAUUUAUAAAAUUAUUACAUUACAUUUACAAAAUUAUUACCAAACUCUAAUUUUUUGGUGCGACAGGCGCCUGUCGCUCCAAAAAACUGCCUGUCGCACCACAGCUGGUGCUCCAAAAUCGAAAACAAUACUCCCAAACACUACCAACUACCACAAACAUCAUCACCACCACUAUUAAUCUCAAGCUAUAACUAUUAUUAUUCUAAAAUCUCAUUUUAAAUUAAUGAAAAUAAGAAAAAUGACUAACCUAGGUUUUGUUGAAGGUUGUAGAUCGUAGAUCGGAUGCCGGUGAGAGAUGGAGCCGCCGCCGACGAGGGUUGAUGUCGCCGCCGAUGAUGGGAGUUGGAUCGGUUUGGGAGAGAUGAGUGAAAAAGGGAGUGUUGGGGAAGAGAUGAGGGAUGGGUAUUUUGGUCUCAAAUGUUGUUUUAUGGCUAAUGUUGAUAGAAAUAUUUUUGGGGGGUUAAGAUGAAAAAAAACAAAUUUGUUUUGGUUAUUACUGUAAAUUUCCCAUUCCCUUUCAUGCUCUUAAUAAUUGAAGAGCAUACUUUUCAUUUUCAAAUGUGGAGCCGCAUCUAAUGUCGCUAAUUUAAUUUGGGAUUAAAUUAGGGGACCAUUAUAUUGCAGUGUGUACUAAUUUUUGUGUUUAUCUAAACUCCUUAAGUUUAAGACAUAUUAUGGCAUAAAUAAGAAUAUAACAAUAACAAAAGAGAUGCCGGAGCAGAUCAGCAGGGUUUGAAUAUGACCUUUGGCGGUUGCUUUUUUUUUGUGAUUUUUUUCAUUUUUUCCUUCCUGUCAUUUUAUCAUUUAUUUGGCUCUGUUUCUAUUGCGGGUGUUACUGCAUGCUUACUGUUGCUUGACAAAGUUUGCUAGCUUUUUGUUUGCAGUGCUGCUAUUCACCCCGAGUCAAGCUCCGAAAAUUUAUUAAACAACGCCGUUUCGAUAGUAACAAUUUUUUUCUUUUCCCUUUGUCUGUCUCUUUCAUCUGCUGUUUCUCUAUCACUUUUCAUUUUUUAUUUCCUUACUUCCCAGCUGCCCCUAAAUUGUUAUUCUAGCAAUAUACUUUCUCAUCUUUGAAUUUUCAUCCUUGAGUACUCCCACAGCCGUAAUUUCAUCAUUAUAGACUUCACUUGGAAUGCUGUAUUUUUUCGAUUCUUAAGCUACUUCAAUUACAUCUCCCAGUAUAGGAUCCUCAUCUUCCUUUAUUUCUUCAUCUUAUGAGGUAACAAAUGGAUUUCACAACUCAUCUACUUUUAAGCAAUUACAUAUUAUACCUUGAAUGAUUCAACUGUUCCGACAGUUAAAGAUUUUAUGCUCAACCUGCAGUGCUACGAACAUUGUCCAUGAAAGAUGAGUUUCAGCAUAUAAAAUGAAAUAUAGAUGUUUAAUCUAAAAUAACCCUUCACUGCCAAGAAACCUAGGUCACAAAAUUCACAGAUAAUGAUAAAGAGCUAAAAAAUUUGAAAAACUCUACAGAUCACACAUCAAGCAAGAUAUCAUGUUUUUUUCCCUCAUUCGGUGGUGAUUGAUUCGCUUUUUGAUGAUGGAUAUGGUAUAAAAGUUUUGACCCAAUUUCAAGCAAACACAAAUAGAAACACAAAUAGAAACACAAACACAAUCAGGACUAGAGUUGUGGGCGAUUAUCUUAGGUGUACAAGUGAAACGGUGGUGGCUGUCGAUGGUGGUAGUGGGGUGGUUGGGUAUGCGUGAUGGCUAGAUUUUAGGACAAUAAUGGUUGGAGUUGACCUCGAUCAACGAAGGAAAGUGACAACAAUUUUGACAUCAAACGGUGCAUUUUUUAGCUUAGUAAAAUGGAGCCGUUUCGAAUUUGGGGUUUAAUCCGGGGUUUGACUCGGCGCAAGUAUCAUUUUCCUUUUGUUUAUUAAAUUUUUUAUGGUCACAAAGUAUUACUCGUUCUAUUUGAGAGUGAUGUGAAUCAAUUUUUCAAUUUUAUAUUUUGUGGUCAAUGUGAAUUUAAUUUCAUUUGUCUCCUGCAAUUAUGAAAAAAUUGCAGUCAUAAUAUGGAAAAGUACACCGGCAAAAACUUUGUAAAAGCUUCGGAGUGAUACGGGGAAUUUACUUACUACUGAGGACAAUUGGUGGCAAAGCUAUUCCAUUCAUUUUAUGUCCAUCCAUCUAUUUAGCUAUUGAAGAUUAGUGGUCCAUUUGUAAAUUUCAGAUUGUCUCUCUCUCUCUCUCCCACUUGAAAUAACAAUAUUUAAUAUAUCUCUUAAAUUAUUAUAAAUUUUAAUUUACUCUCGAUUUAAAAUGGAGCAUGUCGAUAAAAAAUUUUUCUUCUUAAUAAAAUUGACGUAAGUUGUGUGUUACAGUAGUUUGAAGUUUGAAAUAUUUUAAAGAUUAUUAUUCUAUAAGGGAGUAAUAUGAAAUGAUAUUUACUUUUCAUGUGUGAAAUGAAAAAGGACGAAGCAAGUGUCCCUGCUUUUAUUUUAUUUCAAGGAGGAGUCAUCUCACAUACUUUAGCUCUUAACAUUACAUUUUUUCUGGUUACAUUUUUUAUUUAUUUAUUUUUUUUUUUUUACACAUGCGUGUGGGUUGCUUUUCUGUAAGCUCCUUAAUAUAUAUUUAAGACAAAUCAUGGAAGAGAUGGGAUUAUAUCAAGAUGAUCAAAGCAUGUAAAAAAAGAAAAAAGAAAAAAAAAAAUUAAGAAGUAAGACACUGAAAAUGGAGAAGAGAUGGAAGCAAAAGAUAUUCCAAAACAAAGCAAUCUAUCCCCUUUCGAGGGCAGACUUAUCAGGUUUAAAAAAGUACAUGCUUUGGAUUGGUAGUUGCAAUCAAGGGAAAAUAAAUAGGAUCCAAUGAAAUUUAAAUCUCGGAGAAAAUAAAUAAUCAUGCAGAUUUUCAAGAUUUUAAUAAGGGAUACUAAUAUCUUAUUUUGAUUAAUAACAUUCUUUUAUUGUGUUAACUCAAAAAAAAUAUUAUAAUGCUUUACAAUAAAUACAAAUGUCCUAUUAAAUGAAUAUAUAAAAAAUUUAGAAAAUUUAGAAUAUUAUAUAAAAUAAUUUUAAUAUAAUGCGUGAGAUAUAUUUUAUUAAUUUAAAAUGUCAUUUUACCUAAAAAAUAUGAUAAAUUAAUAAUUACAUAUUUGAAGUUAUUUCAAAUAUUACUUAAUUGUUUUUACUUUAAACAUUACCGGCCUUUCUUUUAUUUUAUUGCAAAUUAAUGCUAACAAGAAAAAGCUAGAUCAUAUUCCACAAAAGCAAAAGUGACAAACACAACCAGCUGGAAUCUUUUAUAAAACUACAAAUUAAAAUGGAGUUUUUUUAAAAAAAUUGUUAUAAAUUGGUGGCCCCUACAAUCCUCAAUAAUUGCACCGAUAUUCACAAGUUGGUGGCCCCUACAAUUCUGUUCCGAUAAUAAUUGUUUUUAUUUUUCUGCAUUCCCUUUCAUGCUCUUAAUAAUUGAAGAGCAUACUUUUCAAAUGUGGAGCCACAGCUAAUGUCGCUAAUUUAAUUUGGGAUUAAAUUAGGGGACCAUUAUAUUACAGUGUGCACUAAUUUUUGUGUUUAUCUAAACUCCUUAAAUUUAAGAUAUAUUAUGGCAUAAAUAAGAAUAUAACAAUAACAAAAGAGUAAAAAAGUGUAGAGAAGAUCUUGCAGAAAUAUAAAUAAUAUCUAUUUUAAAAUAAUUUUUAAUAUUUUAUGAUCCAUUAGAUAUAUUUAUUAUAUUAAAGUAAAUUUUAUAAUAAAUAAAAACAUACUAUUAAAAUGAAUAUAUAGAAAAUUUAGAGUAUUUUAAAUAUUAUAUAAAAAAUUUUUAAUAAAAUAUGUGAGAUAUUCAUAUUUUAUUAAUUUAAAAUACCAUUUAACCUAAAGAUUUAUUUAUGAUAAAUUAAUAAUUAUAUUUUUGAAAUUACUUCAAAUAUUAAAAAAUUAAUAUUACUAAUCUGUUAGAUAGAUUAAAUUAUAUAUAUUAUUUUCUAUUUAUUAAAAAAUUAAAAUUAUUUUUAAUUACUAUUCAAAAAAUAUAAUGAAAAAACAUAAUGAUAAAAAAAUCUUAACAUCUUUAUUAAAAAAUUAAAAACUUAUAUGAUAAAUUCUCUAAAUAUUUACGGUAUAUGUGAACCACGGUGGAUAAGCUUUAUUUAAUAUUAUUGAUUUAAAUAAUAUGUCAAUUAAAAAUGUACAGAGAAGAAAUUUCGGUGGGUAUUUUAGUCUUUUAAGCAAUUAUCAUGAUCAGAUCAGCCUUUAGCCUUCAAACGUCGGUCAGAAAAGUUUUAAAAUUAAUGCUAAAUUGUUUUUCACUUUUAACGUUGGUGGCCUUGAAAUUGCUUGUAUUUUAUUAAAAAUUAAUGCUAACAAGAAAAAGCUAGGUCAUAUUCCACAAAAUCAAAAGUGACAAAACAACCAGCUGGUUUCUUUUACUAAACUACAAAUUAAAAUAAAUUUUUUCGAUAAAUUACAAAUUAAAGUGGAUUCUUUUGAAUACAAAUGGGACAGACGAUUAGGCUCUUUUUAUUAGAGGCAAGUAAAAACUAGUCAAGAAUCGAACAGUCUUUUUCCAAUUCUUGUUUUAUUAUUUUUCAAAACUAGUUUUUGGUAAUUACAACCGGGUCAUUAAUCAUUAUUCAGAGUUACUGUUAUCUUCGGGGGCAGUGGGUAAAAGAUAAUUACUAACUGUUUUUCCUUCAAAAGUUAGCGGCUCAUGUUUGCAAGUGUGAAUGUGCGAUGCUCUUUUCUUAAAGGCCAUUACAGUGGGGCCCGAAUCAGACGUGCCUAAAUCUUUUUAAAAUUUUUGCCGUAUAACGAACAGAGGUCAUUACUAAAAUUUCUCUUCCACAGCCUACAGCAGCUUCAGUUUAUCAAACUCCAUCAAUUUUCUUUCUUAACAAAAUUCCAAAGAUGUGUAGCAUUUUUCAGAUCACAUGCGAUGGUGCUCUUUUCAAUCGUUGCUUGGAUUGCUUUCUUGGAAAAGCAGCAUACAUACGUAACCUCCAAGAUAAUCUUGUAGCCUUGGAGACUGAACUGGGAAGACUAAUCGCAGCAAAGAACGAUGUGAUGAUGAGGGUUGUCAAUGCUGAACGGCAACAAAUGAGAAGGCUGGACGGAGUGCAAGUGUGGGUUUCGAGGGUGGAUUCUGUUAAAACUGGAGCCGACGAACUUAUCACAGACGGCUCUGAAGAAAUUGGCAAAUUAUGUGUUGGAGGCUACUGUUCCAAGAACUGCAGGUCAAGCUACAAAUCGAAAACAAGUGGCUAGAAAGCUACGACAUGUGAAGACUUUAAUCGCCGAGGGAGUUUUUGAGGCGGUGGCCACUGAGGUGGUGCCCGAGAGAGCUCCGGAACCUGUAGCAGAUAAAAGACCCACUGAGCCAACAAUAGUAGGCUUGCAAUCACAGCUUGAACAAGUUUGGAGAUGUCUUGUAGAAGAAUCAGUGGGAAUCAUUGGCCUAUAUGGUAUGGGCGGUGUUGGUAAAACCACACUAUUGACCCAUAUCAACAAUAAAUUUCUUGAGAGUCCCACAAACUUUGAUUGUGUGAUUUGGGUCGUAGUUUCAAAAGACCUGCGACUUGAAAAAAUUCAAGAAGAUAUUGGGAAGAAGAUAGGUCUGUCUGAUGAUUCAUGGAAGAAUAAAAGUUUUGAAGAGAAAGCUGUGGACAUCCUGCCGAGAUUAGGAGAGAAGAGAUUUGUAUUGUUGUUAGAUGAUUUAUG